This 112539-nucleotide long non-coding RNA is filed under the name Citrus maxima (pomelo). Its description in RNAcentral is "long non-coding RNA (CMAX_LNC001184)". Lineage: Eukaryota; Viridiplantae; Streptophyta; Magnoliopsida; Sapindales; Rutaceae. The record is from RNAcentral.
UUGGGUUGACCUAGUUAUUUUUGCGACAAGGAUGGCGUGGAGAUGACUGAGGUCGUACGAUUUUCUGAUCGGUACCAACCUUGGGCGGUGGCGUGGAUGGAAAUGGAAACGAAAUUCGGGUUGGGUUCACCGAUAUUUUGAUAAAGAGAGGGGGGUAUUGUGAUAAAUGUGCAAUAUAGAAUAAAAAUGUGUAAAUAGUAAAUAGUAUAAGGUGCUAAUUAUAAUGUUUAUAUGGAUGCAAUAGAAAUUAAUUUAAUAUUUAUGAGGUAAAGUUUAAAUAAAAAUGAAUUAAAGGGGUUCAAUGAAAUUUUACAACACUACUAGCACAAAAGACAAAACCAGUGAUACGAUACCACGGUGGUACCGCAGCUGGAUCCAAAAGAAAAGAUCAUAUAUUUACUAAGGUAAUUCUUAUCUUACAUGCAUGUAAGAUAGGGGGAUCCAUUUACUAAAUGUGUUUUAAGUAAGAGCUUAGUUUUAUCUUACGUAUUUGUAGUGUCGCAUUCAGAAUUAAAGCCUAAUAAGUAAUAGCAGCAAAUAUAAUUUCUUUAAAAAAAAUUAUUUUCCUAAAAUGUUUUACAAUAAUUUUGGAUAUAACAUACUCAUUUAAAAUGAUUUUAAUGAUGAUAAUUUAAUUUUCAGUAUAUAAUCUUAUAAAUUACUUAAAGUCGGUAGAGUAAAUUAAAAAUUUUAUUAGGACAAAAAAAUUUAUUGAAUUUUGGAAAAUAUUUUUUGAAAAAGAUUCAGACUUACGGGGACAACUGCCGCAGCUUGUCUUUACGUGACUCCACCAGUAUCGAUAUUUGCACCCACAAUGCCGAUAGGAGCUGCAAUGAGAUAUCCAAAAAUACUAAGGUAUGUGAAUAAAGAAAUCAUCUUAGACCCACUAGUCCUUUGAACUAAAACCACCAACCCACCUCAUUUUGACAACUCUUAACCGCAUAUCAAACAACAUGCGAAGAAGAAGGAUUUAGAAUAAAUAAAUAAAUACAAAGUUUUGCUCUUUUUUGCUACAAGAGGAGAAAAUUUGAAUUAGCUAUUUGGAAGAGAUAGGGAUGAUCGAACAAAAUUUUUCCCUUGGGUAUUAAUCAAUGGUCAUAACCCGGAUUUGAAAUGGAGAGUUUUUUUUUUUUUUGAUGACAUGAGACUAUUGUUUAAAUUACAACUCAUAUUACAUGAUAGUAUAACUGAUAUGUACAAGCAUAUAUAUAUACUGAGACCUGUUGAGAUCAAUGCUGAUAUGACAUCGCUCAUAUUUGUAACCCUCUCAAAUAGUCGAGGGACGUCAACUCCCAGCCUGGGAGAAAGACUGCCUUCACUCAAGCUCUGGGGCUCCAAAGAAGGACAUUUAAAUUAAACCACAGCAAUGCGUCUGCGGAGGCUCGAAUCACUUCCCUCACAUUUGUGAGUGAGUGGCUCUAGCCACUUGGGCUAAGCCCAAGUGGUUAAAUGGAGAGUUAAUUUCGCUGUUACCCAGAUUUGAAAGACAGUAUUAAGUGCAAUUUAUGUUCCAGCAGUUUAUGAUCGAAAAUGUAAGUGAAGUGAAGUCGUUAUUAUUAGGAUUUCUCUUGAUCUAAGUUCUCCUGAAUUUUUAAGAUGUGUAAGGUAAUAAUAUUGUAUGGAUGGAAUUUAAGUUCUUUAUUUUUUUUUAUUUUAAUCACCAAUCAACUUGUGAAUUUGAGAAAUUUAGAUCAGAAGAGGAUCUUAUCUCUUUGUAUUUUAGUGUCAUAAUUUUAAAAACUAAAAAUGAACUACAAUUAUAAAAUAAAAAUUGACAUUUUAAUAAUUUUGACAGAAAAGUAAAAAUACUGCAGAAUUUUUAUUAUAUAUGUAAUAAAUUAAAUCAACUUAAUUUUUAAACCACAAUUAUUAUUAUCUACCAAAUAUUUAGGGCCAUAGCUAACCUUAAUACUAAAUGGGGGCAUUCGGCUCCCACGAUCAAUCUGUUGAGGCUGCAUUGGUUGGAAUGUACGAUGAGGAUGGCAUGUUUUGUCUUAUUCGUGCUUCAUAAAUCAUAAUAAAGCCGAUUUUUCGUGGCAGACAUUUGAUUAAUAUCUCCUUGCGGUUUCAUAUGGAAAUUUGGGAUGUUACCAGCGUUGUGUUGUCUUAAUAUUUCCUGUAGUUUUGGCAACCCAGUACGCCACCUGUCAUCUUGUUUGCCCUCAAGGAUGAACAGAAGCCCGGUGCGCAAUGGGCAAAAGGAUUGACAGUGACUUGGUUUCAGGUACAAAUUGUCGGCAACAGCAAAUUAAAUAAAAUAAAGUAAUAAAUAGAUUAAUUCGAACAAAUUUAAAUUUUUAUUAAUAUAUUUUUCGUAUUUCAAGGAUUAAAUACCUCUCUAGUUUUUUUUUAAACACUUAUAUAUUACAAUAUUGAUAUUUACAAUCAAAAAUUUAUCAGAACUUAUCUGAGUAAUUCUAUUACAAUACAACCCAAAUAUCAAUAUUCACUAAAUUGAAGAGAGAUUUAUCUUCACUAUUAUUGAAAGGAAAUCAAUUCUACUUCAAUGUGGGGAGUCAGUUAACUCCCAUUAUAUAAGAAAACAAGUCCCAACGAUGACUCUAAGCUGAGACUUGAAUCCAUGCCCUCAAGGUUAUUUAUCAACUCUCUAGUUGAUAAAUAAUAUUCCAGAUUUUUAUUGUUAUAGUUGAUGCUAGUUAGUCCACAUAUAAAACUUAAAAAUUAAGAAUAGGAAUAAAAACUAGACACCAUUAAUUUAAACUAAAACAAAUAAUUUGUUCACUAACCAACCACAAGUUUACUAAGUCCAAGUACACGUUAAUCACGACCAAUAGGAUGAAUACAGUUUAAAACAAAUAAAAAUAUAGAAUUAGGGAUCGUAACACUCCUUCACCUUAAAAGUACUCUUUGCCGUCAAGGGUGGACUUUGUUAAGGAGUCUUCUCUCGUCAACAUACUUCUCCGAAUUUGACCACGACAACAUAAUAAUGGCUAGAGUCCCGUCACCGUCCAACCAUAAUGGCCACUUCAAGGCCAAAGGUUUUGCGUGUGUGCAUGCUUCUUGACUUUUUCAUUGGUGCAUUAAAUUUUGUUUUGUAUUCCGAAAUCAAGCAUGCAUGCAUGCUCCUUGGCUCUUUUCAUAUUCCACAAGGAUGCAUUAAUUUAUUUUUAUUUUUUUUGUUUGUUUGUGCGCCAGGGGUUACCAAUUACGAUCAUGAUUCUCUUCUGAUCUGAUUAUUUUCUAAGUAAAUAAUUUAAUCACUGAUUGAGUGUUAAUAAAUAAAAAAGUAAAAAAAAUUAAAUCUUACACAUACACUACUACUAAAAGACACAUGACAAAAGAUUAUUUAAAUCUCAAUAAUAUUCAGAUCAUGAGAGGAUCUUGUUCCUACUAAUUACUUCAUCGUUAGGAUUUGUUCCUUAUUAAUUGCUUAGUUCUGAUACCAAAUGUUACGGAAACAAAUUAUUUACAACAAUAAAUCAAAUAAAAUAAAAAGAACAAGUAACAAAUGGGUUAAUUUGAGAAAACCAAAAAUUUCAUAAAUAUAUUUUUAGCACUUCAAGAGAGCAACUACCUCUCAAUACAACUAAUCAGUUGCCAAAUAAUAUUCCAAAUUUUUAUUAUUGAGUUUGAUACUAGUUUCAAUAUUGGUUUGCUAAUAAAACUUAAAACUAAAGAAUAAGAGUAAAACUAGACACUACUAGCCUUUACUAACACAAAUAAUUAGCUAAUUAACGAACUACUAAUUUACUAAGUCCAAGUACACCUUAAUCACAACCGUUAGGAUAAAUACAAUUUAAAAUCAAUAAAAAUAUAAGAUUGGAGAUCGUAAGUCGUAACAGACUUCUAAAGAGAGUCGAGAGAAAAACUUACUUGGGACAAUCCAAAAAAUACUACUUGCAUUUAUAUGACUGGCCAAUUUGAAAACAUAUGAAUGCUUAGCUGUCAAAAUAUAAAUGGAUGAGCACACCACGUGAAACGUGGGCUUCUCCCACCUAAAUACUUCUCAAUCUGAGUAGGGGGAAAUGUCCGAAGAGUGACUCCAAAAUCUGCUUCUUAUGCUAAAAACACAUGUAUGAAUACUCUGAAUGAAUUAACAGAAUUUUAUACAUGCCAAAACCAACUAAUCAUAUGUAAAAUUUAUUAGCAUGCGAUUGUAUGGAUCAUAGUCUUGAGGCAGCUUACAAGGAUAACAAAAUAAUAGUGUGAGGAAAUAAGUUGCUGAUGUACUGGGUUUAAAUGCAAGAUAUGAAGAAUUCUUGGGGCUAUAUGUAGAUCGACUUCAGUAGGAGGGAUCUUGUUGCAAAUUUAUGCUGAUGUGGCAGAAUUCGUUGAGAGUUCGUUAUGCCCUUUCCAGAAAUAUCAGAAUAAAAGGCACUUGUGACUAGCCUCUUAUAUCAGAUCGAUAUCUUCUUCAUUUCAUGUUCAUUUUGCUUGCAAUUUGGUUCUUUGUGAUCCUUAUAAUUUCUUUUUGUUAAUCAAUCUGUAAUCCGAUUGUUGAGAUCAAUAAAAGAGCAGUUUUUUCCUUCAUCAAUUUGUGUACUUGAAACUGUGCUCUGAGUCUGAUUCUUGUGAUUGCUUUCUUGUGUUGAUUAAUCUGGUCUGUUUCUUUCAAGUCUGAUUCAUCAAAGUUCUUCACGAAAUAACUUGUGUAGCUAUUAAAGGUUAUAACAAAUAGAAUGGUGCAAUAAAAGUACAAUAGCUGAUUCACUAAGGCUACAUAUAACCAGAGAAUAUGGUCAAUAAACUGGAAUAACCAACUGUUCUUGAAUCAAGUCCCUCCCCAGGGUUCUCAAGAACAAAACCAAUGAAGUUUGUCAGGACAGCAAUCCAUCAGCUGCAGUGACCCAGUGGUUCAACGGUGGUUCAUUCCAUCAUUUACAUGUAUAACAGAUUAUCUUCCGGUCUUGGCGCGUUUCAUUCCAGCACUGUUGAAGGGCCACAUGCUAGGACUCAUACUCGGACUCAUGCAUGGACUUUCUUCUCUUAGAGUACCAUUCAGCGUAGCAAAUUCACGCAAUUGUUGCUUCUUGUAAUGAUCCAAGGAUUCAUCCUGCAUAAAGAGAUUAGUUUGAACAAGCGGGAAUUAGGAGAGAUGCUGAAGGAAAGAAUAUCGACAAAGUUCACAGAAAAUACAAGAGUUUUUUUUGUUCAUACCACAGGCUUCAAAAGGUUCUCUAGUAUCGCUACAGCAUGAUCCAAGCGGGAAUUUAUUAUAUCCUCUGGAAAUUCGGCCUCCCCUAACACGUGCAGUGGCUCAUUAAGAUGCUCAUAUCCAGGUUUAUCUUUAAGUUUUUCUUCCUAAAGAACCAAAAAGUAAAGAAUUAUCAAGAGAAACCAAGAUGGUAUAAUAAUGUAAGGCAACAUCGAACAUUAGGAAAUACGAAGAAAUGGUUUGCUAAUGCAAGACGCACUCUCCCAUUUGUAGAACACAAAGAACAUGAAAUGAGUCUUGAUUUCCACUUAAUAGAUAAACUAGUAAUAAUAUAAAUUCAUUUCCAGUACAUAUGCCAUCAAUGUAAAACAAAACUACUCAAAAUAUCUAGCUACUCCUACCACAACGAAAGAAAACCACCAUAAUCAUACCAGUUGUCUCCACGAAAAAGAAUUAUGAGGGGCCCAAAAAAAAAAAAAAAAGCUAUAGUUCAUCUGGAAAUCAUUAUUCCAAAGCAACAUAAUUUAUAUGUGUGUAAUUUCAUGCUCAGUACAUCUUUCUCCAGUUAAAUCAAUCAGCAAAAUGUCACAAUCCUCCAUUGAAUAUCAUAGAACUACAUCAUGCAUGAUCAUAAGCAAAUCUAGUCAUACCAUGACCAGUAUCGGUACUAAACUACAAAUUAAAGCAUCUGAUAGAUUGUUACAUAAAACCAGGAUAAUUACAGUGCUAAUCAAAUAACCCGAAUUGCAGAUUCCCUAAUCAAACAAACAUAACAAAAAAAUCUGAAUUACAUUUUUUUUUUUUUUAACCAGAGAUGCACAUUGGCAGCGGAUAAAAUUGAGCAUGUCCUACAAGUUAACAUGGUCCUCCUUUAGCAAGGUCUAGAUGGGAAGGACCAUAGUAAAAAUAAGAGGAAAUACUUUACUUCAUCUAUAAAUCCUACAAUUUAGUUGCAAGUAAAAUAACUCCAAUCUAAAACAUCAAAUGCAUAAGAUUCACAAGGCAAAAGCAGCUUUAGCUAUUAAAAUUUCACAUUCUCAUGCUUUAAGUGUUCAAAUCCACUUUAGCUUGAUUAGAUUGAAUCAGCAACUUAUUCCAAAAUGCACAGCUUCACCACAUUAUGAUAGAUCAGGCCUUUAAAGAAUCCUCGACUGAACCCCGUCCUCUAAUGAACACCCUACAUUCUGUCAUGGCUUCAAUUCUUUUUGAGGGAGUUCCCAUGCGUUCCCAAAAUCCGGCCAACAAAAUUAAACUGCUGUGUGUUUAAGUUAGAAACUAUUAUUAUAAGGAAUUUAAAUAUAUCAAUAUAACUACCUUUUAAAUUGGAAAGCAAAGUUUAAACUUACAUUUGGAUAUUUAUCUACGGUAACAUCAAGUCUAAUAACUCUCUUCACAACAGGUGUGGUUGGAAUUCCGGGAACACCUAGCCCGCCCAUUGAAGGAGGAGUUUGAAAAAGGGGCCAUUUUUUGAAUAUGCCCAUUUUCCUGAAUCAAGGCAUCUAAUGAUAUAAGGAUUCCUCUCUUCAGAAUGAUAUAAGGAAUCCUUUCUUUUAUGCUUGAAAACUUUAUCAUCAAAUCCAAAACAGCACAUGAUUCUCAAACUCGAUGAAACAAUCAAGAGCCCUCUAAAAAGUGAUGUGCAAGAUCCAAAACAGAAAGCUUAGUCAUUUAAAAAAUAGCAUUCAGCUAUGAGCAAUAAUAACUUAAAUCUUAAACAUGGAUGUAAUUUAUCUUCAGCUGACAGCUAGACAUACGAGGCAAGUUCAAAGAACAUUUCUCUUUUAUACCCAAAAAAAAAAUAGCUGAACUAGAAGAUACUCUCAGUUGAUUAGAGAAUGAGUAUAUCGAUCUAUGUGUGACAAUUUACUUUAGGUAUACCAUAGAUUCUAACCUUUGUUACACUAAAAGAUGGUCAUCCCCUCAUUUAAAAGGAACAUAGCGAUUAGAAGAAAAGCAUACAGUCAGAAUUCCAAGAAAUUGCAAUAUAGAAUUUUCUGGCAUCAAUCUCACAAUUACAGGAUAAAAAUACAUGGCAAGUAUAAAACCGUGAACAGGCAUUAUUAGCUCAGUUUGCGUUGUAGAUGAACCCUCCAAAUCCAUUGGUCUUCCAUUCGGCUGACCUGAUGACCUAAAUGGACUAUCAUGCUCAAACCCUUCAUGAUCAACAAAACUUGGAUUGCAACCUGUCGUUUGUCUGAUUAGGUAUACCAUGUAAUAUAUACAACUGAAUCCAGGUAAUAACUAACUGUGCUACAAAUGUCAAUGACAAAUAAAGUUCCUAGUUUUUUCAAAAAACUGCCUAGGCAGUGCCCACCCCGCCACACAAGUAGUCCAGGUAAUUUGCUCACGCUGUUGCCAGCCAAAGAACCAUGAAGAGGAAAAGCUGCAAGGAGCCUUUGCCAGGUUGGUCAGGAAGGGCUUCAAUAGAGUGUAACAUCUCAGUAGCUCAAUUCAUGUACCCCUAGCUGUGCAUGUAAGAAGAAAUGCUCUUCUGAAUAAAGUAUUGAUACCAGAUCUACUGUUGUUUCUUCACAACUUGUUAGGAAAGAUUACUAGCAGCUAAGUUAGACGCAUAUACAUACUACUAUAGGAAAUUGAACAGCUUCUUACAUAAUCGGUGCAACUUCUUAUACAAGUAACUUCUUAUACAAACAAGUUCCCCUCCCGGCAAUAGAUAGACAUCAAUAUUCAGACACCUGAGGGUGCUGAAUGUUAGAAACUUUACUUCCUCCCAACGUAAGCUCCCAGUUUAGACACAUUAGGAUUCCAAAAUGAUAGCUCAGAUAACCCCGUAACAAACAUGAGACUUCCAGGGGCCCAUUUUAUGACAGGAGGCUCUGUAUGAAAACUCAUCCAACUAACAACCCUGACAAGAAAAAUAAACAAAACCAAACAAUGUUUAUAUAAUAACAAUACCAACAUCAAAAGAAUAUAGUCUUUGGAUACAGAACUCAUUAUGCAAACUGGUGCUUAAGGUGAAUGCCCAAAUGUAGAUUCAAAAGCAUUGUUGGUUUGCCUAGAAGACAAUGAAUGCUAUGACUCGGUCAAUGUAGGGGAAAUAACAUCCCUUUGAAUUCUAAGCAUUCAAAAGGCAUUAGAAUCAAGGAAUUUUGCUUAUCAUACCCCUUUCCCGCUCCGUACGCUCCAAGCAUAUCCACUACCAUCAUUAGAACCUUCCAAAACCAAGAAAGUAAAAUUAGCAUAAAGAGUGCAACAAACCAAUAGUAUCACAUAAAACUAAUAAGACGUGCUUGGCCACACUAGGCUGCUUCCACAUGUGUGGGUGCACUUGCUAUUUGAGCAUUUCAUUGAUUUAUUUUGAUUAACAAGCACAACCAGAUGAAAAUACGUACGCAUUUGGAUUUGCAUGGAUGGGAGUGGGUUUUAAACCAAGUCAAUGAAGAAGAGAAAUUGAAUUUAUUGCAAAGAAUUCUGUGGGAACAAGCUUGAUGCUGAAUGCUUUUCUUCUAAUUGCUAUGUUUCUGUUAACAAGGUGGUAACAAAUUUGAGAAUUAUAUACAGCACAAGUGCAAGAACUUUAAUAUAAAAUAUCAAAACAGCCGAAAGCAAAUAUUAACAAAAUAUCCACAAGUCACUGUGCCCUAAGAACUGAAAGGAGAAACUCUACUGGGCUGAAAGAUGCCUCCAAUGUGGAAUUGUGAGAAACUGGCUUGGCAUCAUAAGUGGAUAAAUAAAAAGGGUAAUUUUUAGAGACCUCCCCUGAGGUUUGGUGUAUUAACACUUAAAUAGAAUGUAUUCAUGUAAUUACAUAUAUUUUCCCUACAAUUAAUAUAAAAAUACGUAUAGCGUCAGAUAGAAGGGUAAAUGUGUAAAAAUAUAUUUAAAAUUAAAAAUAUUUGCUUUUACCAAAUCAUUAAAAUUUUGACCCACUUGCCCGCUGUCGGCCCAAACUUGACCAGUCGGUCAUGGCUCCACCGGCGGCUGGUGGUGGUGCGCCACUGCCGGAGUCCUCUCCUCACACCAACAACCAACCCCAUUCACGGCAGCCUUUGAAUCAACUGCGUCCACCAACACACAUUAACCCAAGUACACGACUUUUUGAAGUGUCUCUUUUGCUUUGCGUUUUCCCUUCACUGAGAAGAUUCAUCAGCUAAUAUAAUAAGCUUUGUUGCCUUAGAUUUGAGAUUACAGAGGCCUGAGCAGAUGUGGCUGUGAUGUGGGCUUUAUUGUAUUUGACUAAUAGGCAAAACACAUUUUAUUGGCCUACAAGGACGGUGCCUUUUUCUUCUUGUUGGGGAACUUCGUGAAGAAUCCAGCUUGCUUCUUUCUUCCUUUUCUUUCUUCAUUUUAAUUCAUUUUUUUAAUUUAUAAUAACUUUUUGAGAUUGAAUUAUUGGCUUCACAUGUAAAUCAAUGGUAUUUGGUAUGUCACAAGUGUAUAGUUAUUCUUUUUUUAUUUAUUUUUUCUGAUGUUUUUGUGUUGGAAUUAAUUUCUCAAGGUUUUGGCACCACUCCCCAUUGGAUUUGCUGUGUUCAUGGUACACUUGGCCACAAUCCCAAUCACUCGCACUGGAAUUAACCCAGCAACGAGUCUCGAGGCUGCUGUUAUUUACAACAAGGACAGGGCUUGGGGUGGCCAAUGGCUCUUCUGGGUGGUGGUGCUUUGCCACUGCCGGAGUCCUCUCCUAACACCGGCGACCAACCCCAUUCACGACAGCCUUUGAAUCAACUGCGUCCACCAACACAGUAACCCAAGUAGGCUUUUGUCUCAUCACAACCCCCACACCCCCACCGCCCCUUUGGCCAUCGCCGAAGCCACCCAACAACCGCUAACAUCACCAUUAAAGUGGGUUCAAUGGAAUUCUCACUGCCAAUGGAAUUCCCAAAGUUAUAUAUAAUAAUUUAUUAUUUCAGCAGGAAGGAUAUUUUAGUAAUUUUAAAUGUUUACUAACGGUCAACUUAAUUAGUAACUAACGGCAGGGGAGGUAUAUGUAAUUACAUAGAUACAUUCCAUCUAGGUGUUAAUACACCAAAUCUCAGGGGAGAUCUCUAAAAAUUACCCUAAAUAAAAACAAGAGUAAAUAGAAGCUCAUUAACAGAGAUUCCACUGUAUAGAGGGGUAUAUAUGUACAAUAUGUUACAUUUGGGAGAUGAAGAAAGAAAAAGUAAACUCACAAGUGUGCCUUGGAAUGAGUCAAGCACACGAAUAUGUCCUUCCAUAGUGGUCGGAAGCAUAAUUCUCCCAUCAUUGCUGAACUUUAUGACAUCAGAAUCUGAUACAUCUUCCCCAUCAGAGAAGAUGUCAAAAGGACCCUAACAGCAUCCAAGCUUAACCAAAUUAGUGCAUGAUAAAAGUACUACGACAUAUAAACUUCCAAGAUAUUCUUAAAUAUUAAUUUUAACCUUCUCAUACUUACGAGCAUCAAACAUUCUUAUGUAUCCUCCAAAGGCAACUGCAAAGACAAGCCCUUGAUCAUCGUAUGCUGUAGCAGGCCUUCCUUGAACAUUCAAAAGACCCGGAUUUGCCAACAGAGAUCAUAAACACAAUUGAAAAUGGGGGAAAAAAUACUUUGAAUGUGACCGUGGAUGGCAUGAUAUCCACCUAGCAUUUCUCAGCCCGUUGAUCCCAGAGCAGAACAGUUUGAUCAAGAGAACCAGAGAUAAAGAAAUCUUUGGAGGAGCACAGGCUAAACAACCCUAGAAGCAAUAAAACAUAUAUACAGAUGAUAAUAAUUACAAAAUAUUUACAAGAAUCAGUGAAUUACAAACCUGUCAUGGUGACCUUUGAAGUAACGCAAGUACUUGUUAUCGUGCAAGGAAAGAAACUGUAGAGAUUCUUAAUAAAUGAACGUAUCAAACAGCACUACAAGUGGUUUCGUAAUCCAAAAAGUUCUAUCCAUGAAAGCAGAUAUCAAGCACUUCCCCAGAAAAACAAUUCAAGGGUUCCUUUGAUUUCAAAAGACACUUUAUUAUUUCUGCAAUUUCAAACAAACAUUGCAAAAUUGAAACCAGCUUCUUAUACUUAUUUAAAAGCCAUUUCUUAGUUAAAAGCACUUCCAAAGAGACAACAUAAAAUCCUAAGAAACAGAGGAUCAACUUACGUGGCAGCAGAGACAUCGUACGGCCGUAUAGAUUCAUCAUCACUAGCCGUCACCAAAUAACUCGACGAUUUAUGAAAAUCCAUGGAACUAAUUCUCCCAUUCUGUUGAAACACAAAUCAAUACAAAACGACACUGAAUUAACAAACAGAUACAUUUAAAACGCAAAUCGAGUAUGUUCCUCGAAUAGAAACUUAUUAGAAGAUUCUCUUACAUAAUCUCUAAAAGAAAUGCCCACUUCCAUGCUCUGAAGAAUUUCUUCAAAGAGUUCCAACGAGACCUUGUCUUCUCUCUCCGAUUGUGACCCUAAAACCCAGAAAUAAAAACACAAAGCAAAUAAGUAUAUCACAGCAAUUAUGCCAAAAACGACAACGUUUCAAGUAAAAUUUCCACAUACCAACAUUUUUUUUCCUUCAGAUUAAUUCAAUUCCACUGCACUGAAAACAAAUUUUUCACGGAAACGGGAGGAGGUUGAGAAUUUAUUUAUACUUCUGUGUCAAAUAAGGACGGUAGUUUUCUAUUCGUCCCAAAUGGGUGCCUAAACCCAUACAAUGACUACGAUACCCUUAAGCGUCAGCUCUUGUACACUUAAAUGUCAAGGGUAUUUUGAUCAUUUAAUAAUUAGUGACCUAUUUUCCGAUGCAUAUGUAAAGUCAAACUUCACGAAGAAAACGCUAAUAAAAAUGAUUAAGAAAAAACGCUCAAAUUGGAUCAAAGCUUUGAAUGACAACGUAAGUCUCGAUUUUUUUUUUUUUUUGCUUUCUAUUAUGCGUUAUUUUAUUCAUCAUCUAGUAGUAAUUUAAUCUGCAAAAUUCCAAUUUUUGACGCGCGCGCACCAACAAAAAAAUUUUGAAAGAAUUUUAUUUGAAUUUUAUAUGUGUUCCUAUUUGUUUUAUGAAUCGAAUCUGAUAAGAAAUUGUGGGGAUGCAAAUAUCACACGAUGCCUCCGUUCAGUCAAGUUUAUUCUUGAUUUGUUGAAAUUGUGUAAAUAGAUUUAUAAUAGUUUUUAUGAUGUGUCAGGGUUCGCGCUCUUUGGAUAAUCAUGGAAGUAUGGUGAUUUCUAUUUAUUGUUGUGGGGAAAGGACACCGACUUCUUUGCGUGGUUUUAGAAAUGAUCGCAUAGACUUGUAUUAGGAUAAUUAUACCCUUUGACUGUAGUGAUUUCAUCUUGGCAUAUUUAUCAAAAUGGGUAUUUUCCCUUUCAGCUACUCAUCACACGAGCUUUAACCUUCCACCAGUGAUCAAGUUGAACAUGCAAGAUUCCAACAAGUCCCUUUGAGAUCCCGUCCAGUUGUUGCAGCCCAGAUCCCACCAUCAAAUCAGGUCAAAUUACAAGAUAUACCUAACUUAUGGAUUAACUUUCGUGUCUUUUAGUUUGAGAUCUAGUGAGUACAAUGCUCGUAAUGCCCAAUACCAUAUGGUUCAAGAGGAUAUGAGAGCAUAAAGGUUCAAAUUUAUGAGUUUAACUGGUUGAAAAUGGUGUAAUAUGCCUCUGUGGUUUGUACAUAAUGGAUUAGAUAAUCCUCUUUUUUUGGCCCUCCAAAGAAUUAUUCGUAGGAGACUGAAAAUUGAAUCUCUGAUGCAGUUUAUCCUUGAACUGGUAAGACAAUGUAGCUGAAGUAAUUUUUCAUAUUUCAUAUAGUAUUUGCUAUCACUUAAGUGGAAGACUGACUUUUGUAUAUUUACUUUUUCUGGUGGCUUCAAACAGUCUCAACCAUUUGGAAUGUGACAAACUUUGAACUACUAUAUUAAUAAGAAGAUUAUUAAUCCUGCAUGCCCUAUACUCGCUGCUGUGAUUGAAGAAAGGCGGAUAUUACUAUUGCUGACUGACUGACUCUUACCAAUGGCCUUGACAAACCUUUUGUUCGCAUCAAACUGAGGCAUAAGAGGUGUAAAGGUGUAGGAGUGAAAGCUACAACAUAUGCAAAAACAAUAUGGAUGGACCUUGCCAAUGCCGAGUUGAUCUCUGGAAAUAAGAUUCACAUAAAUAGAUUGGGAAUGCAAUUGUGGAGCAAAUUAGUAGGAACCAGGAUGGAAAUUUCACAGGGGUUGUGCAUCUUGAAGGAUACAAGACGACCGUGUUGAAGCUGACCUGGCUGCUUGAAAUAAUCGAGUUAGUGGGGUUCGACUACCUAAUCACAAAGAAAAAGGUAUGUUGAUUUUCAGAUUUUUUUUCUUCCACUUAUCUCUUUGCUGUCAUACAGAGUGCCAUUCUGAAUAGUAAACUUUUCAUGUAAUGUGAAUUUGAUCCAUAAAGCACCUGAAUCUAGAUAAGUUUGCUGCAUGCUGAGCAUUGGGUCUUGUGUCUCAUGUGGGUUUUUUUCUUGAGUUCUUUAUGCCCAAAGAUGCUAGAAGGCUGGUUCUUACCACCGACCAACCAUCUAUUUAUACUUAGUCAUAGCAAUUGCAAACAUACCCCCUUGGUUGGUUCACGCAGUAAAAUCUCUUGAGGCAGUACCUAAUUGCCAUUUCCAAGUGUUUAACCCUAAAUUUUUAAUAACGUUUUGGUGGAUUCAUGUACAUUGAACUAGUCUUCUUUCUAUAUUACAUGGAUUAAAUUUUGAAACUAGGCCAACCUGUUGUUAAAUCUGCCUUUCAAAUUAUUGACUUAAUAUUGCCAAAAAAGAACUUUUUACCGAUUACAGAAUUUUUCAUUUUUGCAGGAAACUGGAGUCGCAGCUGACAGUGCUCAAGGGCAAUCCUUAAAUUAAAUUUCAUUGCAAUCUUUAAACUUUAAAUUAUUUGAGAAAAAAAAAAUCUUGGCAUAAUAUUGAACAGUGCAUUUACUUGUAUAAUAUCAAUAAAACAAUGCAUGUGAGGGAAUAAAAAGAAUAAGAUGAAAUUUGACGACAGUAAUUGGCACUAUUUCAAGCAAAGAAAUCUGGACACUAAUAUGUUUUCUCUGUUACUUUCCAAAAUUACUGCAUGUACAUGAGAUGAUUGUUUGCUACUGUUGUACUGUAUAAGGUGAAACAUUUGAAGAAGCCCCCUUCUAAACUGGUAGUGUUGGUCGUUGUUGUCCUGCCGAGGAAGUGUCAUUAGAUUGAAACCUACUGCAAAUAUUGAUACAAAAUGGCUUCAAGGUUUCGUUAUAGAGCUGACUGCAAAAUGGCUUCAAGGUUUCGUUGUAGAGCUGACGACAAGCUUCUGUAAACAGCGCCCCAUAUUGAUGCACAACAAUGGUAAUGGACGAGCAAAGCCACGCAGUGUACAAUAUGAUAUGACCAAUAUCAGAGCGAGGAACAAAUGUGGAGAUCAAGGAGACUGCAGAAACAGAUCCAGAGACAACUGCUACAAGGGCCCAAGAUUGGGAAGAAUUCUCUUGAUGAGCUAAAUAUGCAUAACAAUAAAUGGCUGUGGUUAUGAGAAAAGACCAUAUAUUUGUUGUGUGUGUUUCAAGCAAGCGCUCAGUUGUGCCGUGCAUAUUUGCUCCCACGAUGCCGAUGAGAGCUGGAAUGAGAUAUCCAAACACGUUAUGGUAUGCGUUUGACAUCGCGGACAAAUAAAUUUUGUUCCUGCAGAACCAUUAAAAUACUAUAUUAAGGAAAGUAUUAGAUCCAUUCCUUUAGAAAAACAAGAAUUUAAGAGAUCAUUAUGUAUUUAGUCCCAUUUAAUAUUAGUUUAAUUUUUUCAAGUUAUUGUGAAAAAAAAAAAUUAUCAAAUACUUUUAUCGAUCCAUUCCUUUAGAAAAAAAAUAUAUAUAUAUAUAUAUAUAUUUUCAGUGCACACACAACAUUUCUUUACUGUUUCAAACAAUCUGGUUCUAACUAUUAUAUUGUAUCAAACUCUUCUUGAGUUCGACUUUCUUUCAAACCCAAAUAUUAUAUUUGACUUUGGCUUUUCUCUUUAUUUUCAAGAUGCAAUGGGUUUCUAUCAGCUUUCCAAGCCUUAUAAAAUCUUGACAAAGACUUGAAGAAGAAAACAAAUUAUUUUCAGUGCAUAUUGAUUGGUAAGAAUUUAAAAAGGAAAUUUGGGAUUUUUUUUGUUUUCUUUUGAACAUUGUCUGUAUAUAUAUAGGGUAAAGUUUUAUUUUUAAAUACACGUUGUGGCUCAGUUCAGAGAGAGAAGGGAGACGGUGAAGAUUGAUGGGUUGACUUUCUUUUCCCGUCAGCCAUUUUGUAAUAGAUUGAUCAGAGCAAUCAUUACCUGCAAAACUCAACACAUCACCAAAUUAACAACCAACAUUUCAAUUUCAAACCCAACCUUAAAUUGAAACAAAUCUUCUUGAAAAAUAAAGGAAAAAGCAACUCCAAAUCAAAAUCGAAAUGAAACCUUAACAGAGAGACAGCCGCAAGUAUGAGGAGACAAGCACGAUCCUAAAAGAUCUGAAGUCCUGUUGGUAUAUGAGAGAUGAACUGACCUCAAUUUAUAUAGGAUGGAUUCCCUUUGCUCAUUGGCUGCUGCAGCCCUGGACCGUUGAGGGGGGACACGUGGAGGGAUCGUGGGGCGGGAUGGAAGUAACUGUGGUUGAGUUAAGGUUGGACUUUUCAUUAACAUACCUUUGAAAAAGGUAUGUUAAUCAACCUUUCAAAGGUACUUCCACCCCUCACAUAACUCCAGUCAACCACAGUUACUUCCAUCCCGCCCCACGAUCCCUCCACGUGAGCUGCUGCAGCCAAUGAGCAAAGGGAAUCCAUCCUAUAUAAAUUGAGAUCCCUGUUGAAACACAUAAAACGACGCUGAAUUAACACACAAAUACACUUAAAAGUCUGUUUCCCAAACAAAAACUUUUUAGAAGAUUCUCUUACGUAAUCUCCAAAACACAUGCCCACUUCCAUGCUCUGAAGAAUUUCUUCAGAGAGUUCCAACGAGACCUUGUCUUUUCUCUCUGAUUGUGAGCCCAAAAACCAGAAAAAAAAACUAAAUAAAUAAAUCACAACAAUUGCGAGAAAACGACAAUGUUUCAAGUAUAAUUUCCACAUACCAACCAUUUUUUUCCUUCAGAUUAAUUCAAUUCCACUGGAUUGAAAAUAAAUUUUCUGCGGGAACGGGAGGAAGUUGAUAAUUUAUUUAUACUUCUGUGUCAAACAGCAUGAUUUCCCAAAUAAGGACUAUAGUUUUCUACUCGUCCCAAAUGGGUGCCUAAACCCGAGCAAUGACUACGAUACCCUUAAGCGUCAGCUCCUGUACACUUAAAUGCAAGGGUAUUUUGAUCAUUUAAUAAUUAGUGACCUACUUUCUGAUGCAUAUAAAAGCACACUUCACGAAGAAAACAUCAAGAAUGAGGAAGAAAAACGCCGAUUGAGGAUGCUCAAAUUGGAUCAAAGCUUUGAAUGACAACGUAAGUCUCGAUUUUUUUUGUUUUCUAUUAUGUGUUAUUGUGGGGAAAGGACACCGGCUUCUUUGCGUGGUUUUAGAAAUGAUCACAUAGACUUGUAUUAGGCUAAUUAUACCCUUUGACUGCAGUGAUUUCAUCUUGGCAUAUUUAUGAAAAUGGGUAUUUUCCCUUUUAACUACUCAUCACACGAGCUUUAACCUUCCAUCAGUGAUCUGUUGAGGCCGAAUGAUGAGCGGAGGAUAGCGUGUUUGGCUUAUUCGUGCGUCAAGGUGAAGCAGAUUAUUGGUGGCAGGAUUAAGCUCGUCGGAUAUUGCAACCAAUUCCUUGGAAAAUGUUUGUGAAUGGCUUGAAGCAUUGAGAUAUCAUUCUAUUAUCUCCGUGUGUUUUCAUAAGCAAAAUUGGGAUGCUAAUAGUGUUGUCAUAGCAGGAAGUUGAACAUGCAAGAUUCCAGCAAGUCCCUUUGAGAUCCCGUCCAGUCGUUGCAACCCAGAUCCCGCCAUCAAAUCAGGUCAAAUUACAGGAUAUACCUAACUUAUGGAUUAAUUUUCAUGUCUUUUAGUUUGAGAUGUGGUGAGUACAAUGCUCGUAAUGCUCAAUACCAUGUGGUUCAAGACAAUAUGGGAUAUAAAGGUUCAAAUUUUUGAGUUUAGCCGGUUGAAAAUGGUGUAAUCUGCCUCUUAGCAAGCUUUUGUGGUAUGUACAGAUGGAUUAGAUAAUCCUCUUUUUUUCACCGUUCAAAGAAUUAUUCGUAGGGGACUGAAAAUUGAGUCUCUGAUGCAGUUUAUCCUUGAACUAGUAAGACAAUGUAGCUGAAGUAAUUUUUCAUAUUCCAUAUAGUAUUUGCUAUCACUUAAGUGGAAGACUAACUUUUUUAUCUCUACUUUUUCUGGCGACUUCAAACAGUCUCAACCUUUUGGAAUGUGACAAAAUUUGAACUACUAUAGUAAUAAGAAGAUUACUAACCCUGUGUGCCGGGUACACACUGCUGUGAUUGAAGAAAGGCUAACCCUGUGUGCCCUAUACACACUGCUGUGAUUGAAGAAAGGCUGAUAUUACUUUUGCUGACUGACUGAGUGUAAAGGUGUGGGAGUGAAAGCUACAACAUACACAAACAAUAUGGAUGGACCUUGCCAAUGCUGAGUUGAUCUCUGCGAAUGAAGAUUCACCUAAAUAGAUUGGGAAUGCCAUUGUGGAGCAAAUUAGUAGGAACCAGGAUGGAAAUUCCACAGUGGUUAUGCAUCUUGAAGGAUACAAGACGACUGUGUUGAAGCUGACCCAGCUACUUGAAAUAACCGAGUUAGUGGGGUUUGACUACCCAAUCACAAAGAAAAAGGUAUGUUGAUUAUCAGAAUUUUUCUACCACUUAUCUCUUUGCUGUCAAACAGAGUGCCAUUUUGAAUAGUGAACUUUUCAUGUAAUGUGAAUUUGAUUCUUAAAGCACCUGAAUCUAGAUAAGCUUGCUGCAUGCUGAGUAAAGAGUCUUGUGUCUCAUGUGGGCUUUUUUCUUGAGUUCUUUGUGCCUGAAGAUGCCAGUAGGCUGGUUCUUACCACUGACCAACUAUCUCUUUGUAGUUAGUCACAGCAAUCACAAACAUACCCCUUGGUCGGUUCAAGCGGUAAGAUCUCUUGAGGUAGUACCUAAUUGCCGUUUCCAAGUGUUUCACCCUAAAUUUUUAAAACUUUUUGGUGGAUUCAUAUACAUUGAACUAGUCUUCUUUCUAUAUCACAUGGAUUAAAUUUUGAAAUUAGGCCAACCUAUUGUUAAAUCUGCCUUUCAAAUUAUUGACUUAAUAUUGCCAAAAAAGAACUUUUUACCUAUUACAGAAUUUUUCAUUGUUGCAGGAAACUGGAGUCGCAGCUGACAGUGCUCAAGGGCAAUCCUUAAAUUAAAUUUCAUUGCAAUCUUUAAAAUUUAAAUUAUUUGAGGAAAAAAAAUCUUGGCAUAAUAUUGAACAAUGCAUUUACUUGUAUAAUAUCAAUAAAACAAUGCAUGUGAGAUUGUGAGGGAAUAAAAAGAAUAAGACGAAAUUUGACGACAGUAAUUAGCACUAUUUCAAGCAAAGAAAUCUGGACACUAAUAUGUUUUCUCUGUUACUUUCCAAAAUUACUGCAUGUACAUGAGAUGAUUGUUUGCUACUGUUGUACUGUAUAAGGUGAAACAUUUGAAGAAGCCCCCUUCUAAACUGGUAGUGUUGGUCGUUGUUGUCCUGCCGAGGAAGUGUCAUUAGAUUGAAACCUACUGCAAAUAUUGAUACAAAAUGGCUUCAAGGUUUCGAUAUAGAGCUGACUGCAAAAUGGCUUCAAGGUUUCAUUGUAGAGCUGACGACAAGCUUCUGUAAACAGCGCUCCAUAUUGAUGCACAACAAUGAUAAUGGACGAGCAAAGCCAGGCAGUGUACAAUAUGAUAUGACCAAUAUCAGAGCGUGGAACAAAUGUGGAGGCUAGUGAGACUGCAGAAACAGAUCCGGAGACUCGUGCUACAAGGGCCCAAGAUUGGGAAGAAUUCUCUUGAUGAGCUAAAUGUGCAUAACAAUAAAUGGCUGUGGUUAUAAGAAAAGACCAUAUAUAUGUUGUGUGUGUUUCAAGCAAGCGCUCAGUUGUGCCUUGCAUAUUUGCUCCCACGAUGCCGAUGAGAACUGGAAUGAGAUAUCCAAACACGUUAUGGUAUGCGUUUGACAUCGCGGACAAAUAAAUUUUGUUCCUGCGGAACCAUUAAAAUACUAUAUUAAGGAAAGUAUUAGAUCCAUUCCUUUAGAAAAACAAGAAUUUAAGAGAUCAUUAUGUAUUUAGUCCCAUUUAAUAUUAGUUUAAUUUUUUCAAGUUAUUGUGAAAAAAAAAAUUAUCAAAUACUUUUAUCGAUCCAUUCCUUUAGAAAAAAUAUAUAUAUAUAUAUAUUUUCAGUGCACACACAACAUUUCUUUACUGUUUCAAACAAUCUGGUUCUAACUAUUAUAUUGUAUCAAACUCUUCUUGAGUUCGACUUUCUUUCAAACCCAAAUAUUAUAUUUGACUUUGGCUUUUCUCUUUAUUUUCAAGAUGCAAUGGGUUUCUAUCAGCUUUCCAAGCCUUAUAAAAUCUUGACAAAGACUUGAAGAAGAAAACAAAUUAUUUUCAGUGCAUAUUGAUUGGUAAGAAUUUAAAAAGGAAAUUUGGGAUUUUUUUUGUUUUCUUUUGAACAUUGUCUGUAUAUAUAUAGGGUAAAGUUUUAUUUUUAAAUACACGUUGUGGCUCAGUUCAGAAAGAGAAGGGAGACUGUCAAGAUUGCUGGGUUGACUUCCUUUUCCCGUCAGCCAUUUUGUAAUAGAUUGAUCAGAGCAAUCAUUACCUGCAAAACUCAACACAACACCAAAUUAACAACCAACAUUUCAAUUUCAAACCCGACCUUAAAUUGAAACAAAUCUACUUGAAAAUAAAAGAAAAAGCAACUCCAAAUCAAAAUCGAAAUAAAACCUUUUAUAACAGAGACAGCCGCGAGUAUGAAGAGAGAAGCGCCAUCCUAAAAGAUCUGAAGUCGUGUUGUAUAUGUCUUGUAUAGAUUGACAGAGCAAUCAAAGGCCGUGUCGACUAGAGCGAUCGAAGAGGAGAAGAGAUAAGAGAGGAAAAAAGAUAGUUAAUUUGAUGCUGCAGCUCUGGAGCGUUGCUCAAUUUAUUAAGGAGGGAUUCCCUUCGCUUGCUCAAUUUAUACAGGAGGAUUUUCCCUUCGCUCAUUUGUUGCUGCAGCUCUGGACCGUUGAGGGGGGACACGUGGAGGGAUCGUGGGGCGGGGUGGAUUAGUGGAAGUAACUGUGGUUGAGUUAAGGUUGACUAGAGUUAUGUGACGGAUCUAAGGCUGGGUGUUUUCGUUUUGGAUAUGUCGUUUUGUCAGUGGGAAUGGCGUCGUUUGUUUGGGUUUAAAAUUGCGCACAUUUAUUAUACGUAGCGGAAUCGUACAAAAAUUGCUGCUGCAGCUCUCCUUUAUUAAUCUGAAGGAAAAAAAAAUUGGUUGGUAUGUGGAAAUUAUACUUGAAACGUUGUCGUUUUUGGCAUAAUUGCUGUGAUAUUUUUUUGUUUGUGUUUUUUUUUUUCUUUUUUCUGGGUUUUAGGGUCAAAAUUGGCUCAUUUCACAUCAUAAUAGACAACAAAAUAAAAUAAAAUAAAAUGAUUAAUUGAUUUAAUCAAUAAUUUGGUUCUGCCUACUUGAAAAAUGAAACGGAUAUCGUGGGAAAUUGGCAGCCCGCCAGUCCCCGGUUCCCACUCCCCAUCGCGCUUCUCUUACUAUUAAAAUACGAGUCAAGUUAGUACACAACGAAAGACAUUGCACAAUUAGCACAGCUUCCCUCUCUGUCUCUUUCACUUCCUCCUUCGUUAUUCAUCUCGCGCUCACUACUGAAUAUUGGAUCGCACCAACUAUGGCUCUCUCUUCCGGGAUUGCUAUUGGAGCUAAACAAUCUAUUUCUCCAUUUUUCACUGUUUCACAACCGAGCCUUAGUUACAGAAAACAGGUCGGUUCAUCCGCAUGCAGUAUUCAAGAUUUUGUUUUUGUUGCUUUUUCUAUCUGGGUUCUCAAUUCUUUUGCUUGCUUGUUUAAAGAUUCUUGUUUUUCGUAUCUGUAUCUGUAUCUGUAUCUGUGUUAUGUGCGUUUCUUGGUUUCUCACACAUGAUCAUCACCAUUGAGUUUGUAUGUAUUGACUGUGGUUGGUUGGUUCGUUGUCGUGGUGAUGUGUUUCAGAAUUUCUGUUUGAGAGCGUCCGCUGAGAAUCUUCUAAUAAGUUUCUGUUUGAGGAACAUACUUGAUUUGCGUUUUAAAUGUAUCUGUUUGUUAAUCCAGUGUCGUUUUGUAUUGAUUCGUGUUUUAACAGAAUGGGAGAAUUAGUUCCUUGGAUUUUCAUAAAUCAUUGAGUUAUUUGGUGAUGGCUAGUGAUGAUGAAUCUAUACGGCCGUACGAUGUCUCUGCUUCCACGUAAGUUGAUCCUCUGUUUCUUAGGAUUUUAUGUUGUCUCUUGGGAAUGCUUUUAAAUAAGAAAUGGCUUUUGAAUAAGUAUAAAAAGCUGGUUUCAAUCUUGCAAUGUUUGUUUGAAAUUGCAGGAAUAAUAAAGUAUCUUUUGACAUCAAAGGAACCCUUGAAGUGUUUUCUGGGGAAGUGCUUGAUAUCUGCUUUCAUCGAUAGAACUUUUUGGAUUAGGAAACCACUUGUAGUGCCGUUUGAAGAAGUGCUUCAUAUAUGUUUGAAAGUGAUUUUACUCGAGGGUACUUGCCAUUAAAGCACUGCUGAACGUAUCCUCUGCGUGUUUGAUGAGCUCAUGAAAGCUACUGUCUUUCUAAGAUGGAGAAAAAUGCUUUUUAGAUGAAACAGAAAAAAAAAAAAAGGAGAACCUUGGAGUGGUUUUCAGGGAAGUGCUUAAGGGAAAUGUAAUUGAUAUAUUUUUCAAGAACUUUUGUAAAAAGGCCUUUUCUUUUUCUUUUUGUUUUGUUUGCAUAAGCUCUUUCUAUAAGAGCACUGCCAAAUGCACUUCAGUUGUCUUAGCUGAGCUCAUGAUAGUUAGUAUUGCAAUUGUUGCUGAGAGCCUUAAUUGAAAUUUCAGAUGUUUGAAGACAAUUAACAGCAAAAAAUAUGGGAAUAUUUGUGUUUUGCAUGUUGGUGGAUUGCUUUACUAGGCACUUAUUUGAUACGUUCAUUUAUUCAGAAUCUCUACGGCUUCUUUCCUCGCACGAUAACAAGUACUUGCGUUACUUCAAAGGUCAUCAUAACAGGUUUGUAAUUCACUUAUUCUUGUAAAUAUUUCGUAAUUAUUAUUAUCUGUAUAUAUGUUUUACUGCUUCUAGGGUUGUUUCACUUAGCCUGUGCUCCUCCAAAGAUUGCUUUAUCUCUGGUUCUCUUGAUCAAACUGUUCUGCUCUGGGAUCAACGGGCUGAGAAAUGCAAGGUGGAUAUCAUGCCAUCCACCAUUUUCAAUUGUAUUUAUGAUCUCUGUUGGCAAAUACGGGUCUUUUGCAUGUUCAAGCAAGGCCAACAGCAUGUGAUGAUCAAGGGCCUGUCUUUGCAGUUGCCUUUGGAGGAUACAUAAGAAUGUUUGAUGCUCGUAAGUAGGAGAAGGUUAAAAUUAAUAUUUAAGAACAUCUUGGAAGUUUAUAUGUCGUACUUUUAUCAUGCACUAAUUUGGUUAAAUUUGGAUACAUCUUCUCUGAUGGUGGAGAUGUAUCAGAUUCUGAUGCUGUAAAGUUCAGCAAUGAUGGGAGACUUAUGCUUCCGACCUCUAUGGAAGGACAUAUUCAUGUGCUUGACUCAUUCCAAGGCACACUUGUGAGUUGACUUUUUCUUUCUUCAUCUCCCAAAUGUAACAUAUCGUACAUAUAUACCCCUCUAUACACUGGAAUCUCUGUUAAUGAGCUUCUGUUUACUCUUGUUUUUAUUUAUCCACUUAUGAUGCCAAGCCAGUUUCUCGCAAUUCCACAUUGGAGGCAUCUUUCAGCCCGGUGGAGUUUCUCCUUUCAGUUCUUAGGGCACAGUGACUUGGAUAUUUUGUUGAUGUUUGCUUUUGGCUGUUUUGAUAUUUUAUAUUAAAGUUCUUGCACUUGUGCUGUAUAUAAUUCUCAAAUUUGUUACCACCUUGUUGGCAUAUUGAAAUACACGACUUGAAAUGUUGGGCAUCAAGCUUGUUUCCGCAGAAUUCUUUGAAAUAAAUUCAUUUUCUCUUCUUCAUUGACUUGGUUUGAAACCCACUCCCAUCCAUGCAAAUCCAAAUGCAUAUGUAUUUUCAUCUGGUUGUGCUUAUUAAUAAAAAUAAAUCAAUGAAAUGCUGAAAUAACAAGUGCACCCACACGUGGAAGCAGCCUAGUGUGGCCAAGCACCUCUCAUUCGUUUUAUGUGAUACAAUUGGUUUGUUGCACUCUUUGUGCUAAUUUUACUUUCUCGGUUUUGGAAGGUUCUGAUGAUGGUAGCGGAUAUGCUUGGAGUGUACGGAGCGGGAAAGGGGUAUGAUAAGCAAAAUUCCUUGAUUCUCAUGCCUUUUGAAUGCUUAGAAUUCAAAGGGAUGUUAUUUCCCUUACAUUGACCCCAGUCAUAGCAUUCAUUGUCUUCUAGCCAAACCAACAAUGCUUUUGAAUCUACAUUUGAGCAUUUACCUUAAGCACCAGUUUGCAUAAUGAGUUCUGUAUCCAAAUACUAUAUUCUUUUGACAUUGGUAUUGUUAUUAUAUAAACAUUGUUUGGUUUUGUUUAUUUUUCUUGUCAGGGUUGCAAGUUGGAUGAGUUUUCAUAGUGAGCCUCCUGUCAUAAAAUGGGCCCCCGGAAGUCUCAUGUUUGUUACGGGGUCAUCUGAGCUAUCAUUUUGGAAUCCUAAUGUGUCUAAACUAGGAGCUUACGUUGGGAGGAAGUAAAGUUUCUAACACUCACCACCCUUAAGUAUCUGAAUAUUGAUGUCUAUCUAUUGCCGGGAGGGGAACUUGUUUGUAUAAGAAGUUGCACCGAUUAUGUAAGGAGAUGUUCAAUUUCCUAUGGUAGUAUGUAAAUGCAUCUGACUUACCUGCUAGUAACCUUUCCUAACAAGUUCUGAAGAAACAACAGUAGAUCUGGUAUCAAUACUUUAUUCAGAAGAGCAUUUCUUCUUACAUGCACAGCUAAGAGUACAUGAAUUGAGCUACUGAAGCCCUUCCUGACCAACCUGGCUAAGGCUCCUUGCAGUUUGUCCUCUUCAUGGUUCUUUGGCAGGCAACAGCGUAAGCAAUUGCCUGGACUAUGAGGCCUUUUGUAGCGGGGUGGGCACUGCCUAGGCAGUUUUUUGAAAAAACUAGGAGCUUUAUUUGUCUUUGACAUUUGUAGCACGAUUAGUUAUUACCUGGAUUAAGUUGUAUAUAUUACAUCGUAUACCUAAUCUGACAAAUAACAGGUUGCAAUCCAAGUUUUGUUGAUCAUGAAGGGUUUGAGCAUGAUAGUCCAUUUAGGUCAUUAGGUCAGCCGAAUGGAAGACCAAUGGAUUUGGAGGGUUUGUCUACAACGCAAACUAAGCUAAUAAUGCCUGUUCAUUGUUUUAUACUUGCCAUGUAUUUUUUUCCUGUAAUUGUCAGAUUGAUGUACAAGUUAAAAUGAUUGUAAAUAAAUUAUAUAUUAUAAUUUUAAAAAUAUUAUAAGCCCAUUGGUUUCAUAUAUAUAUAUAUAUAUAUAUUAGCUUUCUCUCCUACACCCAGGCUUUAUGCCUCUCGUGCCUCAGUUUGAUGUGAAGAAAUGGUCCAUCAAGGCCAUUGGUAAUAGUCAGCAAUAGCAAUAUUGCCUUUCUUCAAUCACAGCAAUGUUUAUUGGGUACGCAGGAUCAAUUAUCUUCAGUAAUUAACAAUUUAACAUAAUAAUAUAUCAUGUUUAUAAAUAUGUAAAUAAAUUUUAUUCAAUAUUUAUAGUUUUAUAGUAAUUUAAUAAUAAAAUUUACCAAACAUAUACAACUAUUUUUAUAACUCACAGCUCCUUUAAAAAGAAGUUUUUGUAAACGUUUAAUUAAUUUUCUUUACAAUUGAUUAUUUCUAUAGCACAGCUAACAUCAAUUAUUUUAAAAGCUACAACAUUACCAAAUUGGCCCCUUACUCUUUUUAUCAAAAUUAUUAUUUAAAAGUUCUAACUAUUUUUAUAACUCACAACUCCUUUAAAAAGAAGUUUUUGUAAACGUUUAAUUAAUUUUCUUUACAAUUGAUUAUUUCUAUAGCACAGCUAACAUAAAUUAUUUUAAAAACUACAACAUUACCAAAUUGACCCCUUACUCUUUUUAUCAAAAUUAUUAUUUAAAAAUUCUAAUUGCAACACGUUACCAACUUUUAUUUCACAUCUACAAUUUUUUUUCACAACAGCUAUACCUUAAAAGUCGCAUCAUCUUAAUACCAAAUAGGGCCAUAGUAAUUUGGGACCUUUUUUUCCCCCUUUCUCCUCUUCUUCAUCAACUUAAAAAAAAACUAGAAACAAAUCAGAGAAAUUGAGUAUGAAAUUAAGCAUUAGUCGAGUAUGAAGUUGGGUGAGUCGAGUAUAAAAUUAAGUACUUUUCUAUAUGAUUUUAAAUAAAGGGUAUUUUAAUAUUUUUCUGUGUGAUUUUGGAUAUAUUUCUAUAAUACCAGUAAACUAUGUAAUAAGCAUAUAUUUGUUAUUUUGUUGUGAAUGGGACAUAUCUGGCGCCAUUUGCUCCCGUGACCGAUCUUUAUAACAGAUCCAAUUACCCUCGUUAUAUUCACUGGAUCGAAAGCUGACAUAGCACAAUUCUGAUAUGUAAUGUGAGUGAUGGGAGAGUCACAAAUUAUUGUAUAAAUUUAUUUGAUCUAAAUUAAUUAGUAUAAAUUGAUAGAAAUAUAAAAUAAUAAAAAUAUAAAUCACGUAGACCAAGGUGUAUUUAAUAAAACUAAUAAAAUUUUACUCAAUCAGUUAAUAUAAGAAUUUGUAAUUUUAUUAUUACUCAUGGUACUUGAACAGUGGCUGAUUGGUCAACUAGUGAUAUAAGUGGCAACGACUAAACUGUUGAGUCUCUACGUGGGUUUUCAAAAUGAGUCAAGAGUCAAGAAAUUAGCUGUAAACAUGUCUUUGAGAUGAUACAUUGUCAUCAUCAGCAUCAUAUCCUAAUUGACAAAGAAGGAUUGCGAGGGAAACUAAGCAUGUGCCUUCAUUUUCACUUGAAAUAAAGCGCAAGGGAAAGAUCUCAUGUUAUCACAUGAUGCCGUGUGAUCACCUAGAAGCCCUUCCACGUAUAUUUCUUCUCAAAUUGUCUUCUUCUAAUUUCUUGGGCCACCGCGGAACCACAAUGUCAAUGGAUGAGCGAGUGUUGCUCAGCUCGCAGCAUUUGGAGCCGGAGCUCAGCUUCCCUUAUUUGUUGGUCGUUUGGUAGGCGUCGCCAAAGGGCAAAGAGGAUCCUCUGGCGUUCGUGGAGCUGGUCCUCAAUGCGAUUGAUUUCUUCUCCAAGUUGAGCAAGUCUUUGUACCAUAGCCAUAGAAUUAUUUACUUUGGACCGAUGCAAUUCUCUUCUAAAAAUUUCAGGGAGCACUUUUCAUCUGCACCCAAAGAUUUCAUCAUAAUUUUAUUGUAUACACACUUGCUUCAACAGCUAUCACGGCUCACUCUUUUUUUGUUAAAUAUUGUUGUUGCCAUUAAUUUUGACAUAUUUGACGUUAAAAGACAACUUUACCUUUAUUUAUAUUUUUUAAUACAAAAUUACCAAAAAACCACAACACCAAUUUCUAAUUCCAAUUGACUUGUGGGGAUAUUAAAAUUUAAUUUUGGCAUCUUUGACCUUAAAAGAUAAUUUUACCCUUAUUUAUAUUUUUUAAUGCAAAAUUACCAGAAAAACCACAACACUAGUUUCCAAUUCUAACUCACCUAUGUGGAUAUUAAAAUUUCUUAAAGGUUAGAAAAAAAGUAAAAAUGUGUUGUUCAAAAUAUCUCCUCUGCCAUCAUCCAUAAACGUCCAUUCUUCAUAACAAUCUAGUAAACUUGCAAAAAGCAAGAUCCCAGUCAAUCAACCAGCCAAAAUUCUUCAUAAAGUUUAGCUUUUCUUAAAAAAACUUAAAUCUUGAGUUAAAAAUUUUAAUUCCUGAGACCCUAAAUUAACUGGUAUUGAAAGUCGCAUGUUUCUAUAACAAAAAUCUUCAAAAAUAACACUACAAUGAAAAUCUUCAAGUUAAAUAAAAAUUUAUAUUCAUAAUAUUUAUGAAUAAAUUAUAAAUAAUAUAGAGUGGUUUAAUUGAAUAUAGAGUAGUUUACAAUUUUAUAGUGUAUUCACUAAAUAGGAAUCGAAAUUAUUUGGAAACAUAAUGAGUUAGAAUCAGAAUAUGUAGAAUCGAAAUAAGGAAUUAGAAUCAGAAUAAUUUAUUUACUUGAACUGUAGGAAUCGUAAUUAGAAUGAGUUGUUUACGUGUUUACUUUGUCUUAGAAUCAAAAUCGGAAUUAGUUAAAUUGUAACAAAUUACUAUAAAAUCCUUAAUUAAUUUUUAUCAUAAUUAUUAUUUCUUAUUUUAACUAUUGUGAUUAUUAUUAAUAAAAAAAUUAUUUAUUAACAAUAAUUAUUGUUAAUUAUUAUUAUUAUUAAAAAGUUAACUAAAAAUUAUUAUUAAUUAUUGUUAAUAGAUUAAUUAAUUAUAAUACUUUUUAUUCUUGUUAUUAAUAAUAAUAAUAAUCCAUUUAUAAUUUAUAAUUUUAUUUAUAAUUAAGUGGAAAUUAAAGUGGUAGGGUCCCAAUCAAAAUGUGGCACGAACACAUUUAUCCAACAGCAAGAUUUUUCGAUUGCCAUCCCCACUAAUUUGGUGUAAUGACUAAGAGUUAAUUGAAAAAUAUUUAGUUUAAUUUUACAUUUAAUUUUUUUCAUUUUUGUAUUAAGAAUUAUUUGAAAAAUUAUUAUAUUCCCUUAAUUUUACCAGAAUCCCGUUGACUUAGCCCCGAGUCUCUUGAUUAAAGCGUUUUAAAAAAAAAAAAGUUCAAAAGAUUCAGAUAGCUCACUCGAUUAUAGGGCGUCUGCACCUUACGCUCGCUUUUGUUGUGCUGCCAGUAGCUGCUGCUUCCUUCAAGACCGAGCUCUCUGCCGCUGUUGCUUCCUUCAAGACCGAGCUCUCUAAGCCCCUCACUGUCGAUUUUGACCUUUGCUUCCUUUUGGCUUCACGAUCUAGAAGCCAUCGUCGCUUCAUUCAAGCCAUCACUUCACGAAAGAAAAAAUAAUAAUAAUAAUAGUGGUAAUAAUAAAUACUCUUACAGAUCUCUUCUUCAUCAAAUUUGUAAAAUUUAGAGAAAAUGCAAAACAGCAAUAAUGAUGAAGCUUCGGUGACAAAGACGACGGAGAAGCCGCCGCUGCCGAAGCGAUCGAAGACGAUCUCGACGACACUCACUUCCCAGGCCCACUUUUUCCCGCCGUUCGCCAAACCGACAAGCCGUUCGAUCUCCGCGUGUCCCUUGACUCCGAUGCUGUGGCGUCGUCUUCUUCGUCGUCGUCGUCGAGUAAUGGGUUUAACGAAAGAGACUGGAUGUACCCGUCGUUCUUGGGCCCGCAUAUGGGUCGGAGGCGGAUCAAAGUCAAACCCAAUAAGCUUGAAUUUAAAGGAAAUGAGGAGCAGAAGAAGAUUCAAGAGUUGGGUUCGAAGAAAGAAGAGAAGGAGGUGGCGAGUUUUUCAGUGACUCAGACGAGUUCAGUGAGUCAGUUGAGUGGAAAGACUCGUGGGUUAAAGAGCUCCUUGAUGACGUAUUACAUGGUUAGUAGUUUGAGUUGAGCUCAACUGCUGUAAAUUUCUUUAUAUUUUAGCUUAAAACGUUGACAAAUUAAACUUAAAAAAUCAAUGAAAUGUAAAGCUGGUAUUUUUCUUUUUCUUUUUUUCUUUCUAUCACUAAAGAAGAUAAAGAAUCGUGAUCAUAAAAUCUAAGUAUUACGAAUGCAAUCUUCAUCGCAAUUGAACAUUGUAGGACUAUUUUCUAAAGUUGAAUGAAAUCAACAUAUUCACGCAUACAGCCCAGCAAAAGAAAACUUCACUCAAUGAAAACCGACGCCAAUGCUUAAUUAAAGUCAAACACAUGACAUUAAGAAAUUUCUAAUAAUCUUAGAAAUAAGCUAGUCCAUAAUCACUUGAGAUCAUUUCCUCACCCCAUAAUCCAUCAACUAACUGAGAAAUGACAACUCACCAAUUAGUUUUUCAUCAGAACUCAUAACACAGCACUUACCCAUUCACAUAAUAAAAGUAUUGACAUUAAUGAGAGCGUAACUUAAUCAAAUAAUAAUCCAUUAAUAAAAUGAAAAUUAACAACUUAUACCUUCAUAGAUGAUUCUUGUGCACUUGACUUUCUAAGCAAAGAACGUCACUAUUCUUUUCAAGAAGGCAGCCACCACAAAGCAUAGAAGCUUCUUCAUAUAAUAGUACAACAAUCAAAACCUGAAACAUACGCAUUAGUAUUAAUUUAUUAUAAUUUAGCAGCAGUAAAUAUUUUUAUAAAAAAGUUAUCUGCAGUAAAUAUAAGAAUAACAAAGAAUAAAAUCUUAGAUCAACAACAGAGAACCUAAACUCUACAACUUGCUUGAACUACUAUCAACAUCAUACUGCAUAAUCAAAUAGACAAAAUAGUUUAAUAUAUAAUUUGUAUUGACCUGCAUACUAUCACGUAAAAAAUAUUGUAACAAAAACAAAACAUAAAAUUGUUUGGUGAUCACAAUGGAUCCUGGAAUGACAACAACUACAUUAUUAUAAUGAGUUUGACAUGUCAUUGUACAUGGAUUCGUUAUGAUGAAUCAUGAAACACCGUUGAGUAGUUAAUUCAGCCACUUUUCACCUAUAAAUUUGAUGGCAUACUUUGAAUACACAACAUGGUUAUAAAUAUAAGUUUAGAGAAUUUUUGUGGGAAAGAAUAAUUUUGUUGACAAAAGAUUAAGUACAAAAAUUAUAACAUCUCCAUUUUUAAUAUAGCUGACAUAAGUUAUUCGAGUGAAAAAAAAAAAAGAGGGAACUUAGAUACGCCAUAUUAAAUAGGGCAGUAAUAAAAAAAAUCUAAUUGACAUAAAUUAUUUGAGCAAAUGACAAAUUUUUGCUAAGAAACUCGUUUUCAUUUUUUCCCAAAUAAUAAUCAAUGUUUUUUUCCACUACGCAUCGAAAGAGCUCGCAUCGACAUCAAUCAUGAACCAGUCGUGGCCUAGCUAUAUUGCCUGCAUUAUGAAUACCACCUAUGACCUUUACAGCCUAACCGUUUAUCUCAGUCUAUUUUUAAUACUCAGUCACAGGUCCAGACCAUUCAAGUUCAGGACAUGACCCUACUGGUCCCAUUAUAUAUCUAUUUAAAUUUCUUUUUUUUUAGAAUGUCUAUUUAGAUUUCUUAAAUUUAAAAAACAAAUCAACUUCUAGCCCUUUAAAAAAAAAAAAAUCUAAAAUCAACAAAGCUAUUAAUUUGAAGAUAUUUUGAAUUCCAAUUCCCAAUUAAAAUCAUGAAUAUAUCAGCUAUAUCAUAGCUUCAGCAUAACUAGUAAGUGGUGACAUCAAAUUUUCAAAUAUUUGGAACUGGAAGCAAAUAUCUAGUUAAUGAUUAAAGUAGUUGACGAAUAAAACCUCUCGUAUUAUCAUAGAGGCUACCCCAAUAGCUUGCAAUAACUAUGUAUGGUGCAGUAAAGUUUCAGGAUAGAUGAAUAAACUAAAAAGCAAAAGAGAAAUAUCAGUUGCAGCAAGAACUACGUCAUCUCCACCUCGAUUAUUAUUCAAAUAUUAACACCAAAUGUCACUGAACAACACAAGAGAAACAUGAUCCAUAUUUUAAAUGUAUCUGAAUAGCAUAAAUAUGAAAAUCAUUGCAGAAAGUAAAAAAAAAAAAAGAAAAAAGUAAAGAGAAAUUUAUCUCACAGCAUUCCUAUUAUUAAAAAAUAUCAAAUAAAUGUGCUCCGAGAUAUAACUUCAUGCACAUUCAGAAGUUCUCAGGCCAAAGAACAUUAUAGCAACUACAAAAACUCAUGAGCCAGCAGGUCUUGUCCCAGUACAAGGUGAAGCAACUAAAAUUAUGCUUUAAGAACUUUAUAUAUAUAUAUCACGAACGCAGGAAGAAAAUUAUUUCUAUAUCAAAAUCAAGAUCACCCAACCAAACAAUGGUACCUUCCAAUAUACCUAGUGUAUGUAUAUAGGCAUCCAUUGAUUGAUACUUUGAAUUUAAUUAAUAAAUCAAUUUCAGGUGUCAUGUUUCCACAUUAAAGAGAGAUAAUAACAAUUAACUAGAUAUGACAGGACUGGAUAAAAAUUUGCUCAAAAUAUACUACAAAGAUCAAAUUUUAUUACUUUUCACCUGCUGUCAUUUCUCUCCAACGUCAGAUCAUGACCUCGAGCAACUCUUUCGGCUUUCUUCGCCCAUUUUUCUUCUUUUUACAGCAUGAAGCUAAUACGAAGCCAAAUGAAAAGUAGAUUAGUCAUUUCAAAUUCAAUUUAAUUGUCAAUUGAAAAGUUCAAUUGUUACCUUCAUCAGCUGUAGAAUCAAUAGUUAAUGAAAUAUACAAUAAGAAGAGUAAAAAAUUUCACCUGCAAAUUAGGACAGCCGAGGAAGCAUCCGUAAACAUAAGAGUAAUUAUAUCACUCUGAAAUUUCAUAAGAGAGAAUUAGGACAGCAGCGAAAGAAAUAAACAAAGCAAUUUGCAAAGGACACAGGCAUAAACAUGAUAGUAAGAAUAAAAUAUCAAACUGUAAGAAGAAGCGAGAAAAACAAAUCAAAAACAAACUGAGAAGCAGGAAGAGCUGUGAUGGUAAAUUCUUCAUCUAAAGCAGUUGAAGAACGAGCAAUGGAUACCGGUCCUUCUUCGUGCUAUCGAGAAAGGAGUCAGAGUUGAGAUCGAGAGAACAACGGAGACCGAUUCUUCGUCUCCGUAAUUUUCCCCUUUUUCUAAAAUGCUAUUUCGCAUUUCCUUUGCUUUUUGGUUUCCGUAUUUCGAUUUUGUUUUUAAUUAGGUAAGAAAAAAAGAUCGGGCCCUAUUUCAAAAGAAAAAUAAGAAGGGGCCCUAAAAGUAAUUUUUCCGAGCCCAUGCAUUCGAUUAAAAUAUUUCAUUAUCUUAGUGGACAGAUUGCCCAAGAAAAAAUAUUCGAUUAAAGCACAUAUUUUAAAAGGUAAAUAACGCGCUCAGAGAUGUUUAAUCAAUAAUACAGUUGUUUAUUAUAGUGAUAACUACUACUUAUAUAUUAAUUCUUCAAAAUAAUUCCACAUUUAUCAUAUUAUCAUUUACUUAUUUUGUAAGCGUUUUAAAGAUAUUUAAAAAUUUUUCCAUUUGACAAUGCUCAAUUAAGGGUAAAGUUUAAAUUAUGUCACAAAAAGUUUUUGAACAGCAUUACACAAAGCAUUUACUGUUUUAACAAAAGAAUGCAUAUGAGGGGACAAAAAAAAGUAAAAGUAUGAGUUUGACUAUUAUCACAGUAAUUAUUUCUAUUUCAAAAGUUGAAAUGUGAACCUUAACAUAUUUUGCGGAAUUUUUUCAAUUACUUUUUAAAAUUACAUGUACAUGGAUGAUUGCUUACUAUUGUGAAAGGCGAUAUAUUUAAUUUGAAGAAAAUUCCUUCUAGACCGGUAGCGUUGGUCGUAGUUGCCCUGUCGAAGAAGUGUUGUUAGCUCGAAACCUAUUGCAAAUGUCAAUGCAAAAUGGUUUCAAUGUUUCGUUGUAGAGCUGACGACAAGCUUCUGAAAACAACGUGCCAUAUUGAAACACAACAACAAUAAUGGCAGUGCCAAUCCAUGUCGUGUACAAAAUGAAAUGGCCAAUAUUGGAACGUGGAAUAAAUGUGGAGACCAAUGAUAUUGCCGAAUUCGAUCCUGAGACAAUAGCAACAAGGCCCCAGAAUUGGGAAGAAUUUUCUAGAUGAAGCCGAGACUUGAGGUCUGCUGAAUGUGCAUAACAAUAUAUGGCUGUGGCAAUGAGAAAAGACAAUAUAUUUAUUGAGUGUGUUUCAAGCAAGGGCUUAGUUUUGCCUUGCACAUUUGCACCCACAAUGCCAAUGAGAGCUGGAAUCAGAUAUCCAAAAAUGCUGGGAUAUGACAUCGACCAGAAGAGAUUUCGCCCACUGCAAGAUCAUUAAAAUGAUUAAAUCAUCUUUUGUAUAUCCCAUUUUUUGACAAAAAAUUAAAAUUGAAAAGCUCUUGUAUUAAUUUCCUCUCAGUUUGUCUAUCAAUUUUUUUUCUUUUGACUGAAGCAAUUCUCCUCUAAAAAUUUGAGGGAACACUUUUCAUCUGCACCCAAAUGUUUCAUCAAAAUAUUAUUGUAUACCCAAAUGUUUCAUCAAAAUUUUAUUGUAUACACACUUGUUUCAAUAGCUAUCACGGCUCACCCAUUUAUGUUAAAUAUUUUUUUUUUUGCCAUUAAUUUUGACAUCUUUGACAUUGAAAGACAGUUUUGCCCUUACUUAAAAUUUUUAAGUGUAAAAUCACCAAAAAAAACUACAACACUAGUUUCAAAUUCCAAUUGACGUGUGUGAAUAUUAAAAUUUCUUAAAAGUUAAAGAAAAAAAGUAAAAAUAUUUUGUUAUGGGAAUCAAAAUAUCCCCUGUACCAUCAUCAUCCAUAAUCGUCCAUCCAUGAUAACAAUUUAAUAAACUUGAAAAAGCUAGAAAUCCAAUCCCAGUGCAUCAAACAGCCAAUUUUCUUCAUAAAGUUUAGCUUUUGCUUUUAAAAAUUCUAACUCUUGAGACCCUAAAUAAACCCAUAUUCAAAGUUACAUGUUUCCAUAUAACGAAAAUCUUCAAUUUACCCCUUUAAAAUUUUGAAAACAUUAAUUUACUUCUAUUUAUCAGUCAAAAGAUUAAAAUAAAUGGAGACACGUUGAGGAUAAACUUUUUAACUUCAAAGUGGUAUUUGAUAAAUAUAAAUAAAUUGAAAAUUAUCAUUUUUUAGUGGGAAUAAGUUACUAAGAGAAAGAAAGAAAACAGAAAACAAAUCUCUUCUAUAGCAGUCUUAACAAAAUUUUCAGCAGGGACUUGAACCAAUUUUUUCACGGAAAUUAAUUAACAGAACAAAAACGCUUUGAAGUGGACUGCACAUAUAUAUAUAUAUACUCAAAAAUAAAUAUACAACUGGAGUCAAUAACGGUAAAUAAAAUGAACGUACACAGAAGGGUUUGGAUUUGGAUGAUGAAGAAUGCACUGACAGCUUUGCAUUUGCAUGCAUAUAUAUCUCAGCAAACCCUGGAUUGAGUUCUUUUUCUCUCGGUAAAUAAGGUAGGGAACAGCAAACCCGAUCAAUUUUCAAAAAAGAAAAAACAAAAACAAAAACUGAAAUGUAAACUCAGCAUGAAACUUGGGAGGGAAAGGGGAGGGGUGAAAAACGGUCACCUUGAGAACCGUCUCAAUUAUCUCUGCUUCAAAAAAUCAUCCCGUGGGUAUUUAUAUUUUAUUUUCAAGUCGUUGAUGCCGCGAGUCCACGGCUGGAUAAGUACGGGGUUUCGAAGAAAUAACGUGCGCGAUUCUAAACAUUGUUUAAUUACAAUUCCAAAGUGUUGAAAAUGACUGCGUUAUCCCCCGACUUUUUCAAUUCCUACCGAGUGUUGAAAAUGACUGCGUUAUCCCGUCUUUUUCAAUUCCGACCGAGUGCUGAAAAUGACAGCGUUAUCCCCUGUCUUUUUCAAUUCAAAAGUGUGUGGCAUCUCUGUAGCUCAAUUCAUGUACCCCUAGAUGUACAUGUAAGAAGAAAUGCUCUUCCAAAUAACAUAUUGAUACUAGAUCUACUGUUGUUUCUUCAGAACUUGUUAGGAAAGGUUACUAGCAGGUAAAUUAGAUGCAUAUACAUACUGCUAUAGGAAAUUGAACAGCUCCUUACAUAAUUGGUGUAACUUCUUAUACAAACAAGAUCCCUUCCCGGCAAUAGAUAGACAUCAAUAUUCAGAUACUCAAGAAAUUAUAAGGGUGUUGAAUGUUAGAAACUUUACUUCCCCCCAACAUAAGCUCCCAGUUUAGACAGAUCAGGAUUCCAAAAUGAUAGCUCAGAUGAUCCGAUACAAACAUGAGACUUCCAGGGGCCCAUUUUAUGACAGGAGGCUCUGUAUGAAAACUCAUCCAACUUGCAACCCUGACAAGAAAAAUAAACAACAACAAACAAUGUUUAUAUAAUAACAAUACCAACGUCAAAAGAGUAUAGUAUUUGGAUAUAGAACUCAUUACGCAAACUGGUGCUCAAGGUACUUGCUCAAAUGUAGAAUCAAAAGCAUUGUUGGUUUGCCCAGAAGACUGUGAAUACUAUGACUGGGUCAGUGUAGGGGAAAUAACAUCCCUUUGAAUUCUAAGCAUUCAAAAGGCACGAGAAUCAAGGAAUUUUGCUUAUCAAACCUCUUUCCCGCUCCUUGCACUCCAAGCAUAUACACUACCAUCACCAGAACCUUCCAAAACCCAAGAAAGUAAAAUUAGCACAGAGAGUGCAACUAAUGAGAGGUGCUUGGCCACACUAGGUAGGUUGCUUCCGCAUGUGUGGGUGCACUCACUAUGUCAGCAUUUCAUUGAUUUAUUUUCAUUAACAAGCAGGUCAAUGGAAAAAGAGAACAUAAAUUCAUUGCAAAGAACUCUGUGGAAACAAGCUUGAUGCCCAACAUUUCAAGUCGUGUAUUUCAAAUACCAACAAGGUGGUAACAAAAUUGAGAAUUAUAUACAGCACAAGUGCAAGAACCUUAAUAAACAGCCAAAAGCAAAUAUUAAUAAAUUAUCCAAGUCACUGUGCCCUAAGAACUGAAAGGAGAAACUCUACCUAGCUGAAAGAUGCCUCCAAUGUGGAAUUGCGAGAAACUGGCAUCGCAUUAUAAAUGGAUAAAUAAAAACAACAGCAAACAGAAGCUCAUUAACAGAGAUUCCAAUGUAUAGAGGGAUAUAUAUGUACAAUAUGUUACAUUUGGGAGAUGAAGAAAGAAAAAGUAAACUCACAAGUGUGCCUUGGAAUGAGUGGAGCACAUGAAUAUGUCCUUCCAUAGUGGUCAGAAGCAUGUCUCCCAUCAUUGCUGAGCUUUACCUCAUUAGCAUCUGAUACAUCUCCACCAUCAGAGAAGAUGUCGAAAGGACCCUAAGAGUAUUCAAAUUUAACCAAAUUAGUGCAUGAUAAAAGGACUACGACAUAUAAACUUCCAAGAUAUUCUUAAAUAUUAAUUUUAACCUCAUACUUGCGAGCAUCAAACAAUCUUAUGUAUCCUCCAAAGGCAACUGCAAAGACAUGCCCUUGAUCAUUGUAUGCUGUAGCAGGCCUUCCUUGAACAUGCAAAAGACCCUGAUUUGCCAACAGAGAUCAUAAAUACAAUUGAAAAUGGGGGAAAAAACGGUUUGGAUGUGACCAUGCAUGGCAUGAUAUCCACCUGGCAUUUCUCAGCCUGUUGAUCCCAGAGCAGAACAGUUCGAUGAAGAGAACCAUAGAUAAAGCAAUCUUUGGAGGAGCACAGGCUAAGUGAAACAACCCUAGAAGCAGUAAAACAUAUAUAAAGAUAAUAAUGAUUACAAAACAUUUACAAGAAUCAGCAAAUUACAAACCUUUCAUGAUGACCUUUGAAGCAAUGCAUGAACUUGUUGUCGUGGAAGGAAAGAAGCCUUAGAGAUUCUGAAUAAAUGAACAUAUCAAAUAAGUGCCUAGUAAAGCAAUCCACCAACAUGCAAAACACAAAUAUUCCGAUAAACAUACCAUCCCAACCAUUCUUGAGGAAUAUAUGAAAUGUAAGUUAGGGAUUGCCAAGAAAAAAACUUUGAUCAAUUUCCAGCUGAGAAUAUUUAUGCCAACUCUUGCCGCAAUCACAUCUGCAAUAGUUCCCACUGUUGGAUACACUAACUUAUAAACAGCAAUUCUGACAGAAAAAAAAACGGGGGUUAAAGUUAUAAGUACAAUCAAUUAGGUGGUAGCCAUGCAAUAUGAAUGUACUUGGUUUGCUGCCUAAUAGCUAGGCAUACAUAUAUAUAGGCAUUCAUUAAUAUCGAAUUAUUUUUAACAUUCAAAUAAGUUAGAAAAAACAUAGAAAAACUUACGGGGCACAUAUCGCCAUCCCACUGGCUAGCCCAUAAAAGAAGCCAUCGACGACCUCCGGAACACCAGCAUUUCCAGCAGCAGCUGAUGCUACAUGGCUAAUGUGUACACACACAUGUUCAUCUCUCAAUAUCAGUGUGUGCAAUAAGUGAAAAGAUAUAUAAAUUAGAUUGAAAGCACAAGUAAAUAAACAUGAAUGAAUACCUGCCAUGUCCAACAGCAUGAAAGGGCGAAAGAAAGUCCACAGAAGUGUUAAGAAUAUAUGAAAUGUAUAUUCUUGAGGAAAUUACAACAAUUUCCUCUCAAUUUCACAAUUAUUUGCGCUUGAAUGACAGAAUGAGCUUUGAUCAUUAAUUUAUCCAUGCAUGAAGUUAUAGUAGAUAUGAAAUUACGUGGACAAAAAAUUAUUAUUUUUUACCUUUUUUUACCAACACCGAUAUGCUCACACCAAACUUCUUUUACAGUUAGCACAAAACGGUUCGUUUUGUGCUAACUAUAAAAGAAGUUACUGUAGCUUCAAAACACACGCACUCGUCUUGCUCAGACGCAAGCGCAGACCACACGCACACUCGUCUUACUGAAACGCAAACGCUGAGGAGGCAGAGACUCGCCGUGGAAAGUUUGUUUGACAUAAGUUGUCUGACGAUUUUGCCCUUGAAAUGAAGAUUACGCCUCAUGACUUAAAAUCGCUUGGGUUGUGUUUCUGUUUCUGCGUUUGUUCUUCCUCUUCGCUUUCGGCAAGUGAAAUAAAUGAAUAAACAUUAGAUGGAGUUUUAUUCAAUAUUUAAAAUUUUGUUAAUUUGUAACGUGAUUGGAAUUUUAAUUAUUAUAAGAAAUAAGUUCUGGAUCGGAUUUUAAAAUACUUUAUUUGAAUACUCUAAAAAAUGCAGUAUGUUCACAAACUGUAAUUGCCGAUAUAAUUCCCCAGAACCCCAAUUCCAGAUUACUUAAAUCACGGCGGGGGCUGCGGUAUGUUCACAAGGUAAAAAAUGCAGUACGUUCACCAUUCCAAGUAUAACCCUUUUGACACAGUUCGCCUUCUAUUUCAAAGUUCAUACAUUUUCAAAAUUAUUAAACUAAAAUCAGCCAGAACCAAUUUUUUUUCCUUUUCAACUUCUAUUAAAAUUUCACUAUAAUUUAAAUAAAAUAAAUUAAAAAUCCAGCCCAAAAAACGAUUGCUGCAAUACUGAGUGGCAAAACUUAAUUGCUAUCGUUACCGCAAAAUUCAACACCCAACAACCAAAAUUUCAAUUUCAAAUCUAACCUUAAAUCCACCAACUGAAAACAAAUCCACACGAAAUGCGACAUCAAAUGAAAGGAACAAGAAGUCAAAAUCAAAACCGAUGAAACCUUUAUUAGAGAGAAGAAAGAAAGCUUCGUUGUAUAAAGAGAAUGCGCGCGAUCGAAGGCUGUGCUGUAUAGAAAUAAAACAGCGAUCGAAGAAAGCGUCUUCGCUAUCGUUGUAUAGAGAGAACAGAGCGAUCGAAGACUGUGUCUUCACGAUGGGAGGCUGUGUUGAACAGAACGAUCAAAGACAGCGUCUUCAAGAGAGAGCAUAGAGCGAUCGAAGACUGCGUAUUCACGAUCAGAGGCUGUGUUGAACAGAAGGAUUGAAUGCUGUGCUGUAUAGAGAGAUCGAGGAGUAGAGAGAAGAUACCGGCGAUGACGCAAGAGCAAAGGCUCUGAAUUUAUAGGGGAGGGAUUAGCGCAACUUGACGGCCGUUAUGACCGUAAACGCCUCUGUUAGAUUUAACGGAGAAGUCACGGGGUUACCCGAUGGUCAUCAGCAUCUGGGAAUCUCAUCAGUUUAAUUAGUUAAAAAGAAUUAACCUUUUGCUUCAGAUCAAACGAUUCACAGUUAACCUUGAACAUCAAACAUGCAGGCUAAACUAUCAACUCAUACACAUUGAUUUUUUUUUUUCCGGUGACAUUAACGUCAAUGGUUAAAUAUAUAAGUCUAAAUUCAUAAAAUAUUAAUAUAGUUUAGGGGUCUAUCAAACCAACAGCAUGGUUGAUGUGUUUACUGAAUAAACAUUUAACACCAAAACAAGCUAGACCUACCCCAAACUAUAUGGCGGAUUGGAAGUUUUUGAAUUACCAGUUUCACUGAAAAAAAAGAUGGUGAUAAGUUAGGAUUCUAACGCUCUUUUAUACUAAUGCUGCGUUUACUUUUUGGAUUGGAGUGGAAAUCCUGAGGAGUGGGAAUCCUUGGAUUAGGAGUGUGGAGUGGGAGUGGGAGUAGGGUGUUUACUUAGACUAAAUGAAAGUAUGGAUUGUCAAUCAGAAUCCUAAUUAUUUGUUUACUUUGUCUUGGAUUGGGAGUAAAUUGUUUUAAAUUACCAUUUUAUCCUUAUGUACAGAAUUAUAAUUUGUAAUUAAAAAAUUAAUAAAAAAUAUAUUUAGAAAAUAAAAUAAAUAUUUUAUUAUAUUUAUAAAUUAAUAAUAAUUACUAAUAUUCUUAAUUAUGUAAAUCAUAAUUUUUUUAUUAAUUUAAAUUUAAAUUAUGUGAAUAAAAAUUAUUAAUAAUAGCAACACAAAUGAAAUAUUAUUAUUGAUAAUAUAGUACAAAAUUAAUAUUUUUUUAGAAUAAAAUAUUUAUUAUUAUUAAUUAAAUAAAUAAUUAAUAUUUAUUAAAAUUAAUUUUUAAUAUUAUUAAUUUAAAUAUAAUAUUUAUUUAUUUUUAUUUUAUUAAAUUUAAUAAAAUAAAUAUGAUAUAAUUAUUAUUUUUAAUAAAUAUGAUAUUAUUUAUUUUAUUAAAUAUGAUAUUAUUUAUUUUAUUAAAUAUGAUAUUAUUUAUUUAUUUAUUUUUAUAAGGAUAAAAUGGGAAGAGGGGGGAGUGGGUUCCCACUCCCACCUCCCCCCAUGGGAGUGGGAAUCCCACUCCCCACUCCAAAAUUGGGUGGGACCCACGGAUUCCCACUCCCACUCCCCCCCUUUUUAAGGUAAGUAAAUACUGGAGUGGAAGGAAUCCACACUCCACACUCCCACUCCAGAAAGUAAACACUACCUAAAUCAUAAAACAUAAAUUUACCGAAUUAGGUAACCCGAAUUAUGAUGUCUUAAUAAAGUUGUAAUUGCAAAACAAGCCAAAACUUAAAUCCAAGUCUAAAGAAAAAACCAAAGAUCUGAAAAGAAUUUUAAAAAUUAGAAAUGAAAACUUCAAAUAAUGAAAUGAUACCCAGAGCAAAUGAAAUUGGAGAUGAUAACCAUAGCGUUAGUAACGCGUCGUUAAAUUGUCAUAACUCGAAACCACGUUAUUCGUUCAUGCACGAUACCUCUGGACUGAAGACCCAAAAUAAUAUAUUUUUUUUAAAAGUAAUGAAAACCGAAAUUACAAGUAUUCUACUAUUUUUUUUAAUUUAAAGGGACCAAUGAAAACCGAAUGAUCAAAACUGCGUUAUUUGUUCAUACACGAUACCUUCAGGAUUAUAACUCAUAUCACAUGAGACUAUUUACUAAUAUAUUUAUAAUCAGAUAAUUAUUAGAACAAUAGACCAUAUUUUUUAGGUUUUCAAAUAUUUAAAAAAUGUCUACUCCACUCUCAUUUCGAAAGAGAAAAAAUUACUUUUACAUAAUUAUUUUUAUAAUUGAGAAGAAAAUUUUAGCUUCCACAAAAUGGAUGGAGGGCAGCAGCUCAAGGCAAGUAUUCUCUAUUGUUAAAUUGUCAUUAAUUGGAAAGCGAGUUAUUCGUUUAUACGCGAUACUUUUGGACUCAAGACCCAAAAUGGAUAAUAAAAAAUUGAAAAAAAUUCAAAGAAAGAAGUAAAAAGUAAUAAAACCGAUAUUACGGGUAGUCUACUAUUCUUCUUGUCAUGAGUCGACUUUUUCCAAAAAAAAACCAACAGUAAAGUAAAAAAAAAGAAAAAAUAGUUAAUGGAUAUUUCUACGUAAAUGGUGUCAAAUAACAAGUUUAUUUAUUUAUUUUUUGGGGAUGAAAUAACAAGUUUAAUUAAAUAAUAUGCAUAUGUCUUAUACACAUUUUUGCUUCUUUACCCUCUGUGUUGAAUGAGAAUGAAAUUGACCCGGACAAGGACAGUAUGGCGUAACUCUUAUUUACUACUUGAAUUCCUCUCUCUUUAUUCUUUCCCAAUAACCCCAUUUAUAACACUAUUUCUUUGAUAUUUUUGUAAUAUUUUAUCACAAUAUAUAUUUAUUGCAGUGCACAAUUAAGAUUUAACAAUAGGGUUAUAAAUUUGAUAAGCAUAAUAUUGUUAACUGUUAAGCAUCCCACUUAUAUAUAUAUAUAUAUAUAUAUAUAUAUAUAUGAUAAUUACAACACCUUUAAGUAGCAUAGUUCUACUUACAAAUUUAAAUACAGUGUUAAGUUGAGCUGUGUUAAUUGAUAAAUCUUGAUUUUAAAAAAAAAAUUAGAGAAGAAAAGAGUAAAGAAGGAACUAAGAAGAAAUAACUUUAAUAUAUUAAAAAUUAUAUAAACUUAAAAGGGGGCUUUUAGGACAAUAAAUGAUAUAUACAUUUUUUAACAAAAGAAAUUUAAAUUUAUUUUUAAAGUCACCAGGAGCUUCAAUUCUUAGUGGGCACCAUAUGGCAUGUGGAAUCAUUCAAGGGUCUUAUAGUAAGUAAAUCGCUUUCCUUUUUAUAUGUGAAUAGAGAUAGUAUGAAUGAGCAUAUGAUUUUUUUUUUCAAAUAUUGAAAAAGAAAUAAAUAUAUUUUAUAAAAAAAAUAAAAUAAAUAUGUCAUUCCGAAAUUUACAUUAAAAACUGCAUACUUAAGAUUUUAAUUAAAUCAUGCUUAUUCAAAUUUCAAACAAAAAUAAAAAUAAACAUCACCAUUGACCUUUAAUUAAAAAGUGUAGGGGGUAAUAGUGAAGACGAACUUUUUUAUAAUAGCGAUUAAAACAUGACCCUAACUCUAAUUGUAGGGUCAAAUUUAUAAAAAGUAGUAACUUUUUUUAACGCAGGACGGACUGAUUUUAUUGUUGUAGGUAAUCUCGUGUCAUACGCAAAGUGAAAAAGAGUGUGAAACGACGAUAUUAUUCCAAGCACAUGCUUGGGCGCGGCGGGCCCUCGCAAACCCAUUUUAACACCGCGUUAGCCUUGUUUGGCUAAAUAAUAUGCAUAUGUCUUAUGAACGUCUUUACUUCUGACCCCAUGCGUUGAAUGAGAAUGAAACUGACACAAAAAAAGACAGUAUGGCUUAUCUUUUAUUUAUGACUUUGAAUUCCCCUUUCUUUAUUCUCUCUUAAUGACCCCAUUAACAACGCUAUUUCUUUGAUAUUUUUAUAAUCUAACUCGCUUGGUUCACUUAGUGAGGUGAGCUUCAAAAUAUUGGUCUUGUACCCUUCAGGAUUUAAAAUCUCUGUUAACUAUGUGACACGUCCAUCUUGUUUCCUCCUAAUUUGCUCCCCUAUGGCAUUAAGGUGAAUCUUCUUCAUUCACAGAGAUGUUAAGUAACUCAGCAUUAUCAGCAAGACCUAUUCAAAUUGUGUUUGUGUAUGUAUGUUGUAGCUUUCUCUCCUACGCCUAGCCUUUAUGCCUCUUAUGCCUCAGUUUGACAAGGCCAUUGGUAACAAUCAGCAAUAGCAAUACUGCCUUUCUUCAAUCAUAGCAGUGUUUAUCGGGUACAUAAGAUCAAUUAUCUUCUUAUUAAUUAAAAAAAUAAUAAAAUAAUAUAUAUUUAUAAAUGUAUAAAUUAAUUUUAUUUGAUAUUUAUAUUCUUACAAUAGUUUAACAGUAAGAUUUACCGAACAUAUACGAUUGCUUUUAAAACGCACAAUACUUUUAAAAAUAAAUUUUAGUAAACGUUUAACUGAUUCUCUUUACAAUGAUUAUUUCUAUAGCAUAGCUAACAUCAAUUAUUUUUUAAAAGUCCUAAUAGCAAUUCAUUACCAACUUUUUUUUUGCCACAACAGCUAUAGCUUAAAAGUCGUAUCAUCUUAAUACCAAAUAGGGCUAUAGUAAUUUAGUGCCCAUUUUUUUUCUUUUUUCUUUUUCUUUAGCAACUUAAAAAAAAUCUAAAACAAAAAAGGAAAAUUGAGUAUGAAAUCAAGCAUUAGUCAAGUAUAAAGUUGAGUAAGUCGAGUAUAAAAUUAGGUACUUUUUAUAUGAUUUUAAAUAAAGGGGAUUUUAGUUUUUUUCUUUGUGAUUUUGGAUAUAUUUCUAUAAUACCAGUAGAGUAAACUAUGUAAUAAGCAUAUAUUUUUCAUUUUGCUGUGAAUGGGACAUAUCCAACGCUAUUUGCUCCCGUGACCGAUCUUUAUAACAAAUCCAAUCGCCCUCGUUAUAGUCACUAGAUAGAAAGUUACCAUAGUACAGUUCUUAUAUGUAAUGUGAGUGAUGGCAGUGUUACGAACCUUUGUAUAAGUUUAUUUUGUAUAAAUUAAUUAGUAUAAACUUAUUGAUUGUAUGAAAAUAUAAAAUAAAAAAUAUAAAUAAUGUAGACUAAUGUGUAUUUAAUAUAACUAAUAAAAUUUUGCUACAUCAGUUUAUAUAAGAAUUUAUAGUUUUAUUAUUACUCAUAUUAAGUAAACAGUGCGUGAUUGGUCAGACGGCGGCAUAAGUGGCAAUGACCAAAUUGUUGAGUCGCUGACGUGGGUUCUCAAAAUGAGUCGAUAGUCAAGAAAUAAGCUAUCAAGUUAUGACAAUAUAUUGUAAACAUGUCUUUAAGAUGAUACAUUAUCAUCAUCAAUAUCAUAUCCUAAUUGAAAAAGGUUUGCAAGGGUCCGCCGUGUCCGAGCAUGUGCUUUCAUUUUCACUUGAAAUAAAGCGCGAUGGAAAGAUCUUAUUUUAUCACAUGCCGUCCAUGUUGGGGAAAAAUCAGAUUUUUAAAUUUUUAUAAAACCUUUCGAAGAUUGCUCUCAUAUAAUAUAUAAGAAUACGUAAUCUAGAAAUCAUACCUUGAAAAUCUGAUUGGACUUUUUCUGUUGAAGUGAUUUAGGCUCCUAGAUCACGAUCCGCCACCACCACUCCUGUUAGAUCACGAUCUGUCACCACCACGCUUGUUAGAUCACGAACUGUCACCAAUGAUCUUCCAGGUUAUGACUCAGGUUCGAUUUGCACUUGACGUGUGAACGCCUUUAUCACUACCAAAACAACUAGCACGAGAAAAUUUUUCUCUCAACAACAGAGAGAAAAUUUUUUUUCUCUGAUCUGUAUAAAGUGGCUUCUCCUUUUUCUUUUUAGAAAAUAAGCCUUAUAUAUCUCCCUUUAGUGAAAAUCCUAGGCUCCAAAUAAUACCCCAAAAUAAAACUCACCGUUACUUUUUAUUUUAUAAGGGACCCACCAUGUAAAAUAACAUAAGGCCCCUUACACAUAAGCUAAUUAAAUGGAGCCUCCCACUAAAUGAUAUAUUUAGGCUUUUGACCCAAAUAGAUAGUUAUCUUACUUAUUAGUCCAGUAGUGGUGCAGUCAAUUAAAUGAGCUAACCCGGGGAUCAUUUGGGAACAUACAAUAGUGGCUACAAUAAUUAGGCCUAUAAUUAAACUAGCCCAAUUAUUUAAUUCCAAAUCUACUCCACUAAAAGAUUGGAACUGACUUCCAUAAUUGUAUGCUCGAAUAAUAAUUCGUCCCAAGCCACAUUGAUUUCUUUACUGCACAAUCCUUUGUACCACAUCGUUAAUUAAAUUGAUAUCUCAACUGUCCAAUCAAUUUAAUAACAUCUUAUUCCUUGAUCCUUACUGGUUUUCUCUAAUGAUCAUUUUCAACAUACUAAAUAUGUUGACACACUCUGGCCAGAGAAUUCUAUGAUCAAGUGCCGAAAACCCAUCAAGAGAUGUGUUGUACAAAUUCUAUAUUGUUAAUCUAUAACUCCAAUACUCAUAAAUGCUCCCACCAAGAUACCGGGUAAUCUAGACUACAUGUAUGUGUCAUGCCCAUUGGUAACUCAAAUGAAAUAACAAUUACAAUCAUGAAAUCAUAAUUAACUCAAGAUUAAGAUUACAGUAAAAUCAAUGCCUAUGAGAUUUAAUAAGUCUGACAGUUAUUACAAAGUUAAUUAAAUCUCAUAUGUGAUCCUGUUCAAUGUAGUCGUACUACAUCAAUAAAUCCAUACAUGAUUAAGACAAAUCAUUCAAUGAAUUUAUUACAGUCUAUACCUAAAUAAAGUGCCCCACUUUAUUUAUCAACUGCGAACUAAAUUUAUUUAAUCAUAAGAUAACUUGUAUUUAUGUCUUCUGUGAAUCCACAUGGUGAUCACAUAAAUAUAAUAUGAUUAAAUGGACUUUAAUAAAAAUAUUAAUGCAAUUAAGAUAUUUGCAUAAAAUACCUCAUUAUUUUUAUUAAUCAGAAAAAAUAUUUAUUACAAUUAAAUAAACACAUAUGUUUUUAAAGAGCAUAUUUUCCCAACAGUCCAUUCGACGCAUAUUUCCACCCCCAUUACCCUUACAUAAGAAAAGAUUUCUGGUGCUUGGAACAUUACUCCAUAUCUUUUCAAGUCUAUUCAAGUCUGUUAAUAAUUAAGCUAAACCUAUGAGUCUCCAAUAUUGGGCGAAUUAAAUUUUGAAAGCAGGCCAACCUAUUGUCAGAUCUGCCUUUCAAAUUAUUGACUUAAUUUUGCCAAAGGUGAAACAUUUGAAGAAGAAUCCUUCUAAACAGGUAGUGUUGGUCGUUGUUGUCCUCCUGAGAAAGUGUCAUUAGCUUGAAACCUAUUGCAAAUGUUGAUCCAAAAUGGCUUCAAGGUUUCGUUGUAGAGCUGACGACAAGCUUUUGUAAAGGACUUCCAAUUUUGAUGCACAACAAUGAUAAUAGGAGCGCAAAUCCAUGUAGUGUACAAAAUGAUAUGACGAAUGUCCGAGCGUGGAACAAAUGUGGAGACCAAAAAGAUUGCAGAAAUAGAUCCGGAGACAACUGCUACAAGGGCCCAAGAUUGGGAAGAAUUUUCUGAAUGAAGUCGAGACUUGAGGUCAGCUGAAUGUGCAUAACAAUAUAUGGCUGUGGCUAUUAAGAAAGACCAUAUGUUUAUUGAGUGUGUUUCAAGCAAGGACUUUGUUUGGCCUUGAACAUUCGCACCCACAAUGCCUAUGAGAGCCGCAGUAAGAUACCCAAAAAUGUGGGGAUAGGACAUUGAGGAGAAGUGAUUUCGCCCGCUGCAACAUUGUCAAAACGAUUCAUCAAUCUUCUGUAUAUUCCAUUUCCUUUGAAAAAAAAUAAAAUUAAAAAGACCAUGUAUUAAUUUCCUCUCAAUUUGUGUGUCAAUGAUUUGCUUUUGACCAAACCAAUUCUCCUUUAAAAAUUUGAGGGGGCAUCUUUUCAUUUGCACGAAAAUUUCACCCAAAUGUUUCAUCAAAAUUUUGGUGUAUACACAUUGUUUUAACAGCUUUCAUGACUCACCCCCUUUUCUGUUAAAUAUUGUUUCAUCAAAAUUUUAUUAUAUACAUACUUUUUUGAAUAGUUAAAUAUUGUUUUUGCCGUUAUUUUUGACAUCUUUGACAUUAAAAGACAAUUUUGCCCUUAUUUAAAAUUUUUAAGUGUAAAAUUACUAGAAAACCACAACACUAGUCUCAAAUUUCAGUUGACCUAUGUGGAUAUUAAAAUUUGUUAAAGGUUAAAAAAAAAAGUAAAAAUGUUUGGUUAUGGGAAUCGAAAUAUCCCCUACACCAUCAUCCAUAAUCAUCUAUUCACGAUAGCAAUUUAAUAAACUUGAAAAAGCAAGAAAUCCAAUCCCAGUCAAUCAAACAGCCAAUUUUCUUCAUAGAGUUCAGCUUUCGCCUAUAAAAACUCUAACCCUUGAGACCCUAAAUAAACCCAUAUUCAAAGUUACAUGUUUCUAUAACGAAAACCUUCAAUUUACCCCUUUAAAAUUUUGAAAGCAUUAAUUUACUUCUAUUUAUCAGUCAAAAGAUUAGAAUACAUGGAGACACGCUAAUAACAAACUUUUUUACUCCUUAAUGAAAUUUGAUAAAUAUAAAUAAAUUAAAGAUUAUAAUUUUAAGUGGGGGUAAAUUAAAGAUCGUACUCUUUUUUUUAUUGUGUCUUAAUAAGAGAAAGAAAGAAAACAGAAAACAAAUCACUUCUAUAGGAGGCGUAACAAAAUUUUCAGCUAGGACUUCACCAAUUUUUUCACGGAAAUUAAAUUAGGAGGAAAAAAAAAACACUUUGAAGAGGACUGCAUAUAUAUAUAUAUAUAUAUAUAUAUAUAUAAUAAAUACAACUUGAGUCAAUAAUGGUAAAGAAAAUGACCAUACACUGAAGGGUUUGGAUUUGGAUGAUGCAGAAUGCAGUGGCAGCUUUGCAUUUGCAUAUAUGUAUCUCAGCAAACCCUGGAUUGAGUUUUCUUUUUCUCGGCAAAUAAGGUAGGGAACAGCAAAUGUGAUCGAUUUGAAAAAAAAAACAAAAACAAAAGCUUAGCUUGAAACUUGGAAGGAAAAAGGGGGGAAAAAUCUCACUUUAAGAACAUCUAAAUUAUCUCUGCUGAACUAAAUUAUCUCGUGGCUUGAGCUUUCAUAGCUUAUAAUUUAUAGAUGUCAAAUGUGUGGACUAAGGGAGGCCCAUGCGCCAUGCGGGGGUUUCCUAGAAGGCUAGAAAGUAAAGAGUGUUCCGAAGAAAUAUCUCUGCUUAACAUGUUAAGUAAUUAAAUCAGAGCCUCUCACAAGGUUGUGCGCCCAAAUAGAAUCCACAACAGGCUGUGGCUUACGUGAAUAGAGUGAUGCAAUUGUAAACCAGAUAGUGGCAUUUUUUUAAAGGUUCGGUCAAAGGCGGUUAAAUAUAAUAAUAAAAUAUUAUAAGAUACAUAUUUUCUUUGUAAUAAAUUGAAUAAACGUAUGACCUUAAAACUAAUUAUUAAUGCUUUAUUGGAAAAUUAUAUAGUUUAUAUGUAGAUAAUAUAUAUUAUACUUAAUUGUUGGGGUUUGAAAAGGAUUCGGGGGCAUAAAGAGGGGCGAAGUCAGAAAACAAAAUUUUGGGUGGGCUAAAAUUUUUUCCCAGUCCAUAUGUGAUCUCAAUUAAAAAUAUAAAUUUUAAAAGAAAGUUUCAUUAACACAUAAGAAAAUACAUCAUAUCCAAGAAGCAAUCAAAUUACAAGUAAACACUAUUUAAGUUGUGCCUUACCAUUCUUUAAAAAAUUAAAGUUAUGUUUUAUUAUGCUUUCGAGAAUUAAACUCAUCCAUUAUCGGUUUUGAAUUUAUGGUGUCUACAAAUUCUUUUUCAAUGUAGAUAAUAAAGGCAAUGCAACUGUCAAUCCAUCAUUAUGACACAUUGAUAAUAUUCAGAAGUCAGACAAUAAGUUUAAUUAACAAAUUAACAUUAUACAUAAUAUACUGGAUCAAAUCUAUGAUCUAUCUCUAUCAAAAAUCAAUUUAAAAAAUUGAAUGCUAGAAUUCAAUGGCUAAAUUAUCUUCAUUUGAUCUUUACAAUGAAAUUGGAACAAGAAUUAAAGAGCAUGAUUUUUAGUCUUUAUUACCCUAUAAUCAAUAAAUAUUUUGUAAAUGAUUGAAUAAAAAAUAAAUCUAUUAUUUGUUCUUACCAAGAAGAAGGCGAAGAACUGAAGAAGCAAAGAAAAAAAAAUCAUGUUUGAAAUCUCGAAUGAAGUAAAUGCUGCUCACUUUUUAAAUUUAUUUAUAUGAAUGACAAAGUUGUAGAUUAACAUAGUGGUGCAAUUGUAAAUAAGAUAGUGGCGUCUUUGUAAACUUUGCAUAAUGGCAAUUUUGUAAAAUUCAGACAGGCGGUAGCCCGUCUCAAUCCACGCGGAGCCUUGCCACCGAGUGUAAACAUAGAGAAUAAUUUAUAAAUCCAAUAAGCUUAGUUAAAGUAAAAUACUUGACUUUAAGAAAUUUCUAAUAAUCUUCUUCAUCUUAACCAAAUUUUUGAAGUGAAAAAGAUUCAUGGCACCUUGUGUUGUACUUUAGCAAGAGAAAGGAGAAAAAAGAAAACAAAUCGCUUUCAUAAUCAUAGGGGCUUCACCAGUUUUUUCACAACGCAAAAUUGACGGCCGUUAUGACCGUAAAUGCCUAUGUUAGAUUUGACGGAGAAGUCACGGGAUUACGCGAUGAUCAUCAGCGUCUCCAAAUUUUAAUGCCUCUGUUCAAAAAGAAUUGAGAAAUGCUAAAGGUCGGGAACGCUGAGAGAACACUGAGAGAAACGGCAGGUUGUGCUGUCGUUUCGUGUUCUCUCAGCUCCACCCCCCCCCCCCCCCCCAACAUGACUAAGAAAGCGAACCCUCACAUGAAAAAAUACUUCAGCUCAAGUCACUUUUACCAAAAGCUGCCGUUUGGCCCCACACUCAAGUCACUUUUGCCAAGUGAAUUCUGCCCCCCACGUGAAAGUUUGAGUUCUCUCCUUGCUCAUGACCAAGCAAAGCUAAGUUUGAAUUCUCUCCUUACUCCUUCACUCGUUCACUUCUUCUUCGUUUCUCGUUCACGCUCAUCACAAACCAAGAUAACUUGCUCCCAUUAAUUUCAAAUAUUAAACUGCUUUGUUGAGUUCUACAACCUGAAAGUACAAUUCUUUCAACAUUCUAACAGCAUCCUAGUUCACAGUUAGAUAUCAGAAACAAAUGUUAACAUAUUUAAUGCCAAUCUUUAUUCCAUGAGAACUUUUUUUUUUUUAAUACUGAUUAAUCAUCAUAUUACUGCAUUACACAGAUAUUUACAACUGCUAUUAUAGCAGAUAUAUUACACUGAUAUUUACAAUCAGAAAUAUAUGAUUGGGACUUAUAUUAUUACAUUGAAUUCUGUGAAGUACAUGCCCAGACAAAUAAUCCCUUACAGAAGAGGGAUGUCCAUACUCCACUCGUAUUGCACGAGGGAGAGGAAAUUUUUGAAAUAUUAAACAAAUAAGCACGUUAGCCCCACAAAUGCUUUUAUGGGGGCUUGAACCGCUGUCCUCACAAGCAUUGUGAGGGCAGCAGCCCAGCACUCCGACCAAGGCCGAAGUGUAUUCCAUGAGAACUUAAAAUAUCCAAAAAGAGAUGCAUCUACCCUACAUAUCUAUUUACACAACAAGUGUCCCUUCAAUUCCAACAGAAUAUACAUGCCUCCAUCUUAAGAUUUCAUAUGGCAUGGAAAUUAAAAAUUUCGUCAACUGAUAGAAGCCACCACACAAUGGCAAAAUAUAUAUGUUUAUUAUCAAAGAACAGAAGGCAUCAUUUGAGCAAAUUAAAGAGACAACUAUUCUCAGCCAUUCUUCUCAAUAUGGGAUAGACUUCUUGUAUCGUCAUAUCCACUCUCAGCACCAUAGGCUGGUUGUUCCUUAUGCAAUCGGCGCCCUUUACAAUCACCCACUUGAGGGACUUUUGCUCGACACUUUGGGUGGAGCCCUCUCUUUUCUUGUCUCGGGAAUGACUGCACGAACAGCCGUGAUAUUUUUCUACUUUGCUGUGAUUAAAACUGUUGAUGAUCACUCUGGGCUUUGGUUGCCUGGCAAUAUCUUCCACUUGUUCUUCCAGAACAACACCGCUUAUCACGAUGUCCACCAUCAACUUCAGGGCUUGAAGUACAACUAUUCUCAGCCAUUCUUCUCAAUAUGGGAUAGACUUCUUGGAACUCACAUGCCUUACCAUCUAGUCAAGCUACCUGAAGGAGGUUUUGAGGCUCGGCUAAAGAAAGACUAGAUGCUAUUAAGACAAUUUGACUGUAUCAUAAAUUAAUUAUUAAAAUAAUUAUCAACAAUACAAUUACCAAAAUAAUUGUGGGAGUUGGAGUUCAUGUGGGAGUGCUGGAGAAGGAAUUGAAAAUAGAAAGGAAAAGGAGUUGAGAGGGAGUGAAGGAGUGCUGGAACAGAUCUGUUGAAAGCGAAGAAGGAAGAAGGAGUGCUGGAACGGAUCUGUUGAAAGCAAAGAAGGAAGAAGGAGUGCUGGAACGGAUCUGUUGAAAGCAAAGAAGGAAGUGGAAGAAGGAAAAUGAUUUGAAAGUCACAUGGGGGACAGAUAUCUGUUACUCACGUGGGGGGAGGGGGGGGAGGUGAGAGAACGAAACGGCAGCACAAGCUGCCGUUUCUCUCAGCGUUCUCUCAGGGUUCCCGAUGUUUAGCAGCACUCGAAAGAAUUAACCUCCGCUUCAGAUCGAACGACUCACGAAGUAACUUCGAAAAUGUAUAUAAGACACAUGCAUGUUGUUUAAUUGUUAAAUUGUUCCCUUUGUAGGUGCUUGUGGACUCCAAAUUAAUUGUACGCCUUUUAAAUAGAAAUAAGUGCAUUAAAUAUUUUUUCCUUUUUACUUUAUUUUCGGAAUUUUUGGGAAAAAGCGAUGACUCAUGAGAAGAAGAAGAAGAAGAAGGAUAGUAGAAUACAUAUAAUAUCGGGUUUUUUUUUUUCACUUUUUACUUCUUUCUUUGAUUUUUUUUUUUUAAUUUUUUAUUAUCCCUUUUGUGUCAUUGGAGUCCAAAAAUAUUGUGUAUAAAAAAAUAACCCGCCUUCUGAGUUUAUGACAAUUUACCAUGCGUUAAUAACGCUUGAUGAAAAUGUUGCAAUCAGGUAGUGUAGAAUCAAUAAUUAAUGAAAUAUAAAAUAAGAAGAGUAAAUCUUAAUAACGCACCAAUAUUACAAAUCAAUAGCUAAGGAUCAAGCGAAAUUUCACCAGCAAAUUAGGACAGCAGAGGCAGCAUCCAUAAGCGUAAGAGUAAUUAUGUCACUCUGAAAUUUCAUAAGAGUAAAUUAGGACAGCAGGGAAAGGAAUAAACAAAGCAAUUUGCAAAGGACAGAGGCAUAAACAUAAUAGUAAUUAUAAAAUGUCAGACUGUAAGAAACAAGUAAAAAAUGUAUAAUAUUUUUCACAGUAGUCCGACGAUUCGUCAAUGUCUUUGUAAAAAGCGAAUAUUUUCAAAGGUAAAUAACACUCACACAAAUGUUUAAUCAAUAAUACAGUUGUUUUUUUGAAGUGAUAACUACUGAUUAUAUAUUGAUUCUUCAAAAUAAUUACACAUUUAUCAUAAUAUUAUUUAUUUAUUUUAUAAUUAAUAUAAUACUUUAAAGAUAUUUAAAAAAUUUUCAACUUGACAAUGUUCAAUAAAGGGUAAAGUUUAAAUUAUGUUACAAAAAGUCUUUGAACAAUAUAGAGCAAAGCUUUUACUUGUAUAACAAAAGAAAGCAUAUGAGGGGAUAAAAAGACUGAAGGUAUGAGUUUGAUUAUUAUCACAAUAAUUAUUUCUAUUUCAAAGAUUGAAAUCUGAACAUUAUUAUAUUUUGUGGAAUUUUCUCCAUUACUUUUUCAAAGUACUACAUGUACAUGGAUGAUUGUUUGUUACUGCGAACGGCAAAACAUUUAAUUUGGAGAAAAUUCCUUCUAGACUGGUAGUGUUGGUCGUAGGUUCCCUGUCGAGGAAGUGUUAUUAGCUCGAAACCUAUUGCAAAUGUCAAUCCAAAAUGGCUUCAAGGUUUCGUUGGAGAGCUGACGACAAGCUUCUGAAAACAACGUGCCAUAUUGAAACACAACAACAAUAAUGACAGUGCCAACCCACGCAGUGUACAAAAUGAUAUGGCCAAUAUUAGAACGUGGAAUAAAGGUGGAGAUCAAAGAUAUUGCAGAAGUAGAUCCUGAGACAACAGCAAUAAGGGCCCAGAAUUGGGAAGGAUUUUCGCGAUGAAGUCGAGACUUGAGGUCUUCUGAAUGUGCAUAACAAUAUAUGGCUGUGGCAAUGAGAAAAGACCAUAUAUUUAUUGAGUGUGUUUCAAGUAAGGGCUUAGUUUUACCUUGCACAUUUGCACCCACAAUACCUAUGAGAGUCGGAAUUAGAUAUCUAAAAAUGUUGGGAUAUGACAUUGAGAAGAAGAGAUUCCGCCCACUGUAAAAUUGUUAAAAUGAUUAAUCAUCUUAUGUAUAUUCCAUUUCCUUCAAAAAAAAAUUAAAAUUAAAAAACACUGUGUUAAUUUCCUCUGAAAUUGUCUAUCAAUUAUUUGCUUUGACCAACGCAAUUCUCCUCAAAAAAUUUGAGGGAGCACUUUCAUUUGCACCCAAAUGUUUCAUUAAAAUUUUAUUGUAUACACACUUGUUUCAACAGUUACUAUGGCUCAGGCUGCUCACCCUGUUAUGUUAAGUAUUGUUUUUACUGUUAAUUUUGACAUCUUUGAGAUUAAAAGACAAUUUUGACCCUCCUUAAAAUUUGUAAGUGUAAAAUUAUCAGAAAACCACAACACUAAUUUCAAAUUUCAAUUGACCUGUGUGGAUAUUAAAAUUUCUUAAAGGUUAAAAAAAACAGUUAAAAUAUCUCCUAUACUAUCAUCCACGAUCGUCUAUUCAUGAUAACAAUUUAAUAAACUCGAAAAAGCAAGAAAUCCAAUCCCAGUCAAUCAAACAGCCAAUUUUCUUCAUAAAGUUUAGCUUUUGCUAUUAAAAAUUCUAACUCUUGAGACCCUAAAUAAACCCAUAUUCAAAGUUAUGUGUUUCUAUUACGAAAAUAUUCAAUUUACCCCUUUAAAAUUUUGAAAACAUUAAUUUACUUCUAUUUAUCAGUCAAAAGAUAAAAAUAAAUGAAGACACCUUGACCAUAAACUUUUUAACUUUUUAGUGGCAUUUGAUAAAUAUAAAUAAGUUGAAAAUUAUCAUUUUAAGUGGGGAUAAGUUAAAAAUUUUACUCUAUAUUUAUUGUGCUUUGAUAAGAGAAAGAAAGAAAACAGAAAACAAAUCUCUUCCAUAGCAGUCUUAACAAAAUUUUCAGCAGGGACUUAACCAAUUUUUUCACGGAAAUUAAAUUCCAAUUUUUUUCACGGAAAUUAAAUUAGGAGAACAAAAACACUUUGAAGUGGACUGCAUAUAAAAACUCAAAAAUAACAUACAACUUGAGUCAAUAAUGGUAAAGAAAAUGAACGUACACAGAAGGGUUUGGAUUUGGAUGAUGAUCGAGAAUGCACUAAAAGCUUUGCAUUUGCAUAUACAUAUCUAUAUAUAUAUAUAUAUAUAUCUCUCAUAUACAUACACACACACACACAUAUAUAUAUAUAUCUCAGCAAACCCUGGAUUGAGUUCUCUUUUUCAGGGUAAAUAAGGUAGGGAACAGCAAAGCCGAUCAAUUUGAAAAGAAAAAAAAAAAAAACUAAAACUAAAAUGUAAACUCAGAUGGAAACUUGGCAGAGAAAACGUGAAAAAGAAAAAAAAAAUCUGUCACUUUAAGAACAUCUCAAUUAUCACUUUAAGAACACCUCAAUUUAUAUGUUCAAGUGCGGUGAUGCUGGUAGAGGGUUUAGUAGAAAGUUAACGGUUUCGUAGAACAGAGUCCUUUGUUGCAACUUGCAAGAGAGGACUCUGUUAACUUUGCGAAAAUCUGACUCGGCAAAAUCCACUCAUACAUCUUGUAAUGUUGAUGUAGUUUCUUUAUUUUUGUUUUUUUUUUUUUUUUUUGAGCUCCCAGACAAAAAACUUGUGUUGAAAAUUAAAAAUGAUCGAUUAAUGGGCUCCCCUCUCAAUUUCAAGGCCGAAAGGGCCGCUGUGCCCCAUGUGAAAAUUUCUUACAAUUAGAAUCAAAUCCACGUCAUACAUAUGAUGACAUGAUGUAUAUUUAGUAUGGUUUAUUCAAUGAUUAUAAGUAUUUAUUUAAUUUUUUAAAUUCUUGAUCAAACAAACGCCAAGAGAGACAUCUGUAAUUACGUUUAACGAGCAUUUUCGAGGAAUUGUUUCUAAAAAUAACUAAAACGGGAAAAGCCAAAUGGGAAAAUUUGGGUUGGAUGGAACUUGGAAAAGGACAAACAUGAAAGUUCAAAGUUUGCUUGGUUGGGCUAUUUUCUGCAAGUGGGAGAGACAGAGUGAUACAGCAUUACCAAUCUCUUUGGAGUGGCCCAAUCCAUAUCUUGGGGAAUCAUUUGAAGAACGGGCUGAACCACACCAGGAGGAAGAUACAACUAGGCCCAACACAGAACCAGUUGCAGGCCCCUCACGAAUGAGAAAACCACCCAGCUGGCUGAAGGAUUAUGUUGUUUGAGAGCAAGGAAGUUGUGGAUUCCUUUCUAGAAUCUUUUAUUCGUUUGAUAUUUUCUUUUGGCUUGACCAUUGCUAUUUUUUGUAACCACCUUCUGUUAGAGGUUGCUAGAGGAAAAAGCAUAUAAGUAUUGUAAUGUUUAAAAAGGCAAUGGAAUAUUUGGUUCUCUUUCUUCUAUGGAAUUUCCUUUCUUCUUAAUCAUUGUUCUGUUCUUAAUUCUUUUUCUUGGAGCUGGCACUCGCUCGAAGAGUGUUUUGUUGAGUGGAUUUGCUUGUGUUGCAGGACAAGCGUAUCAUUGGUGCUUUCAUCGACUUUUCCAUGGCUGAUUCAGAGGUGUUGGCAGCAGUGAAGGCACUCCAAACACAAUUUGAAGGCCAAACAAUUGCGAUUCAUCAAACCUUGCAGCAGUACAUGUCUACAGUGGAUUCUCGUCUUGAGGAUCUACAUUCUCAGAUCCAAGGGUCUUCAAGUGUUUUGGCUGCAUCAUCCGGUUCCGCACAUCGCUCUUCUCUAGUUGCGGAGGGGCAUUCCAGACACAUCGAUCUCUCGCCGGUAUUACGAUCAAUGAAAAUGGAGGUUCCCAAGUUUGAUGGCUCUGACCCGAAUGGGUGGGUGUUUCGUAUUGAAGAGUUUUUCGAUUUCCAUGAAACUCCAGAGCACUUGCGCUUUCGCAUCGUCGCGUUUCACAUGGAGGGGAGAGCGGCAGCCUGGUACCAAUGGAUGAAGGCGAACAAACUGAUAACAACAUGGAAAGCUUUUUUAAUUAGUCUGAAGCAUCGGUUUGGCGCUUCAAUGUAUGACGAUCCUCAAGGUACACUUUCCAAACUCACACAAACCACCACAGUCGCAGAGUUUCAGUCCGCCUUUGAAGAUUUGAUGAAUAAGGUCACUGGGAUUUCUGAACCUUUGUGGAUCAGUUUCUUUAUCACUGGUUUGAGAACGGAUAUUCGCAGGGAGUUGAUGUUUUCCCGCCCCACAUCUCUGAUGGAAACAUUUGCUCUCGCAAAAGCUUAUGAAGCUCGUUCAGAGAAGGCCAAAAUGAGUAGUCGCCCUUGGACUAAAUGGCCCCCACCGUCAGCCCCAACUAUGACUAUUCCAUCCGUCAACAAAAUUCCUCCACCCUCACAUGUGCCUGUUCCCCACCACACCACAAACAGUUUCCAUGCAGGUCCCACAACACACCAACAUCCUAAACAAACAAACCUUCCAGCCCUCUUACCUACACCAAAUUUACCAGUUCGCCGCCUCACUCCAGCUGAAUUACGAGACAAACGAGAAAAAGGAUUGUGUUAUAACUGUGACCAAAAGUACACCGCUAUUAUGUUAGCUCCCACUCCUCCUUGAAGUCAAUCUUGCUCCACGAAUUUCAUGCUACCCAUGGGCUGGACAUACGGGCAUAAAACGGACCUUGGUUCGCUUGGCUUCGACAUUUUAUUGGUAUAAAAUGAGAACUGAUGUUGAAAACUUUAUAACUGCUUGCCUAACCUGCCAACAAGUCAAGCAUUCAACUCAAGCCCCAGCAGGGUUGUUACAGCCGCUACCUAUUCCAUCAUUAGUAUGGGAUGAGGUCACUAUGGAUUUCAUUACGGGCUUGCCACCAUCACGAGGGCUCACUAUUAUCCUUGUCGUUGUGGACCGUUUGACUAAAUCAGCACAUUUUGGAGCUCUACCUUCUCAAUUUUCAGCUGUGACAGCAGCGGACUUAUUUGCUAACAUGGUCGUUAAACUCCAUGGUUUUCCUAGUUCCAUUGUGUCAGAUCGCGAUCCAAUUUUUAUGAGCAAGUUUUGGAAGAAGCUUUUUGAACUAAGUGGCACUUCCCUACGGCAUAGCACAGCCUAUCAUCCGCAGACAGAUGGGCAAUCCGAAGUUGUGAACCGCGGGCUUGAACAAUAUUUACGAGCUUUCACUCAAGAAAAACCACAAUCGUGGGUCUCUUUACUUUGCUGGGCAGAGUUCAGUUACAACUCCAGCUAUCACAGUGGUCUCAAGAUGACACCAUUUCAAGCAUUGUAUGGGCGUAUUCCACCUACUAUCCCAGCUUACUCUAAGGGCUCUACUUCAAUCCAAGCUCUCGAUGAUGCGCUGAUAGAGCGCGAUGCUAUCUUGCGCUCCUUGAAGGAAAAUUUGCGCCAAGCUCAGCAUCGAAUGACACAAAAGGCUAAUGCCCAUCGGCGUGAACUCCAGCUCAAUAUAGGAGAUCGCGUGCUUUUCCGCCUUCAACCAUACCGACAGACAUCUUUAGCUCAACGAGCAUCCCAUAAGUUAGCAAAGAGGUAUUACGGGCCAUUUACAAUAUUAGAACGUGUGGGACCAGUGGCAUACAAGCUGAACCUACCGUUAGAUUGCAAAAUUCAUCUUGUCUUCCAUAUUUCAAUGCUCAAACCCUUUAGCGGUUCCAGCCCCAUCACUGGGUUACCCUUACCUCAUGACAGCAUCAACAAUCGACCAUUCUCAUACCCGGCUGGCUGAAGGAUUAUGUUGUUUGAGAGCAAGGAAGUUGUGGAUUCCUUUCUAGAAUCUUUUAUUCGUUUGAUAUUUUCUUUUGGCUUGACCAUUGCUAUUUUUUGUAACCACCUUCUGUUAGAGGUUGCUAGAGGAAAAAGCAUAUAAGUAUUGUAAUGUUUAAAAAGGCAAUGGAAUAUUUGGUUCUCUUUCUUCUCUGGAAUUUCCUUUCUUCUUAAUCUUUGUUCUGUUCUUAAUUCUUUUUCUUGGAGCUGGCACUCGCUCGAAGAGUGUUUUGUUGAGUGGAUUUGCUUGUGUUGCAGGACAAGCGUAUCACAGAGUCUGGAAAGGGUUUCUUUUCUUUUUCUUUUUCUUUUUUUCAAAUACACAUAUAGCCACGUGUUGUCCCAUAUAAAAAAAUAAUACUUUAUAUAAGUCCGAGGUCAAUUGGGCUGGAAAACAUUUAAAAUCGAACAUAUCAGGCAUGUUGUAAGUUCGCAUUUGGAGAAUCAUGUUGUCAGCCCCACAACCCCCAAAUGGGAACUUUAGAUAGAAAUAUAUAGCAUCCCAACAAUAAUAUUUAUUAAUAAUAAAUUUACUUAUUACAAUUGUUUUUGUCAAAGACUCCUUGAUGGUAUUUCAUGUGUUGAAAAAAAUGUAAAAUAAUUUUAUUAUCGAUACAAUUAAAAACAUAUUUUUCAAUAUAUAUAAUUAAAUUAUCACUUGAUUUGUUCUUAAAAUGUUUUAAUAAUAGCAAAAAUAUGGAUAUAAUGAAACAUGAAGAAAAAAUAUGAUUACAGACACAUUAGGGAACGGCAAUGAGGAGGGUAGGGGAGGGGACUGACAUCUCCAUAUCCAUCCUCGAUAUUCUACAUAUGUUCUCAUCCCCUUCCCAUCCCCGUCAGAAUUACUUGAGAAAAUAUUCAUCCCCUCCCUAAAUAAUAACAGGGGAUCUCUAAGAGUCUCCGAUCCCCACGUAAUUGAUACAUUUUUUAUUUUAAUUUUAAUUAAUUAUAUUAAAAUAAUUUUUUUAAUAAAAGUACAGUUAAGGCGGCAGCUAGCUGCCAUAGAAAAUUAGAAAUUAGGUUUUAUGAUUUUGCCUUAACUUUUGUUUUAUUGGAUAAACGUUUAAAAUAUUUAAUGAAUAUUAUAAAUUAAAAAAAAAAAUUGGGCCAACAAGAUCCUGUCUGGCUUUUUUUAUGUCCUAAAUAGAUAUUUAAGAUUAUAAAUAGUUAAGUAGGCUCAUUAAAGCAUCUGACAAAUUGUUACAUAAAACCAGGAUAAUUAGAGUGCUAAUCAAAUAACCCAAAUUAUAGAUUCCCUAAUCAAACAAACAUAACAAAAAAAUUUUGAAAUACAAUUUUUUUUUCAGAAAUGCGAAUUGGCACCAAAUAAAAUUGAGCAAAAGCUAAUGCUGUCCUACAAGUUGACAUGGUCCUCCUUUAGCAAGGUUCAAAUAGGGAAGACCAUAGUAAAAAUAAGAGGAAAUAAUUUAACUUUAUCUAUAAAUCCUACAAUUUAGAUGCUAGUAAAAUAACUCCAAUCUGAAGCAUCAAAUGUACAAGAUUCAUAAGCAAAAACAGGUUACACGAUUAGUUAUUACCUGGAUUACGUUGUACAUAUUACAUGGUAUACCUAAUCAGACAAAUAACAGGUUACAAUCCAAGUUUUGUUGAUCAUGAAAGGUUUGAGCGUGAUAGUCCAUUUAGGUCAUUAGGUCAGCCAAAUGGGAGACCAGUGGAUUUGGAGGGUUUGUAUACAGUGCAAACUGAGCUAAUAAUGCAUGUUCAUGGUUUUAUACGUGCCAGGUAUUUUUAUCCUGUAAUUGUGAAAUUGAUGACAGAAAAUUUUAUAUCGUAAUUUCUUGGAAUUCUGACUGCAUGCUUUUCUUCUAAUUGUUAUGUUUCUGUUAAUGAUGGGAUGACCAUCUUUCAGUGCAAUAAAGGUUGGAAUCAUAUGGUAUACCUAAAAUAAAUUGUCACGCUAGAUUGAUAUACUCAUUCUCUAAUCAACUGAGAGUAUCUUCUAGUUCAGCUAUUUCUUUUCUGGGUAUAAAAGAUAAAUGUUCUUUGAACUUGCCUCGUACGUUAACCUGCUACCAAUACGGUCUACCGUAUGUAUGUCUAGCAGUCAAGUGAAGAUAAAUUUGAAAUGUAACUAUUACGUUCGUUUGCAAUGUGGAAUAGUUACCUAGGAUGAUCAUGAGUAGAUACUUUCUGGAUGUCAUAAUUUGGGAUGUAGGUGUCCGUUUUUGGUGCAUAAUACAUUGUUUUGAAGGUUACGAUGAGAUGAAUCAAACCUAGAAUGCUCACACUAUUCUGCCCAAUCAUUUUGCAGUUUUAUGUUGUUUUCCUAUGUUUCUGUUAAUGAUGGGAUGACCAUCUUUUAGCAUAGUAAAGGUUGGAAUCAUAUGGUAUGCCUAAAAUAAAUUGUCACACUAGAUUUAUAUACUCAUUCUCUAAUCCACUGAGAGUAUCUUCUAGUUCAGCUAUUUCUUUUUGCGGUACAAAAGAGAAAUGUUGUUUGAACUUGCCUCGUAUGUUAACCUUGUACCAAUAAGUAUGAUUUAACUAAAGUCUUGAGCACACGAGCAGUUUUGCUUUUAAAAGAAAAACAACUAUUUACCCUGGCUGCUCUCUAUCUCUCCUCACCAACUGAGUCACCGGUUGGUUGCAUUUUACUAACGAUGCCGACUGAGAGAUCACAAUCCCUGUACGCGUCCACCCUAACUGAUUUUUACGGCAAUUAAUGAUAUAAAAUUAUUUAAAUGAAAGUAAUUUAAAUUUAUUUUUCAAGUCACCAGGAGCUUCAAUUCCUACUGGGCACCAUAUGGCACUGCCUAUGGAAUCAUUCAAUGGUCUUAUAGUACAUAAAUCACUUUCUUUUUCAUGUGUGGAUAGAGAUAAUAUGAAUAAACAUACGACUCUUUUCAAAUAUUAAAAGAAAAUAAAUACAUCAUUAUGAUAUUUACAAUAAAAAUCACACACUCAAGAUUUUAGUUAAAUCAUACUUAUUCAAAUUUCAGACAAAAAGAAAAAGAAAUGUCACCUUUAGCCUUUAAUUAAAAAGUGUAUGGGGUAAAUAUAUUAGUAAAUGAGAACUAGUAGUGGUCAAAACAUAAUAACUCUAAUUGUAGGGUCAAUUUUGUAAACAUAGUAAACUUUUUGAAUGUACGAUGGACUGGUUUUAUUGUUGUAGUUAAUUUUGUGUGAUACAAAAAGUGAGAGAGUGUGAAACGACGAUGAUGAGUCACAAAAUAGAGGAAUCUUUAUAUUUUCAACCCACUUAAACUGUCACAGAGAGAAAACGACAUGGAAUCUUUAAACUGUCACAGACAGAAAACGACAUGGAAUCGCGUUAUAAUUGCAAAAUCCACAAACUUUCUGCGAAACCGACUUACCAGCAAGUCGCGGACUCGCGGCCUCAGUUUCAACUCCCGGCAUCAGCGCACUUGAAAAUAUAAAUACCCCAGCGACGAGAUAAUUCUUUUAAGCAGAGAUAAUUGAGAUGUUCUUAAAGUGACAGUUUUUUUUCUUUUUCACCUUUUCCCUUCCAAGUUUCCAGCUGAGUUUACAUUUUUAAGCAGAGUCCUCUCUUUCUCUUCUAUAAAGGGAACUUGAUUUAUAGAAGAGAUAAGGCCGUGUCCCUUUGCUCAUUUGCUGCUGCAGCUCUCCUCUUCUUCCUUUUUCCUCUCUUAUCUCUUCUACUCUUCGAUUGCUCUGGUCGACACGGCCUUUGAUUGCUCUGUCAAUCUAUACAAGACAUAUACAACACGACUUCAGAUCUUUUAGGAUCGGGCUUCUCUCUUCGUACUUGCGGCUUUCUCUCUUAUAAAGGUUUCAUUUCGAUUUUGAUUUGGAGUAAUAGUCCUUCAGGAUCGUGCUUGUCUCUUCAUACUUGCGGCUGUCUCUCUGAUAAGGUUUCGUUUCGAUUUUGAUUUGGAGUUGCUUUUUCUUUUAUUUUCAAGUAGAUUUGUUUCAAUUGAAAUGUUGGUUGUUAAUUUGGUGUUGUGUUAAGUUUUGCAGGUAAUGAUUGCUCUGAUCAAGCUAUUACAAAAUGGCUGACGGGAAAAGAAAGUCAACCCAGCAAUCUUGACCGUCUCCCUUCUCUCUCUGACCUGAGCCACAACGUGUAUUUAAAAAUAAAACUUUACCCUAUAUAUAUACAGACAAUGUUCAAAAGAAAACAAAAAAAAAUCCCAAAUUUCUUUUUUAAAUUCUUACCAAUCAAUAAAAGUAUUUGAUAAUUUUUUUUUUCACAAUAACUAUGACUUGAAAAAAUUAAACUAAUAUUAAAUGAGACUAAAUACAUAAUGAUCUCUUAAAUUCCUGUUUUUCUAAAGGAAUGGAUCUAAUACUUUCCUUAAUAUAGUAUUUUAAUGGGUCUGCAGGAACAAAUUUUAUUUGUCCGCGAUGUCAAACGCAUACCAUAACGUGUUUGGAUACCUCAUUCCAAUUCUCAUCGGCAUCGUGGGAGCAAAUAUGCAAGGCACAACUGAGCGCUUGCUUGAAACACACACAACAAAUAUAUGGUCUUUUCUCAUAACCACAGCCAUUUAUUGUUAUGCAUAUUUAGCUCAUCAAGAGAAUUUUUCCCAAUCUUGGGCCCUUGUAGCACGAGUCUCCGGAUCUGUUUCUGCAGUCUCCCUAGCCUCCACAUUUGUUCCACGCUCUGAUAUUGGUCAUAUCAUAUUGUGCACUGCAUGGCUUUGCUCGUCCAUUAUCAUUGUUGUGCAUCAAUAUGGGGCGCUGUUUGCAGAAGCUUGUCGUCGGCUCUACAACGAAACCUUGAAACCAUUUUGCAGUCAGCUCUAUAACGAAACCUUGAAGCCAUUUUGUAUCAAUAUUUGCAGUAGGUUUCAAUCUAAUGACACUUCCUCGGCAGGACAACAACGACCAACACUACCAGUUUAGAAGGGGGCUUCUUCAAAUGUUUCACCUUACACAGUACUACAGUAGCAAGCAAUCAUCUCAUGUACACGCAGUAAUUUUGAAAAGUAACAGAGAAAACAUAUUAGUGUCCAGAUUUCUUUGCUUGAAAUAGUGCUAAUUACUGUCGUCAAAUUUCAUCUUAUUCUUUUUAUUCCCUCACAUGCAUUGUUUUAUUGAUAUUAUACAAGAAAAUGCGUUGUUCAAUAUUAUGCAAAUAUUUUUUUUUUCUCAAAUAAUUUAAAUUUCAAAGAUUGCAAUGAAAUUUAAUUUAAGGAUUGCCCUUGAGCACUGUCAGCUACGACUCCAGUUUCCUGCAACAAUGAAAAAUUCUGUAAUAGUAAAAAGUCUCUCUUUUUUCGCAAUAUUAAGUCAAUAAUUUGAAAGGCAGAUUUAACAACAGGUUGGCCUAAUUUCAAAAUUUAAUCCAUGUAAUAUAGAAAGAAGACUAGUUCAAUGUAUAUGAGUCCACCAAAAAGUUAUUAAAAAUUUAGGAUUAAACACUUGGAAAUGGCAAUUAGGUACUACCUCAAGAGAUUUUACUGCUUGAACCAACCAAGGGGGUAUGUUUGCAAUUGUUGUGACUAAGUAUAAAUAGAUGGUUGGUCAGUGGUAAGAACCAGCCUUCUAGCAUCUUUGGGCACAAAGAACUCAAGAAAAAAGCCCACAUGAGACACAAGACCCAAUGCUCAGCAUGCAGCAAGCUUAUCUAGAUUCAGGUGCUUUAUGGAUCAAAUUCACAUUACAUGAAAAGUUCACUAUUCAGAAUGGCACUCUGUAUGACAGCAAAGAGAUAAGUGGAAGAAAAAAAUCUGAAAAUCAACAUACCUUUUUCUUUGUGAUUAGGUAGUCGAACCCCACUAGCUCGCUUAUUUCAAGCAGCCAGGUCAGCUCAACACGGUCGUCUUGUAUCCUUCAAGAUGCACAACCCCUGUGAAAUUUCCAUCCUGGUUCCUACUAAUUUGCUCCACAAUUGCAUUCCCAAUCUAUUUAUGUGAAUCUUAUUUCCAGAGAUCAACUCGGCAUUGGCAAGGUCCAUCCAUAUUGUUUUUGCACAUGUUGUAGCUUUCACUCCUACACCUUUACGCGUCUUAUGCCUCAGUUUGAUGCGAACUCAUGGUUUGUCAAGGCCAUUGGUAAGAGUCAGUCAGUCAGCAAUAGUAAUAUCUGCCUUUCUUCAAUCACAGCAGCGAGUAUAGGGCACGCAGGAUUAAUAAUCUUCUUAUUAAUAUAGUAGUUCAAAGUUUGUCACGUUCCAAAUGGUUGAGACUGUUUGAAGCCGCCAGAAAAAGUAGAGAUACAAAAGUUAUUCUUCCACUUAAGUGAUAACAAAUACUAUAUGAACUAUGACAAAUUACUUCAGCUACAUUGUCUUAGCAGUUCAAGGAUAAACUGCAUCAGAGACUCAAUUUUCAGUCCCCUACGAAUAAUUCUUUGAAUGGCAAAAAAAAAAAAGAGGAUUAUCUAAUCCAUUCUGUACAAACCACAAAAGUUUGCUAAGAGGCAUGUUACAGCAUUUUCAACCGGCUAAACUCAAAAAUUUGAACCUUUAUAUUCCAUAUCCUCUUGAACCAAAUGGUAUCAAGCAUUACGAGCAUUGUACUCACUAGAUCUCAAACUAAAAGACGUGAGAAUUAGUCCAUAAGUUAGGUAUAUCUUGUAAUUUGACCUGAUUUGAUGGUGGGUCUGGGUUGCAACGACUGGACGGGAUCUCAGACGGACUUGCUGGAAUGUUGCAUGUCAACUUCCUGCUACGACAACACUCCUAACAAUUAACAUCCCAAUUUUGCUUAUGAAAAAACAGGGAGAUAUUAGAAUGAUAUCUCAAUACUUCAAGCCAUUCACAAACAUUUUCCAUGUAAUUGGUUGCAAUACCAGACGAGCUUAAGCCUGCCACCAAUAAUCUGCUUCACCUUAAAUCACGAAUAAGGCAAAAAUGCUAUCCUCCGCUCAUCAUUCGGCCUCAACAGAUCACAGGUGGAAGGUUAAGUGUGUGAGUAGUUAAAGGGGAAAUACCCUUUUUGAUAAAUGUGCCAAGAUGAAAGUCACUAUAGUCAAAAGGGUAUAAAUAUCCCAACACAAGUCUAUAUGGUCAUUUCCGAAACCACGCAAAGACGUCGGUGUCGUUUCCCCACAACAAUAAAUAGAAAUCACCAUACUUCCACAAUUAUCCAAAGAGCGCGAACCCUGACACAUCAUAAAAACUAUUAUAAAUCUAUUUACAGAAUAAACUUGACUGAACGGAGGCAUCGUGUGAUAUUUGCAUCCCCACAAUUUCUUAUCAGAUUCAAUUCAUAAAACAAAUAGGAACACGUAUAAAAUUUAAAUAAAAUUCUUUCAAAUUUUUUUUUUGUUUGGUGCGCGCGCGCCAAAAAUUGAAAUUUUGCAGAUUAAAUUACUACCAGAUGAUGAAGUACAAAACAAAAAUCAUCAUAUUCUGACAAUGACACAUAAUAGAAAACAAAACAAAAAAAAAAUCGAGACUUACGUUGUCAUUCAAAGCUUUGAUCCAAUUUGAGCAUCCUGAAACAGGGUUUUUCUUAAUCAUUCUUAGCGUUUUCUUCGUGAAGUUUGACUUUAUAUGCAAAGGAAAGUAGGUCACUAAUUAUUAAAUUAUCAAAAUACCCUUGACAUUUAAGUGUACAGGAGCUGACGCUUAAGGGUAUCGUAGUCAUUGUAUGGGUUUAGGCACCCAUUUGGGACGAAUAGAAAACUACCGUCCUUAUUUGAGAAAUAAUGCUAUUUGACACAGAAGUAUAAAUAAAUUCUCAACUUCCUCCCGUUUCCGUGAAAAUUUUGUUUUCAGUGCAGUGGAAUUGAAUUAAUCUGAAGGAAAAAAAAAAUUGUUGGUAUGUGGAAAUUAUACUUGAAACGUUGUCGUUUUUGGCAUAAUUGCUGUGAUAUACUUAUUUGCUUUGUGUUUUUAUUUCUUUUUUCUGGGUUUUAGGGUCACAAUCGGAGAGAGAAGACAAUGUCUCGUUGGAACUCUCUGAAGAAGUUCUUCAGAGCAUGGAAGUGGGCAUUUCUUUUAGAGAUUAUGUAAGAGAAUCUUCUAAUAAGUUUCUGUUUGAGGAACAUACUUGAUUUGCGUUUUAAAUGUAUCUGUUUGUUAAUUCAGUGUCGUUUUGUAUUGAUUCGUGUUUUAACAGAAUGGGAGAAUUAGUUCCUUGGAUUUUCAUAAAUCAUCGAGUUAUUUGGUGACGGCUAGUGAUGAUGAAUCUAUACGGCUGUACGAUGUCUCUGCUGCCACUUAAGUUGAUCCUCUGUUUCUUAGGAUUUUAUGUUGUCUCUUGGGAAGUGCUUUUAACUAAGAAAUGGCUUUUGAAUAAGUAUAAAAAGCUGGUUUCAAUCUUGCAAUGUUUGUUUGAAAUUGCAGGAAUAAUAAAGUGUCUCUUUUGAAAUCAAAGGAACCCUUGAAGUGUUUUUCUGGGGAAGUGCUUGAUAUCUGCUUUCAUGGAUAGAACUUUUUGGAUUAGGAAACCACUUGUAGUGCUGUUUGAAGAAGUGCUUCAUAUAUGUUUCAAAGUGAUUUUACUCGAGGGUACUUUCCAUUAAAGCAUUGCUGAACGUAUCAUCUGCGUGUUUGAUGAGCUCAUGAAAGCUACUGUCUUUCUAAGAUGGAGAAAAAUGCUUUUUAGAUGAAACAGAAAAAAAAAAAAAAAAAUAGAACCUUGGAGUGGUUUUCGGGGAAGUGCUUAAGGGAAAUGUAAUUGAUAUAUUUUUCAAGAACUUUUGUAAAAAGGCCUUUUCUUUUCUUUCUUUUUUUUUGUUUGCAUAAGCUCUUUCUAUAAGAUCACUGCCAAAUGCACUUCAGUUGUCUUAGCUGAGCAUGAUAGUUGGUAUUGCAAUUGUUGCUGAGAGCCUUAAUUGAAAUUUCAGAUGUUUGAAGACAAUUAACAGCAAAAAAUAUGGGAAUAUUUGUAUUUUGUUUGUUGGUGGAUUGCUUUACUAGGCACUUAUUUGAUACGUUCAUUUAUUCAGAAUCUCUACGGCUUCUUUCCUCGCACGAUAACAAGUACUUGCGUUACUUCAAAGGUCAUCAUAACAGGUUUGUAAUUCACUUAUUCUUGUAAAUAUUUCGUAAUUAUUAUUAUCUGUAUAUAUGUUUUACUGCUUCUAGGGUUGUUUCACUUAGCCUGUGCUCCUCCAAAGAUUGCUUUAUCUCUGGUUCUCUUGGUCAAUCUGUUCUGCUCUGGGAUCAACGGGCUGAGAAAUGCUAGGUGGAUAUCAUGCCAUCCACCAUUUUCAAUUGUAUUUAUGAUCUCUGUUGGCAAAUACGGGUCUUUUGCAUGUUCAAGGAAGGCCUGCUACAGCAUAUGAUGAUCAAGGGCCUGUCUUUGCAGUUGCCUUUGGAGGAUACAUAAGAAUGUUUGAUGCUCGUAAGUAGGAGAAAGUUAAAAUUAAUAUUUAAAAACAUCUUGGAAGUUUAUAUGUCGUACUUUUAUCAUGCACUAAUUUGGUUAAAUUUGGAUACAUCUUCUCUGAUGGUGGAGAUGUAUCAGAUUCUGAUGCUGGAAAGUUCAGCAAUGAUGGGAGACUUAUGCUUCCGACCUCUAUGGAAGGACAUAUUCAUGUGCUUGACUCAUUCCAAGGCACACUUGUGAGUUGACUUUUUCUUUCUUCAUCUCCCAAAUGUAACAUAUCGUACGUAUAUACCCCUCUAUACACUGGAAUCUCUGUGAAUGAGCUUCUGUUUACUCUUGUUUUUAUUUAUCCACUUAUGAUGCCAAGCCAGUUUCUCGCAAUUCCACAUUGGAGGCAUCUUUCAGCCCGGUAGAGUUUCUCCUUUCAGUUCUUAGGGCACAGUGACUUGGAUAUUUUGUUAAUAUUUGCUUUUGGCUGUUUUGAUAAUUUAUAUUAAAGUUCUUGCACUUGUGCUGUAUAUAAUUCUCAAAUUUGUUACCACCUUGUUGGUAUAUUGAAAUACACGACUUGAAAUGCUGGGCAUCAAGCUUGUUUCCGCAGAAUUCUUUGAAAUAAAUUCAUUUUCUCUUCUUCAUUGACUUGGUUUGAAACCCACUCCCAUCCAUGCAAAUCCAAAUGCGUACGUAUUUUCAUCUGGUUGUGCUUAUUAAUAAAAAUAAAUCAAUGAAAUGCUCAAACAGCAAGUGCACCCACACAUGUGGAAGCAGCCUAGUGUGGCCAAGCACCUCUCAUUUGUUUUAUGUGAUACAAUUGGUUUGUUGCACUCUUUGUGCUAAUUUUACUUUCUCGGUUUGGAAGGUUCUGAUGAUGGUAGUGGAUAUGCUUGGAGUGUACGGAGCGGGAAAGGGGUAUGAUAAGCAAAAUUCCUGGAUUCUCAUGCCUUUUGAAUGCUUAGAAUUCAAAGGGAUGUUAUUUCCCUUACAUUGACCCCAGUCAUAGCAUUCAUUGUCUUCUAGCCAAACCAACAAUGCUUUUGAAUCUACAUUUGAGCUUUGUAUAAGAAGUUGCACCAAUUAUGUAAGGAGAUGUUCAAUUUCCUAUAGUAGUAUGUAAAUGCAUCUGACUUACCUGCUAGUAACCUUUCCUAACAAGUUCUGAAGAAACAACAGUAGAUCUGGUAUCAGUACUUUAUUCAGAAGAGCAUUUCUUCUUACAUGCACAGCUAAGAGUACAUGAAUUGAGCUACUGAAGCCCUUCCUGACCAACCUGGCUAAGGCUCCGUUCAGUUUGUCCUCUUCAUGGUUCUUUGGCAGGCAACAGCGUAAGCAAUUACCUGGACUAUGAGGCCUUUUGUAGCGGGGUGGGCACUGCCUAGGCAGUUUUUGAAAAAAUUAGGAGCUUUAUUUGUCAUUGACAUUUGUAGCACGAUUAGUUGUUACCUGGAUUAAGUUGUAUAUAUUACAUCGUAUACCUAAUCUGACAAAUAACAGGUUGCAAUCCAAGUUUUGUUGAUCAUGAAGGGUUUGAGCAUGAUAGUCCAUUUAGGUCAUUAGGUCUCCCUCGAAUUGCCACGUACACACUUCAAUCCUCUCAACGAGCGUCCCCGCAACGUCACACUCCACAAUAAUCUCAAAUAAUUUAGAACAAUUAUUUACUUCUGGCUGCUCUUAUCUCCCUUCUCACCAACCGAGUCACUGGUUGGUUACAUUUUACUAACACCGCCGAAUGAGAGAUCAUAAUCCCUAUUACGUGUCCACCCUAACUGACCACAACAUUGUCAUUUUUGAUCUAGCGUUAGUAACGCGUUGUUAAAUUGUCAUAGCUUCGAAACCGCUUUAUUUUUGGACUCAAGGCACAAAAAGGAUAAUAAACAAUUUUAAAAGAAAUUAAAGAAAGAAGUAAAAAGUAAUAAAAACUGGUAUUACAGGUAUUCUACUAUUCUUCUUCUCAUGAGCCGACUUUUUUCCCCAAAAAAUAAUAAAUAAAUAAAUAAAAUAAAGUAAAAAGGAAAGAAUAGUUAAUGCACUUCUCUACGUAAACGGUGUACAAUCAUUCUGGAGUCUGCAAGGGCCUUCAAGGGACCAAUUUAACGAGUUUCAAAUAACAAGUUUAUUUAUUUAUUUAUUUAUUUCUUUGGAUGAAAUAACAAUUUUAAUUAAAUAAUACAAAUAUAACUUAUGUACAUUUUUGCUUCUUGACCCUCUGUGUUGAAUGAGAACGAAACUGACAGAUAAGGACAGUAUGGCGUAUCUCUUGUUUAUUUCUUUGAAUUCCCCUCUCUUUAUUCUCUCUCAAUAGCCCUAUCUACAACCCUAUUCCUUUUUAUAAUCCUUUAUCACGCUACAUAUAUCGUAGCGUACUAUUAAAAUUUAACAGUGGGAUUACUUAGAAAUUUGAUAAGCACUCCGCUUCUCCCCCACCCCACCCAAAAAAAUAUUAUAGGUUAAGUGGAUGUAAAUUCUAAUGAUUAACAUGUUGGGAUUAUAUGCUCUUUUAAAGUAUAGUAAUUUAUUUUCUGAUUAAUAAAAUAUUUGAGAUAUUUUCAAUUGCAUAAAUAUAUAUUGAAUAAUGUCCGUUUAAUCAUAUUAUAUGUAUUUUUGUGAUUAUCAUAUAGAUUCACAGAAAACAUAAAUACAAGUUAUCUUAUUAUUAAAUAAAUUCAGUUCGCAGUUGAUAAAUAGAGUUGGACGCUCUAUUUAUGUUUAGACUGUAGUAAAUUUAUUGCAUGAUUUGUCUUAAUCAUAUAUGAAUUUAUUGAUGUAGUACGAUUACAUUGAACAUGAACACAUAUGAGAUUUAAUUAACCUUGAAAUGACUGUCAGACUUAUUAAAUCUCAUAGGCAUUGAUUUUACUGUAAUCUUAAUAUUGAGUUAAUUAUGAUUUCAUGAUUGUAAUUGUUAUUCCAUUUGAGUUACCAAUGGGCACAACACACAAUUGUGGUCAAGAUUACCUAGUAUCUUGGUGGGAGCAUUUAUGAGUAUUGGAGUUAUACAUUAACAAUAUAGAAUUUGUACAACACAUCCUUGAUGAGUUUUUGGCACUUGAUCAUAGAAUUCUCUGGCCAGAGUGUGUCAACAUAUUUAGUAUGUUGAAAAUGAUCAUUAGAGAAAACAAGUAAGCAUCAAGGAAUAAGAUGUAAUUAAAUUGAUUAGACAGUUGAGAUAUCGAUUUAAUUAAUGAUGUGGUACAAAGGAUUAUGCAGUAAAAAAAUUGAUGUGGCCUGCGACGAAUUAUUAUUCGAGCAUACAAUUAUGGAAGUUAGUUCCAAUCUUUUAAUGGAGUAUAUUUGGAAUUAAAUAAUUAGGCUAGUUUAAUUAUAGGCCUAAUUAUUAUAGCCACUAUUGUAUGUUCCCAAAUGAUUCCCGGGUUAGCUCAUUUAAUUGACUACGCCACUACUAGAUUAAUAAACAAGAUAACUAGUUAUUUGGGUUAAAAGCCUAAAUAUAUUAUUUAGUGGGAGGCUUCAAGUAAUGUACUUGUGUCUAAGGGGCAUUGUGUUAUUUUACAAAGUGGGCCCCUAUGACAAGAAAGAAGUAACGUUACUUUUAGUUUAUUAUUUUUAUUUAAAUCAAACUUGAUUUAAUAGAAUUAAAUAAUAUAAAAAAUGGAGUCUAGGGUUUCCACUAGAGAAAAAUAUAAAAGGGCUUAUUUUCUCCCAAAAGAAACAAGCAGCCACUUUAUACAGAUCAGAGAAAAAGAUUUUUCUCUCCGUUGUUGAGAGAAAAAUUUUCUCGUGCUAGUUACUUUGGUAGUGAUAAAGGCGUUCACACGUCAAAUGCAGAUCAAACCUGAGUCAUAACAUAGAAGAUCAUUGGUGACAGUUCGUGAUCUAACAAGUGUUGUGGUCACGGAUCGUGAUCUAACAAGCGUGGUGGUGACAGAUCGUGAUCUAGGAGCCUAAAUCACUUCAAUGGAAAAAGCCAAAUCGGAUUUUCAAUGUACGAUUUCUAGAUUACGUAUUCAUAUAUAUUGUAUGAAAUCAGUCCUAAAACAUUUUAUAAAAAUUUAAAAUAUAGAUUUUUCUCCAACAAUUGGUAUCAGAGCCAUCUUAUAUUAAUAUAUAAUAAUAUUGUAUGAAAUCAAUCUUGAUAUUUAUGUAUUAGAGUGGCACAACUUAUUCAGAUAUAUAUUAUUUAUUUAAUAUAUGAAUAAAAUAUGUUUUUGGUUUGUCUUAAUUCAUGAUUAGAUUCUUUACUGUUUUUUUUUUUUAUCUGUAACAAGAGGAGUGGUUUAUUAUCACCAUAUUUCCCUCUUAAUUUAGUUUAUUGUUAUAGAAAUUUUGUAAGCCUAAAUUGGUGUAGGAAAUUUGUAAGUCACUAGAGUAUAAUCAUGGAUGUCAGAUCAAAGCAACGAAUGCCGGAAAUUUCAGCGUCAGCCAGCGGUGCAUGAUGCACGCGCAGUGGCCAGCAGCACACGCUGCCAGCAGCUGCAGCGCGCGCAAGUUUAGUGCAUUUCCGACGACGCGGCAACGGGUGGCUCGGCGUCGGAGGUCGGCUGGUGUCUGAACAAUGGCAGAGGUUUUUGGAGAUGGCGGCUGGGGAGAAGGAAAAGAAAAAUAAGGAUUUUAGGGUUUCAUGGUUUCUAUCAUUGAGGUCCCUAUAGUUUAAUAAUUAUUUCUUUUGGGCAGUUAAGUUUUAAGCAUUUAAGUCUAAAAAUAGUUUUGGGCUUAAAGAAUCUUAGUUUUAGGCCCAAUUGAAAUUUGGGCUUAAUAGAUUAAAAUACAUAGAUAAAAUUGAACACAUUAAAUUUAUUUUUUGUCCAAAAAUUUUAUUUUAAUAAAAAAUUUAAUUAUUUAUUUAUUUCCUUCUAAAAAAUUAAAAUUGGACCAAUAAUAAAUUUAAAAGCUCAAUUUCCCCUAGUCCAUUAACAAAGAUAAGCCUAUGGAAGGUGGAUAUUGACAAAAAGCCCAAUGAAGAUUAAGCUUAUGGUUAAUGUAUUUUUUUAGGAAAGCCAUGAAUUAAGAUUAUUUAAUUGUAUUUCUAUAUGUUCUGUUUUGGAUGAUAAUAUGCCAUGAUAACAUGUCAUAUAGAAUAGGUAGUGUCACUCUAUGCAUAAUAUUACAUGUCAUUAAUUAAUUAUGAAUCUUAUUAUAUUGUUUGUAAUUUGCAAAUGCUUAAAUAAUAUUGGAUAUCAUAUAGAUAAUAUUAUAGGAAGCAUGAAACAAUAUGUAUGUUUUAAAAAAAGAAAAAACCAAUUUUAAAAUAUUGAGUGGGAGAGGGAAAAUUCAAAAUAAUUUUUCCCACGGGCUCCAUUGUUAGUUCAAUAAUAAAAUUAUAUAUAUACCUCGACUUCAUGAUACGGUGAUGCUCCUUAUGGAGGGUAUAUAUACUAGAUAUUUUAUUUGCUGAACUUUUUCAAAGAUAAAAUUGAAUAUUUUUCAAUCAAUUGUUCACUCCAACGGUGACUAUUGAUAUGAAAAAUACGUAGAUUGAAACAAUGGUUAUACCCUCAACUAAAAGUUGUUUUUAACCUUCCCAACAAAGCUCUGUUAACAACUUUAGGCCCAAAGGGAUAACGAUAAUUAUUUAUCAUGUCUUUACAUGAAAGUAAAUAAUUCAAUGGAUAAUUGGGUCUAGUAAGCAUAUAUUUGUUAUUUUGUUGUGAAUGGGACAUAUAUGGCACCAUUUGCUCCCGUGACCGAUCUUUAUAACAGAUCCAAUUACCCUCGUUAUAGUCACUAGAUAGAAAGCUAACAUAGCACAAUUAUAAUAUGUAAUGUAAGUGAUAGUAGAGUCACAAAUUAUUGUAUAAAUUUAUUUUAUAUAAAUUGAUGAUAAUAUAAAAUAAUAAAAAUAUAAAUCAUGUAGACCAAGAUGUAUUUAAUAUAACUAAUAAAAUUUUACUAGAUUAGUUUAUAUAAGAAUUUGUAAUUUUAUUAUUACUCAUGGUACUUGAACAGUGGCUGAUUGGUUAGCUAGUGGUAUAAGUGGCAACGACCAAAUUGUUGAGUCUCUGACGUGGGUUCUCAAAAUGAGUCAAGAGUCCAGAAAUUAGCUAUCAAGUUAUGACAAUAUUUGUAAACAUGUCUUUGAGAUGAUACAUUGUCAUCAUCAGCAUCAUAUCCUAAUUGAAAAAGAAGGAUUGCGAGGGAAACUAAGCAUGUGCCUUCAUUUUCACUUGAAAUAAAGCGCGAUGGAAAGAUCUCAUGUUAUCACAUAAUGCCGUGUGAUCACCUAAAAGCCCUUCCACACACAUUUCUUCUCAAAUUGUCUUAUUCUAAUUUCUUGGACCACCGCGGAACCACAAUGUCAAUGCGAGGAUGAGCGAGUGCUGUUCAGCUCGCAGCAUUUGGAGCCGGAGCUCGGCUUCCUUUAUUUUUUCGUCUUCUGCUGGUAGACAUUGCCAAAAGGCAAAGAGGAUCCUCUGGCGUUCGUGGAGUUGGUCCUCGAUGCGAUUGAUUUCUUCUCCAAGUUGAGCAAGCCUUUGUGCCAUAGCCAUAUAAUUAUUUGCUUUCGACCGACAUAAUUCUUCUCUAAAAAUUUCAGGGAGCACUUUUCAUCUACACCCAAAUAUUUCAUCAGAAUUUUGUUGUAUGCACACUUACUUCAACAACUAUCACGACUCACUCUUUUUGUUAAAUAUUGUUAUUGCCAUUAAUUUUGAUAUCUUUGACGUUAAAAGACAAUUUUGCCCUUAUUUAUAUUUUUUAAUGCAAAAUUACUAGAAAACCACAACACCAAUUUCAAAUUUCAAUUCACCUGUGUGGAUAUUAAAUUUAAUUUUGACAUCUUUGAUAUUAAAAGAUAAUUUUGCUCUUAUUUAUAAUUUGUUAAUACAAAAUUACCAGAAAACCCAACAUGAAUUUCGAAUUCCAAUUUACCUGUGUGGAUAUUAAAAUUUCGUAAAGGUUAGAAAAAAAGUAAAAAGUUUUUGUUAUGAAGAUCAAAAUAUCCCCUCUGCCAUCAUCCAUAAACGUCCAUUCUUCAUAACAAUCUAGUAAACUUGAAAAAGCAAGAAAUCCAAUCCCAGUCAAUCAAAAAGCCAAAAUUCUUCAUAAAGUUUAGCUUUUCUUGAAAAAUUUUAAUUCUUGAGACCCUAAAUUAACCGAUAUUCAACCCUAAAUUAACCGAUAUUCAAAGUCACAUGUUUCUAUAACGAAAAUCUUCAAAAAUAACACUCAAAUGAAAAUCUUCCAAGUAAAUAAAAAUCUAUAUUCAUAAUAUUUAUGAAUAAAUUGUAAAUAAUAUAAAAUGGUCUAAUUGAAUAUAGAGUGAUUUACAAUUUUAUAGUGCAUUCACUAAAUAGGAAUCAAAAUUAAUUGGAAACAUAAUGAGUUAGAAUCGAAAUAACUAGAAUCGAAAUAAGGAAUUAGAAUCAGAAUAAUUUAUUUACUUGAACUGCAUGAAUCGUAAUUAGAAUGAGCUAUUUAUAUGUUUAUUUUAUCUUAAAAUCAAAAUCGGAGUGAGUUAAAUUGUAUCAAAUUACUAUAAGACCCUUAAUUAUUUUUUAUCAUAAAAUAGUUAAUUAAUGUUUAUCAUAAUUAUUAAUUUUAAUUUUAAUUAUCUUGAUUAUUAUUAUUAUUAAAAAAUUAAUUAUUAUUGUUAAUUAUUAUUAUUAUUAACAAUUUAACUAAAAAAUUAUUAUUAAUUAUUGUUAAUAGAUUAAUUAAUUAUAAUACUUUUUAUCCUUGUUAUUAAUAAUAAUAAUAAUAAUAAUAAUAAUAAUAAUCCAUUUAAAAAUUAUAAUUAUAAUAAAAUCAUUAUUAUAAUUAUAAUCCAUUUAAUAAUAAUUAUAUUUUUAAUUAAAUGGAGGGUAUUUUAGAAAUUUAAAAAUUAUAGGGGCGAAUUGAUACUGUAAGGGUUUUAAUGCAAUAAAACAAAGUAUAAGGGGCUCAAUGAAAAUUUACAAUACAAAAAGUUUCACAAUAUUUAGGAAUAAAUUAUAAAUAAUAUAAAGUGUAAGGGCUACGUGAGCAGUAACUUAGGUGGCCCCUUUGCAAAUAACUAUUGUGAUUAGUGAGGCGCACCCAUCAAGUUCAUUGUAGCUGAAUGUAGAGGGCCUCGUGGAAGUUUAAGUUGUAGGGUCCCAAUCAAAAUGUGGCACUGACACAUUUAUCAAACAAUAUGAUUUUUUGAUAAGGACAUUAGUUUUGUAUUCAUAUCAAGCAGGUCCCUAACUUGUUGGGUUGGCAACGACACGGGAUUUGUCAAUCCCAGUCCCAUUCCGUAUAAAGUGCCGUAUAUGCAAAUGAGAUAAAAAAAAAAUCUUAUUCCUAUUCUUUUAUUUUCUUUUGCGACAAAAAUUUGUCAUGAUCUCGUCUCAUUAAAUAUCUUAUCCCAUCUCAUUAUCUUGAACAGUUUUAAAGGUAAAUAAAUAAAUAGACUUUUUUUUAAAGAUCAUCACAAUUCAAUAUAGCAAAAUUUUUUAAAUAAAUACAAAGUAAAAUAAUCAAAUAAUAGUUUUAUUUUGACUAAGUGCAUGUUCAAAUAUAAUUUUAUAUUAACAUUUUUAAUAGUCUAUUUGCUUCCAUUGCACAUUAAUAUUAAGACUUACACUUCAAAAACUAUAGAUUUAAAUAGUAAUCACUUCAACAAUGUUAAAAUAUCUAAUAAUUGAAUAAUAUAAUAAUAAACAAAACCAACAAGGUUGGUAAUGGAAUGGGAUGAGACGAGAUUUGUCCAUUCCAGUCUUAUUCCGUUUAUACAAGUGAGAUAAAAAAAAAUCUUUCAUUCCUAUCCUUUUAUUUUUUUGGGAUAAAAAUAUAUCUUAACUCUAUCCCAAAUGAAAUAGGAAAAAUUACCAUCCCUACUAACUUGGUGUAAUGACUAAAAGUUGAUUGAAAAAUAUAUAGUUUAAUUUUACAUUUAAUUUUUUUCAUUUUUUUAUUAAGAAUUAAUUGAAAAAUUAUUUUAUUCCCUUAAUUUUACCAGAAUCCCAUUGACUUAACCCCUAGUCUCUUGAUUAAGGCUCCGUUUGGUGCAGCUUUUCAAGCAAAACUUAUUUAAGUAGAGCUUUUGAUAAUAGAGCUUUAAGAAUUUAGUUGUUUGGUUGUCAAUAAGAACUUUUAUUAAAAAUCUAUGAAAUUGCUUUAAUAGAUAAGUUUUCUUAAGUUAUGUUAUGAAAAGAAUAAAAUAAGAUUGUUAAAUAAGUAAAGGAUAUUUUAGAUAUUUUAACAUUUAAAAAAAGUUUUUCAACCUCUACUCCCAAAAGCUCAAACUUUGAGUUUUUGUCAAUAGAGACGAACUAGCUUAUUUAAGCUCUAAAAGCUCUACAAAAAAAAAAAAAAAAAAAAAAAAACAACCAAGCAACAACAAAAAUUAUGAUAAGAGCUUAUGAGAUUAAAUAAAUACGUAUGACCAUUAGACAAGCCAUAUCAAAUAGGCAGUAAAGCGUUUUUAAGUUCAAAAGAUUCAGAUAACUCACUCGAUUACAGGGCGUCUACACCUUAUGCUCGCAUUUGUUGUGAUGCCAGUAGAUGUUGUGACUGUGGUUGUCGUUGUCGAUUGUACUUGAAUUUUGCAGGAGAGCUUAAUAUCCUCCUUAGUAAUUAAGCGUUGCAUCAGUUAUUUUUAAAAAAAAUUAUAUUAGAGUUAUUAUUAAAAAAUUGUAUUAUAAAAUAAAAAUUAAUAAUAUGUAAUAAAUAUGAUUUUUAAAAAUUCAUUUUAUUAAAAUUAAUUAUUUUUAUUUUUAUUAAAUAAAUAUAAAAUUAAAUCAACUUAAUUAUUAAAUUAUAGUGAUUAGUAUUUAUUAAACACUUUAAUAUAGUAACUUUUAAAAUUAUAAUCGACUAACCUUAAUCCAAGAGCCUGAAAUGAUUGUGCAGUUCGGGAUUUUCAAUUUCCUUUCUUUUUGGAACUGGCUUGGGAUUGUCCAAACACGUUAUUGACUGCCUUUGACAGGGAGUAUGGGGACAAAUCAAUUUUGUUUCCUGCAAAACCCUUGAAAUAUUAGUCAACUUACGUAUACCACUUUUGGACCCAUUUUGUCAGCAAAAAGAAAGAGUGGAGCAUUUGUACUCUAAAUUUAACUUUAGACAGUCGCAUUUUAACAAAUUUUUAUAUUACUAAAUUAACCUUAAUAUAAUUUACUAUAAAAGACAAUUUAGUAAUAUAAUAACUUUUAAAAUUAUUAAAUAAAUAUAAAAUUAAAUCAACUUAAUUAUUAAAUUAUAGUGAUUAGUAUUUAUUAAACACUUUAAUAUAGUAACUUUUAAAAUUAUAAUCGACUAACCUUAAUCCAAGAGCCUGAAAUGAUUGUGCAGUUCGGGAUUUUCAAUUUCCUUUCUUUUUGGAACUGGCUUGGGAUUGUCCAAACACGUUAUUGACUGCCUUUGACAGGGAGUAUGGGGACAAAUCAAUUUUGUUUCCUGCAAAACCCUUGAAAUAUUAGUCAACUUACGUAUACCACUUUUGGACCCAUUUUGUCAGCAAAAAGAAAGAGUGGAGCAUUUGUACUCUAAAUUUAACUUUAGACAGUCGCAUUUUAACAAAUUUUUAUAUUACUAAAUUAACCUUAAUAUAAUUUACUAUAAAAGACAAUUUAGUAAUAUAAUAACUUUUAAAAUUAUUAAAUAAAUAUAAAAUUAAAUCAACUUAAUUAUUAAAUUAUAGUGAUUAGUAUUUAUUAAACACUUUAAUAUAGUAACUUUUAAAAUUAUAAUCGACUAACCUUAAUCCAAGAGCCUGAAAUGAUUGUGCAGUUCGGGAUUUUCAAUUUCCUUUCUUUUUGGAACUGGCUUGGGAUUGUCCAAACACGUUAUUGACUGCCUUUGACAGGGAGUAUGGGGACAAAUCAAUUUUGUUUCCUGCAAAACCCUUGAAAUAUUAGUCAACUUACGUAUACCACUUUUGGACCCAUUUUGUCAGCAAAAAGAAAGAGUGGAGCAUUUGUACUCUAAAUUUAACUUUAGACAGUCGCAUUUUAACAAAUUUUUAUAUUACUAAAUUAACCUUAAUAUAAUUUACUAUAAAAGACAAUUUAAUAAAUUUUUAUCAUAUGAACUUUUAUCUACUAUAAACCACAUCAACAAUGAAAUAUUGAACCAAUGUUCACGUCGGAACUUUAUCUAUACUUAUAGACUAGAUUUUUUUUUUUUUUUGGUUAAUAGAAUGGCUAGAAAAACAUCAAGUUGCAUGUUCUAUCUCUUAUAACUGAAACAAAAGGAAUUACAAGCGGAGGUGCAGAACGAACAAUAAGUCUAUAAAUAUGAAAUAAAAUCGACAUAACUUCUAACAACUGCUAACUAUAAUCUUGAGCAAGACCUUAAUUUCCUCUCAGUUUUACAAUUAUUUGCUUUUGAGUGAGCUCUGAUUAUAAAUUUAUCCAUACAUGAAGUUACACUAGAUACGAAAUUACGUGGGCAUAAUUAUUCUUAGAGAAUUAUUUUUUCCUUUAGGAAUUCGUGCAAAUUAUCACUUUCUUUUUCCACUUUCCUUGAGAUAUUAUAUUUGACCUUUUUUAAAUAGUGCUCAUUUGUUUACGGAGUUUUUUUUUUAAUAACCAUUUCUAACCGUUUCAAACAAUUUGGUUCUAAAUAUAAAAUUUAGACCAUCUAUAAAUGCAGCCCUCUCACAUAAAUAGUAUCCAGUCCUAAGUCCACAGCCAGGUUUGUGAGAGAGCUCUCUACAUUAUAGAUGCUGUAAGGCAGUAGGGGUGUAAAAAAAACCCGCUCGGACCGGACCUGGCCCGGACCCGGCCAAUUCGGUCCGGGCAAAACCCGGACCACAUGCACUGAAAAUGCGGGUUCGGGUUUAAGAUUCCAAACCCUACCAUUUUCGAGCACGGGUUCGGGUUCAACACCAAAAAUCUGGAACCCGGAACCGGACCCGGUUUCUAAAUUAAAAAAAUAUAUAUAUAAAAACAAAAAUGUCAAAACCCAAAUCCCUAAUUGGCUAAUUCCCGAUUGAAAGAGGCAUAAGCAGCAAGCCAACAACGUUGUCACCGGCAUCAUCUCUUCUCGUCACCGUCGGCAUUCGGCAUUAACCACCACCCACUGUCACCGUCGCUCGUCGGCAUCAUCUCUUCUCGUUUGCUGACUCGGCUUGGCACGCGGCUUUACUCGGUUGCUCCAUCUCCAGUGGCAGUGUGGCUGUGACUCAGUGACAGUGAGUCGUUCGUGCAGGUGAGGCCUGCUUCUGGGAUAUUUUUCUGGAAUUUGGCCUCUUCGAGUUGCUUGUCCUGCUUCCUGACAUGUUCGGCAGCUGCGAUUGCAGAUUCCUUGGAGUCCUUAACAACUUUGAGCUUGGUGGUCAACUCGAGCAUGGUUCUUUUAGCCCUCUCAAGAUCGCCAAGUGCUCGAGCUCUUGUGCUUUCAGAGCUCUCUAACAGUUUCUUAGUUCUUUCGAUUUCUUUCCGGGCCAAGAGAAGCUGCGUCGUCAGCGCCAUCGUCUCCAACUCUCCAUUGCCACUUUCUCAACCACCAUCUCCAACUCUGCUUCUCAGCUUCUGCAAGAGAGAAUUGCAUGCCAUAUUGCCAUUAUUAUUAAGUUACUAUAUGCGGGUUUCUAAGCCCGGACCAAAAACCCGGACCCAGGUGGUGCCGGGUUUGCGCCUGGCCCGCACCCGGAAAAUCGGGUUUUAACCCGGGUCCGGAUUUUUUGUCCACUCAUCCGGUCCGGUCCCGGGCAACACCAAAACCCGGAUCGAACCCGGAUUUUGCCAAGCCUAUAAGGCAGCCCUCGCCAAACCUAAAUAUAAGAUUGAAUCAAACUCUUUUCGAAUUCGAAUUUCUUUCAAGCUCAAAUACGUCGCUUGGCUUUUCUUAUAUUUUAAGGUACAAUUGGGUUUGAUUUCUAUCCACUCUUAAGGUGCAGUAAAUCUCAACAUUCCAAAUAUAACCCUUUUGACACAAUUCACUUUCUAUUUGGGAAUGGCAAAAAACCCCAUGAGAUGGGGUUGGGGAUUUUUCCCAUUUAAGAAGGGAAAAAUAACAAUUUUAUGUUUAGGGUCUGAUAGGAAUGAUUUUUUGCCCAAUUUUUUUUGGGGAAGGUACAAAGAUGAGCUUGAAUCCUGAUUCUCUUCCCAAUUCGCCAUUUUCUCAAUUUAAUUUUUAAUUCUAAUUUUAUUUUUUAAAAAUAGUAAUGAAUCAAUAAUAAAAUCUAAAUUAUAAAAUAUUAAAUAUUAGUAUAAAUAACAAAUAUCAAUAUAUUUAUACAAAUAUAUUUUGAAAUUUUUGGGCCCAACUAAAUAGAAAUUCUAUUUUAACAUUCAUACAUUUUCAAAAUUAUUAAACUAAAAGAAUCCAGAAUCAAUUUUUCCUUGUGAACUUCUAUUAAAAUUUCACUGCGGUUUAAAAAAAAAUUAAAAAUUAAAAAUCCAUCCCAAAACCGAUUGCUACAAUACUGAGCCGCAAAAGUCAACGCCCGACACCCCACAUUUCAAUUUCAAAUCCAAACUUAAAUCCACCAACAGACACUACGCAAAACAAAUCUACUUGAAAUGAACAGCAAGUCUAAAUCGAAAUCGAAAUGAAAACCUUUAUGAGAGAGAAGUAAGAAGGCUUCGUUGUAUAAAGAGAAUAGCGAUUGAAGACAGUGUCUUCACGAUCGUCGUACGUAAAGCAUACGGAGAUCGGAGACUGUGUACUAACGAUCGAGGGCUGUGUCAAGACUGUCUUCACGAUCGUCGUAUGUGAAGCAUACGGAGAUCGGAGACUGUCUUAACGAUCGACGACAAACUGUCUUCACGAUCGUCCUAUGUUAAGCAUACGGAGAUCGGAGACUGUGUCUUAACGAUCGAGGGCAAACUAUCUUCACGCUCGUCGUAUGUGAAGCAUACGGAGAUCGGAGACUGUGUCUUAACGAUCGAGGGCAAACUGUGUUCACGAUCGUCGUAUGUGAAGUAUACGGAGAUCGUAGACUGUGUCUUAACGAUCGAGGGCUGUGUCGAAACUGUCUUUACGAUCGUCCCAUGUGAAGUAUACGGAGAUCGGAGACUGUGUCUUAACGAUCGAGGGCAAACUGUCUUCACGCUCGUUGUAUGUGAAGCAUACGGAGGUCGGAGACUGUGUCUUAACGAUCGAGGGCAAACUAUCUUCAAGAUCGUCGUAUGUGAAGCAUACGGAGAUCGGAGACUGUGUCUUAACGAUCGAGGGCUGUGUCGAAACUGUCUUCACGAUCGUGGUAUAGAGUGAAUAGAGAGAGAGGGGGCUGUGUUAAACAGAAAGAUUGAAUGCUGUGCCGUGUAGAGAGAUCGAGAAGAAGAGAGAAGAUGGCGGCGCCUGUAGCAGAGCACGGGCUCAUAUUUAUAGGAGAGGGAUUACGGCAACUUAACGGCCGUUAUGACCGCAAAUUGCCUCUGUUAGAAUUAACCGAGAAGUCACGGGAUUACCUGCUGAUCAUCAGCAUCUGGGAAUCUUAUGAGUUUGAACAUCAAACAUGCAUGCUAAACUAUCCACUAAUAUAUAUAUAUAUAAACCGAAAGCUCAGUCAUUUAAACGAUAGCAUUCAGCGAUGAACAACAAUAACUUAAACAUGGAUGUAACUCAAAAUUUAUCUUCACCUGACAGCCAGACAUACGUAUGGUAAAUCGUAGUGGUAGAAGGUUAACAUAUGAGGCAAGUUCAAAGAACAUUUCUCUUUUAUACCAAAAAAAGAAAUAGCUGAACCGGAAGGGACUCACAGUUGAUUAGAGAAUGAGUAUAUCAAUCUAUCUGUGACAAUUUAAUUUAGGUAUACCAUAUGAUUCCAACCUUUAUUACACUAAAAGAUGGUCAUCCCAUCAUUAAUAGAAAAGAAAAAUAAAAUAAAACGGCAAAGUAAUUAAGAAAGAAGUAGAAUUUCAGCUCAACCUUAGGUCAGAAUAGUGUGAGCAUUCUAGAUUUGAUUCAUCUCGUCAUAACCUUCGAACAAGGUAUUAUACACUAGAAACAGACACAUGCGUCCCAAAUUAUGAUAUCCAAAAAUUAUCCUACUCAUGAUUAUCUUAGGUAACUAUCCUACAUUGCAAAUGAAUGUAAUAGCUACGUUUCAAAUUAAAUUCAAAACCAUAAAUUCAAGAGUUAAGUGUUUCUGAAUCAAAAUACCCUCUACGAAUUUUAUAAAUUGGCUUCUAAUUUCAUUAGCAAAAUACACAAAAUCCAAGUGAAUUUCCUCUUCUCUCCCAAACAGUUUUAACAUUUGGCGAUAGAGCUGACGACAAGCAUGAGUAAACAAUGUACAAUAGUGAUACGCAACAAUGAUCAAAGAAAAACAAAUCCUUGAAGUGUAACACCAUGAAAUGAAAAAAUAGGGCGUGGAACAAAUAUUUCUAAUAAUCUUGUUCAUCUUAACCAUAUUUUUUUCAGUGAAAAAUAUUAAUGGCAUCUUAUGUUAUAUUGUUUCAGUAAGAGAAAGAAGAAAAAAGAAAACAAAUCUCUUUCAUAGGGGCUUGACCAAUUUUUUCACGAAAAAUUGACGGCCGUUAUGAGUUCUGUAAAUGCCUCUGUUAGAUUUGAUGGAAAAGUCACGGGGUUACGCGAUGAUCAUCAGCGUCUGAAAAUGUUAUGAGUUUAAUUAGCCAAGAAGAAUUAACCUCCGCUUCAGAUCGAACGACUCCCAAGUAACUACAAACAUAUCACCUUUAUCCUUUUGGUUCCAUCUGCCCACGAAGCUUCAUAUACCUACAAAAUGUUUCUUAAAAUUUUAAGGAAAAAGGAUAAAUACACCCCCAACGUUUAGAUAAAAGGACAAAAGUCCCCCUAACGUUUUAAAAAAUACAUUUACAUCCUCAUUCUCUAACGGAAACAGUAACUUUUAACAGAAAUUAUUGUUAUACCCUUCUAGCAUAUAAAAAAUAUAUAUACAAGUUUAACUUGUGGUAUUAUACCAUAAAAUUUUAUUUAAAUUUUAAACUUGUAUAUUUAACAAUUCUCCACAUGUUAUCAUUUAAACUUGUAUAUUUAUAACUAAUUUUUUAUGUUAUUUAUUAUGGUAUUAAUUGAAAUACAAGUUAACAUUAAUAACCAAUUUUAUUUAUUUUUAUUCUUGAGUAAUGAAUUAAAUUUAUUUGGCUUGAAGAGGGAAUUUGAUAAAAAUUUAAAUAGAGGAAUUGGGUAAUGAGGAUAUAUUUAUAAUUUUAUUAAUAAUAUAUGGACAAAUUGGAUAAUCAACAAUUUUUUUUUAUAUGCUAGAAGGGUAUAACGGUAAUUUCUAUUAAAAGUUAAUGUUUCUAUUAGUGAAUAAGGAUGUAAAUGUCUUUUUUAAAACGUUAGGGGGUUUUUGUCAUUUUGUCUAAAUGUUGGGGGUGUGUUUGUCCUUUUUCCUUUUUUUAAUAAAUUAUAAUCGGACAGCUGGAUCAAAAUUUUCGACUGGGCAAAACGCAAAAUCUACCACGAGUGCUUCAACAACUUCGUUUCAUUUAAAUAUUUAUCAUUUAAUCAGAGUUUGACGAGCAGCGUCGAUGGAAAAUUGAUAGAAAUGAUCCUUACUUUUUUUUUUAUUAUACGAAUAGCAAAUAAAAUUUUCCUUUUUUCAGUUACACAGGUAGGAAAUAAAUUUAUAAAGUCUAGUAUCUACUGUUCGUAAUAUAUAGCAAAUGAAAAUUUUCCAUUUUUCAAUUACACGAACACAUGUAACUGUUUUGUAUAUACCUUUUUCUAGCGGCUUCAAAAAGUUUCAACCUUAUGGAAUGGCACAAUCUUUGUACAUUAUUAUUUUAAUUAAUAACAAGAUUACUGAUCCUGUGCGCCCGGUAAACACUGCUGUGAUUGAGGAAAUGGCGGUUGCUAUUGCUGACUCUUAUCAAAGGCCUUGAUAAAUCGACCAUUUCUUCACAUCUAACUGAGGCAUAAAAGGUAAAAAGCCUAGGUGUAGGAGAGAAAGCUACAACAUAUAUGACACAAAAUCAAUUUGGAUAGGCCUUGCUGAUCAUGUCUGUGAAUGAAGAAGAUUCACCUUGAUGCCAUAGCGUAGCAAAUUAUUAGGAGGCAGGAUGUAUAUGUCGCAUAGUUAAAGGGGGAUUCUAAAUCCUGAAGGGUACAAAGACUUAUGCUUUGAAGCUCAUCUCCCUAUCUAAAACAAGCGAGUUAAGUUCUAUUUGGAAUUGAGAUUGAGAAACUAUAACUUAAAAACUACUGCAUUAAAAUAUUAGGUAAACACUAACUGCUAUAGUUUGGAAAUUAAAUUAAUUUGAUUUUACACUUGUAUAAUGAAAAAUCUAUUAUAUCUUUACUAAUUUUGUCAAAAUUAUUAUUUAAAAGUUAUAGUUGCUACAUAUUGUUAACUUUUAUUUCUUCGUUAUAAUUUUUUUUUUUUUACAGUAGUUGUAACUUAAAAGCCGCUGCACUUUAAUACCAAAUAAGACCGUUGUUAACCAUUUUGAUAGAGUUUGACCAUCUAAUUGACUAAUUCCCCAAAAAAAAAAAAAAGGUAUGGUGGUUACCCGAAUUUUACGUCCACUUAACAUAUAAUUUUUUAGGGGAAGAAAGGGCGGGGUGCUAAUCAAAUUUUUGGAAAAAAAGAAAAAAGAAAAAGCACAAUACUUGUCAAAUCUCUAAAUAACCCUAUUGUUAAACUUUAAUAAUACACUACAAUAAAUGUAAUGUAAAUUAAGUAAUAAAAGAUUAUAGAAAGAUCAAAGAAAUAGGGUUGUAAAUGGGAUUAUUGUGAAAGAAUAAAGAGAGGAAUUCAAGCAAUAAAUAAGAGACACGCCAUACAGCCCAUGCUGUCCUUAUCGGUGUCAAGUUCAUUCUCAUUCAACACAGAGGGUAAACAAGCAAAAAUGUAUAUAAAACACAUGCAUAUUAUUAUUACUAUUAUUAUUUGAGAAGCACAUGCAUAUUAUUUAAUUAAACGUGUUAUUUGGAACUUGUUAAAUUGUUACCUUUGUAGGUCCUUGUGGACUCCAAAUUAAUUGUACGCCUUUUCAACAGAAAAAAGUGCAUUACAUAAUUUUUUCUUUUUUUACUUUAUUUUUGGAAUUUUUUGGAAAAAGCGAUGACUCAUGAGAAGAAGAAGAAUAGUAGAACACGUGGAACAGUCCAAAAAUAUUGUGUAUAAAUAAAUAACGCGGCUUCUGAGUUUUUGACAAUUUACCAUACGUUAAUAACGCUUGAUGAAAAUGUUGCAAUCAGGUAGUGUAGAAUCACUAAUAAAUGAAAUAUGCAAUAAGAAGAGUAAAUAUUAAUAACGCACCAAUAUUACAAAUCAAUAGCUAAGGAUCAAGUGAAAUUUCACCUGCAAAUUAGGACAGCCGAGGAAGCAUCCAUAAACAUAAGAGUAAUUAUACCACUCUGAAAUUUCAUAAGAGAGAAUUAGGACAGCAGAGAAAGAAAUACACAAAGCAAUUUGCAAAGGACAGAGGCAUAAACAUAAUAGUAAUUAUAAAAUUUCAGACUGUAAGAAAAAAGUAAAAAAUGUAUAAUAUUUUUCACAUUAGUCCGACGGUUCGUCAAUGUCUUUGUAAAAAGCAAAUAUUUUCAAAGGUAAAUAACACUCUCCCAAAUGUUUAAUCAAUAAUACAAUUUUUUUUUGAAGAGAUAACUACUGAUUAUAUAUUGAUUCUUCAAAAUAAUUACACAUUUAUCAUAAUAUUAUUUAUUUAUUUUAUAAUUGAUAUAGUACUUUAAAGAUAUUUGAAAAAUUUUUAACUUGACAAUGCUCCUUAAUCAAGGGUGAAGUUUAAAUUAUGUCACAAAAAGUGCUUGAACAAUAUUGAGCAAAGCGUUUACUUGUAUAACUCGAACUGGGGAGCAAACCCUUAAGUGGCUUGACUGAGUUUGCUCCCCAGUUUAAGUCGCAGGGAAGUCGCUUUUGUUGGAAAAACUUGUGCCUCUCGAUUCGAGCGGAGACUUCUAUUCUUGGUUGUGGUACGGACUUAAAGGUGCCUCCCAUAGUUGGGACCCUCCCCAGGAUACCUCGUAGUCAAAAACCAAAAAGAAUGCAUAUGAGGGGAUAAGAAGACUGAAGGUAUGAGUUUGACUAUUAUCACAAUAAUUUCUAUUUCAUAGAUUGAAAUGUGAACAUUAGUGUAUUUUGUGGAAUUUUCUCCGUUACUUUAUAAAAUUACUACAUGUACAUGGAUGAUUGCUUGCUACUGUGAAAGGCGAAACAUUUAAUUUGGAGAAAAUUCCUUCUAGACUGGUAGCAUGGGUCAUAGUUGCCCUAUCGACGAAGUGUUAUUAGCUAAAACCUAUUGCACAUGUCAAUGCAAAAUGGCUUCAAGGUUUCGCUGUAGAACUGAUGACAAGCUUCUGAAAACAACGUGCCAUAUUGAAACACAACAACAAUAAUGGCAGCACCAAUCCAUGCAGUGUAAAAAAUGAAAUGGCCAAUAUUAGAACACGGAAGUAGAUCCAGAGACAACAGCAAGGCCCCAGAACUGGAAAGAAUUUUCUGGAUGAAGUCGAGACUUGAGGUUAGCUGAAUGUGCAUAACAAUACGUGGUUAUGGCUAUAAAAAAAGACCAUAUAUUUAUGGGCUUAGUUUUGCUUUGCACAUUGGCACCCACAAUGCCGAUGAGAGCCGGAAUCAGAUAUUCAAAAAUGUUGGGAUAUGACAUCGACUAGAGGAGAUUUCGCCCACUGCAAAAUCAUUUAAAAUGAUAAAAUCAUCUUCUGCAUAUCCCAUUUUCUUUUAAAAAAAAAUUAAAAUUAAAUAGAUCUUGUAUUAAUUCCUCUCAAUUUGUUUGUCAAUUAUUUGUUUUUGACCGACACAAUUCUUCUCUAAAAAUUUGAGGGAGCACUUUUUAUUUGCACCCAAAUGUUUCAUCAAAAUUUUAUUGUAUACACACUUGUUUCAACAGCUAUCAUAGCUCACCCUUUUCUGUUAAAUAUUGUUUUUACCAAUAAUUUUGAUAUCUUGACGUUAAAAGACAAUUGUACCGUUAGUUGAAAUUUUUAAGUAUAAAAUCACCAAAAAAACCACAACACUAGUUUCAAAUUCCAAUUGACCUGUGUGGAUAUUAAAAUUUCUUAAAGGUUAAGAAAAAAAAGGUAAAAAUGCUUUCUUAUGGGAAUCAAAAUAUCCCCUAUACCAUCAUCCAUAACCGUCUAUUCAUGAUAACAAUUUAAUAAACUUGAAAAGCAAAAAAUCCAAUCCCAGUCAAUCAAUACAGCCAAUUUUCUUCAUAAAGUUUAGCUUUUACUUUAAAAAAUGCUAACUCUUGAGACACUAAAUAAAUAUUUAAAGUUACGUGUUUCUAUAACGAAAAUCUUCAAUUUACCCCUUUAAAAGUUUGAAAACAUUAAUUUACUUCUAUUUUCCAGUCAAAAAAUUAGAAUAAAUGGAGACAAGCUGAUGACAAACUUUUUAACUUCUUAGUGGUAUUUGAUAAAUAUAAAUAAAUUGAAAAUUAUCAUUGUAAGUAGGAAUAAGUUAAAACUUUUACUCCAUAUUUAUUGUGCUUUAAGAAGAGAAAGAAAGAAAACAGAAAACAAACCUCUUUUAUAGGAGGGUUAACAAAAUUUUCAGCAAGGACUUAACCAACUUUUUUCGCGGAAAUUAAAUUAGCAGAACAAAAAUAACAUACGACUUGAGUCAAUAAUGGUAAAGAAAAUGAACGUACACAGAAAAUGAACGUACACAUAAGGGUUUGGAUUUGGUUGAUGAAGAAUGCACUGAAAGCUUUGCAUUUGCUUAUAUAUCACAGCAAACACUGGAUUGAGUUCUCUUUUCCAGGGUAAAUAAGGUAGGGAACAGCAAAGCCGAUCAAUUUGAUAAAAAAAAAAAAGGGAGGGAAGGGGGGGGGAGAGAACUGCCACAGUAAGAACAUCUCAAUCAUCUCUGCUAAAAAAAGUUAUCUCGUGGCUGGGGCAUUUAUAUUUUCAUGUGCGCUGAUGCCGGGAGUUGAAACUGAGGCGGCGAGUCCUCGAGGCCUCUGCUGCAAGAGAGGACUCUGUUAAUUUCGCAAAAAUCUGACUUGGCAAAAUCCACUCAUACAUCAUUUGUCCCUUUGUUGUGAUGUUGAUGCAGUUUCUUUAUUUUUAUUUUUGCUUUUUGUUUUGAGCUCCCAGACAAAAGAGUGUUGAAAAUGAUCGAUUAAUCGGUUCCCCAUUCAAUUUCAAGGUCGAAAGGGAUGACAAGAUGUAUAUUUAGUAUGGUUUAUUUAAUAAUUAUAAAUAUUUGUUUAAUUUUAUGAUCUCUUAUUAAAAUUUUUGUUAUUAUUUAGUUAUUUUUUACAAAAUUUUUAAAGAUUAAAUAAGAUAUUUUAUUUCUAUUAAAAAAAUUUAAAUUUUAAGAUUUUAGAUGUAGAGAUUGAAUUUUUUUUUACAUGGUAAAAUAUUUAAAAUAUUAUUUAUUUAUUUGACAAUCUUAUUUUAUUUUUUUAUAACAUAAAUUUUAAAAAAUAAUUUAUAAAAAUAAUUUCAUAAUUUUUAAUAAAUAAAUUAAUUGAUAAUUAAAUAAAUAAAUUUUUUUUAGUAAAAAUUUUAUUUAUAAGAAUCUUAUUAAUAAAAAAUUUAUUUAAAAAAAUCCUAUUUGAAAAGAUAUUCGGAUCGAAUUUAACAUCCACAUCAUACCGGUACGAGACGUAAGAGGGUUGAAAAUAACGUUAUACACUCGUCAAGGCGCACCAAUCAAGUUCGAGGGGGACAGCGCCCAAUAGCUGAACUUAAAGGGCCCCGUGGGGAACUUAGGUGGUACAGCCCCAAUCAAAAUGCGACAAAUUUAUCAAACAACAUGAUUUUUCCAACGAGGAUAUUAGUUUUGUGUUUGUCACAAAUAGGUCCCUAACUUGGUGUAAUGACUAAGAAUUAACUGAAACAAAAUAUCUUAAUUCUGUAUUUAAUUUUUAUUAAGAAUUAAUUGAAAAUUUAUGAUAUUUUCUUAAUUUUUGCCACAAUUUUUUAAUUAAUUAUAAUUUAAAAAUUUAUUAUAUUAAAUACAUAAUUAAAAGUAUUCAUAUUCCCAACAUCAAACAAUCACUAAGGGUAAAAUGGUAAGAUUAGUAAAAAAAAUUGAUACUCAAAGGGGUUUGGAUGUGUUUUUAAAAUACCAAGGGAGUUUCGGUUAGUUUUGUCAAACAAUAAGGGAGUUUUGCUCUUUUUGUUUCUUUUGUUUUUGUUGUUCAUAGUCGAUAAUGGAUUUGAAAUAGAAAAUAAUUAUAAUUUAUUUUUUCAUUCACUCUCUAAUUAAUUCAAUGGUGCUUAGCAACUUUUGUUUCAGUUUAUGAGCAAUUGGGUGAUAUUUUAUGCCAUGUUCUCUAUCGAGAUGAUGUAACUUAAAAGUUAGGAAAAAAAAGUUGUAAUUAUAAUAUUAAAUUAAUAGUUUGUAAUAAAUAUGACUUUUAAUUAAUAAUUUUGACAAAGAAGUAAUAGACUCUGACAGUAGCGGACCUACAACUGGGCAAGGCCGGGCGUUAGCCCAGUCUAGUUCCAAAAAAAAUCAUUUAUAUCGCUUAUGCUUUAAUUAAUUUUAUAUAUAAGUAUAGAUUUUUUAUUUUGUUUUCAUAUAUAUUCCUAAUUUAGUUAGCCUUAUAUUUUCAUCAAUUUCAUAUAAUAAUAGAGUUUUUAUUUUAUUUUCAAAUAUGUCCCUCAUUCAAUUAUAUAUAUUUUUUCAAUUGAAAUUAGUUACUUAUUUUAUAAAAUGAUUAAAUCAUAUGUUUAUUGAAUAGAUAGAAAACAGUAAGGGUCUAAAAUAUUAUUGGUGCUUAAAUUUAUUUUCAAAAAUUCUAAUUGAAAAAAAAAGUAUGUCAACGUAGUAAAACAUUGUCACUAGUAUUAAAAGUACUUAAAAAACAUAUAGUAACAACUAUCAACAUUUUCAUAAACUUUUUAUGUGAAUUUUGAGAUUUUAUUUAUUAUUUACAUUAUCUAAGAGGACAAGUUAGAAAAUAAAAUUUGAGUAUUUUUAGGAGUUUUUGAUAGAAAAAUCAUCAGCAUUUGGUUUUUUAGAGAGAGUCAGAGUGCUUGGCAAAGAAAUAACGACACCUAAAUACCUUUUUGCCGCUAGAUUGAGUUUAGUUUAUUAUUGAAACUUUUGACUAAUAAUAUUUUUAUAAUUUAAAAAGAUGAAUAAAUUUUAAUUUUUUAAAUUUAUUUAAGCCUAGUAAUUAAGUAUUUUUCAAAUAUAAAAGGUCUACUUAAAUUUUUUAAUUAAUUGCAAUUAUAGGUAUUGAUGAAUUUUAUCUUGAAAUUCUUAAUUGAUUUAUGUAAUUGCAUGUUAUUAUAGGUUCCACUGUUAGAUUCCAUAAACAAAAAGUAGUGCUUUAUACUAGAAUUGUCUUUUAAUUCUACCAUUUUUCUAUAAUUAUUUUUGUUUAGAGUACUGUGUUUAUAGGGUUUUUCGUUUCCCCUUUAUUUGAUGCACUUCUUUCUACCUAUGAAUAUUUAUGUCACUUCAAAAUAUAAAAUUUUUAAUUUAACCCGGAAUAACAUAAAGUCUUGGGUCCUCCCCUGGACCAUGAGCUGAAUGUGCAUAAUAAUAUACGGCUGUGGCUAUUAAAAAAAAAAAAAACCAUAUAUCUGAUGAGUGUGUUUCAAGCAAGGGCGCAGUUUGACUUGCAUAUUUGCACCAUCAAUGCCAAUUGGAGCCAAAAUGAGAUAUCCAAAUAUGUUGGAAUAUGACAUCGAGCAAAAGAGUUUUGGCCCACUGCAAAAUCAUUAAAAUGAUUAAUCUUCUUUUGUAAAUCUCAUUCACUUGGAAAAAUUUAAAUCAUUUGCUUUUGAUUGAGUUUUGUCCAUUAAUUUGAAAUUUUUGGCAAUUACUAGACUAAAAGAUAAUUUUGCCCCUCAUUUGAAUCUUUUAAGUGUUAAUAUCAUAAAACCAAUUGACUUGUGUGGAUAGAAAAUAAGAAAUAAAAGUUUUUCUAUUUUUUUCAGAAUAUCUCCAUCUACCUGACUCAAACUUGCGCCCGUCAAUUUAUAGGUGCACCCGUGCGGAUACGAAACCCGUUUGUUUUCUCAAAGGUUUAAAAAAAAAAAAAUUGAUUUGGGAUUACUUAGUCUUAUAUGAGUCGAUUACUCCAAUAACAGAUGAAUCCAAAAAUCUUCUCUACCUUUAUCUUGCUUUUUUAAAAAAUCUAAUUUUUGAGACCCCAAGGUGGCAUUUAUUUUUUAAUCUGAAAUAUAAAUAGUUCUGAAUUAGUCUAAAUUCUAAAUAAAAUUGAAUAUCUAAUUCUGAAUGAUUUAUUUUUUGUCUAAAUUGUUAAAAAUAAAUAUUAAUUUUUUUUGUAUUUUUAACUUAAAAAAUCUGAAAACUAAUAUUUUUACAUUUGUGCCUUUACGAAUUAUUAAUGUAAACAAAUAAUAAGCAUAUCAAAGAACUUAAAUAAAAUAAUAUAUUAUCAUGAGAUAAAUCAUGUUCAAUUGAAUACAACCCCUUAUAUCGUAAAUUAGUAUAUGUUAAUCAAUUUUAUUGUAGUUCAUGAUGUUUUAUAUGAAAAUAUUCAUAGGAAUAAUGAAGAUAAAUAAUGCUAAUUUGAAGAAAAUAAAAAAAUAAAAAUAAUAUUAGUCUACCACUAUGCUAUCACAAGUUAUAGAGAUUGGUAAUAAUGCUAAUUAUUAAAUUUUAUUUAAGUAAGGAUGAAAAUUAAUUAAUUAGAUAGGGAUAUUUUGGAGAAUAUCUUUUAAUGAUAUCAUUUAGAUUUUUAGAUAAAACAAAAAGUUGAAAAAAUUGGCUUAAUAACUUAAUGACUUAAUGACUAUAACUUUUAAUUAAGUUAAAGAAAACGGACUUAAUGACUUAUCUGAUUGAAAUUAAGUCAAUUAAAUCAUUAAGUCAAAAAGAAAAAAAAAAAAAAGAGCCCCUAAGUUAAGGUUGGUCAAAUGCUGCUAAAUAUAAUAACAAAAUAUUAUAAGAUACAUAUUUUCUUUUUAAUAAAUUGAAUAUAUGUAUAACCUUAAAACUAAUUCUUAGGGUUAUUUGGGAAUGUUGUAGCUUUUAAAAUAAUUAAUGUUAAUUGUGUUGUAGAAAUAAUCAGUUGUGAAGAGAAUCAGUUAAGUGUUUGAUAAAUUUUCUUUUCAGAAGUACUGUGAGUUUUAAAAGCAGUUAUGGAUGUUUGAUAAAUUUUACUAUUAAAUUGCUAUGAGAAAACAAACGACUAUAAUGUAUAUAAUGUAGAAUAAAAUUUAUUUAUACGUAUAAAAACAUGUACAUAUAAUAUUUUUAAUUGUGUAUUAUAAUAGUUUUUACUAAAAAUAAAAUUUAUAAUAUAUUGAUUUUAUUUUUAUCUUAAAACAAUUGAUAAUUAAAUUUAUAAUAUAGUGAAAUAAAUUUAAUAAUAAUUCGACUAACAAAUUGAUAUUAAUAAAUUGAUAUUGAUGAAUUAUAAUAAAAAUUUAUUAAAAUAUUAAUUCUGUUUCCAAUUUGAAUAAGGAUAAUUUUGGGUUUAGGUAAUAAUUUUAAGGAUAUUUAUGAAAUUGUAUUAAAGGAUUAAAUUGAUUCUCAAAAUCAGAAUCUAAAAGCUACUCAUUCCCUACUUUUCAAAAUCAGCUGUAAGAGGGACUGAUUUUGACAAAAGUGAUUUUAAUUUUCUGUUACACCAAACACUAAAAUUAGAUUUUAGAUUUUUAAAAUCACUUUUAAAUCCCCCAAAAGUAAAUCCAAACGGGCCCUUAAUGCUUUAUUGGAAAAAUAUGUAGUUUAUAUGUAGAUAAUAUAUAUUAUACUUAAUUGUUAGGGUUUGAAAAGGAUUGGGAAAAAAAAUGUAAAUUAAAAGGAUUGGGAAAAAAAAGUCAAUUAUGGAAGCCAUUUAUGUUUUGCAAUUGGCGAAGACAGAAAAUUUUUUUUGGGUGGGCUAAAAAUUUUUUCCAAGUCCAUAUGUGAUCUCAAUUAAAGAUAUAAAUCUUAAAAGGAAGUUUCAUUAAUACAUAAGAAAAUACAUCAUAUCUAAGAAGCAAUUAAAUUACAAUUAAACACUACUUAAGUUGUGCCUUACCAUACUUUCGGGAGUUAAACUCAUAUAUUAUCGAGUAUAGACAUCAUUACCUUUGUUAGUGAAUUUGUGAUUGAUUCUUUUAACUUCUUUUAUAGUUUUCUCUUGUUUCGAUUGCAACGAUUGAACGAGUAUAGACAUCAUUUCAAAAUCAUACUGUAUUGUUGUCCACAAAUUCUCUUUCAAUGUAGACAACAAUACAGUAUGAUUUUGAAAUGAUGUCUAUACUCGUUCAAUCGUUGCAAUCGAAACAAGAGAAAACUAUAAAAAGAAGUUAAAAGAAUCAAUCACAAAUUCACUAACAAAGGUAAUGCAACUGUCAGUCCAUCACUAUGACACAUUGAUAUUAUCCAGAAGUCAGGCAAUAAGUUUAAUUAACAAAUUAACAUUAUAUAAUAUACUGGAUCAAAUCUAUGAUCUACCUAUAUCAAUGAUCAAUUUAGCCAUUUAAAAAUUUGAAUGAUAGAAUUCAAUGGCUAAAUUAUCUUCAUUUGAUCUUACACAAUGAAAUUGGAACAACAAUUAAAGAGUAUGAUUUUUAGUCUUUAUUACCUUAUAAUUAAUAAAUAUAUUGUAAAUGAUUGAAUAAAAAUAAAUCUAUUAUCUAUUCUUACCAAGAAGAAGGCGAAGAAAAAAAAAAAUCGUGUUUGAAAUCUCGAAUGAAGUAAAUGCUCACUAUUUAAAUUUAUUUAUAUGAUGACAAAGUUGUAAAUUAAUAGAGUGGUACAAUUGUAAAUAAGAUAGUGGCAUAGUUUCAAUUUUGUAAAAUUUGGACAGGCUAUAGUCCAUCUCAGUCCACACGUAGCCUUGCCACUAGGGAUGGCAAUGGGGAGGGGAGGGGAGGGGACCAAUCUCCCCGUACCCAUCCCUGAUAUUUUGCGUAUGUCUCCGUCCCCUCCUCAUCCUUGUCAUAAUUGUUUGAGAGAAUCUUCAUCCCCUCUCCGAAUAAUAACAGGAGAUUCCCGAUGGUCCCCGAUCCCCGAAUAACUAAUACAUAUAUUUUUUUUGAGUUAAUUAUAUUAAAAUAAAAAAUUCAAACAAAAGUAAAGUUCGAAAUAUAUUUUACAUUAACAUUGAUCCAUUAUAAAAGUCACAUGCAAAAUACAAAUUAUCAAAAUAAUUAUCUUUGUCAAUCUUCAUAAUCCUACAAUAAAAAGAAAAAGAAUUUACUUUUAUAUCGACAAUAAAAUAAAUGAAAUAAAUGUAGAUACUUAAUUAAUAUUUUUAAUAAAACAAAAUUAAAAUUAAAACAAAAUUUUUGGGCUAAUAAAAUCUACCCGGCCUUUUUAAUGUCCUAAAUAAAAAUUUAAGACUUUAAUUAGUUAAUUAAGCCUAAAAGUUUAAUAAUAUGAAUAUUUUAAUAUUUGUUACUUUUACCAAUAUUUAUAAUUUUAUAAUAUAAUUCAAAUAUUAGUAUUUAUUUACUAGUAAUUUUAAAAAAUAAAAUUAAAAUUAAAAAUUAAAAAUUAAAAUAGGAAAAUAGGGAGGGGAUGGGGAUUCCACAUCAUCCCCGCCCCUUCCCUGAAUAAGAAACUGGGUAAGAAAAUUUCCUCAUCUCUUCCCUGAAUAAGAAAUUGGGUAUAGAAUUAUCUCCGUACUCUCCCCGAAUGGGAAAAAUCCCCGAGGGUACCCGUCUCCGUGGGGAUUUUUGCCAUCCCUACUUGCCACCGGUAUAAACAUGGAGAAUAGUUUAUAAAUCCACUAAGCUUAAUUAAAGUAAAAUACUUGACAUUAGGAAAUUUCCAAUAAUCUUGUUCAUCUUAACCAAAUUCUUAAAGUGAAAAGGAUUAAUGGUACCUUGUGUUAUUUUGCUUUAGUAAGAGAAAGAAGAAAAAAGAAAACAAAUCUCUUUCAUAGGGGCUUGACCAAUUUUUUGUUUCACGCAAAAAUUGACGGCCGUUAUGACCGUAAAUGCCUCUGUUAGACUUGACGGAGAAGUCUGGGGGUUUACGCGAUGGUCAUCAGCGCCUGGAAAUUUUAUGAGUUCAAUUAGUCAAAAAGGAUUGAUCUUCGCCUCAGAUGGAACGACUCACAAGUAAUUCUUUUGGCUCGUACCGUCCACGAAGCUUCAUAUUCCCACAAUGUGUUUCUUUUUUCUUUUUCUUUUUAAUAAAUUAUAAUCAGAGUUUUUGAUGGAAAAUUUUAGAAAUGACCCUUACUUUUUUCGGUUACCCGAAUAGCAAAUAAAAUAUUCCUUUUUCAAUUACACAGGUAAGGAAAUAAAUUUAUAGUCUAGUAUCUACUGUUUGUAACACAUAGCAAAUGAAAUUUUCCUUUUUUCAAUUGCACAAACAUGUAAUUGUUUUGUACAUACCUUUUCUAGCGGCUUCAAAAAGUUUCAAACCUUAUAGAAUCGGUGCCGAAGCUAAAAUCAUUUUUUUGGAUGGGUUAGAUUUUUUUUAAAAAUGAAACUUAUUUCUGAAAUUUUUUUUAUACAAACAAAAUUAAGCACACUAUAAGCAAAAAUCUAACCACAAAACUAAAAAAAAAAAAUACAAUGUAAAUAAGAAAAAUAUUAUCAAAUAUUAAAUUUAUUUUUAUUUUUUUAUAAAUAUUAAAAAGUAAAUUUAUAAAUUAUAAUUUUUUUUUCAAAAAACUGCCCGGGUUAGCCUACCUUUUAACUUUGCCUCUGUAUGGAAUGGGUCAAACUUUGGGUUAGUAUUUUAAUUAAUAAGAAGAUUACUGAUCUUGCGUGCGGUGUGCCCGAUAAACACUGUUGUAAUUGAAGAAAAAACGGUAUUGCUAUUGCUGACUCUUAUCAAAGGCCUCGAUAAAUCAACCAUUUCUUCACAUCAAACUGAGGCAUAAGAAGUAUGGAGCCUAGGUGUAGGAGAGAAAGCUAUAACAUAUAUGACACAAGAUCAAUUUGGAUAGACCUUGCUGAUCAUGUCUGUGAAUGAAGAAGAUUCACCUUGAUGCCAUAGCGGAGCAAAUUAUUAGGAGGCAAGAUGGACAUGUCACAUAGUUAAGGGGGAUUCUAAAUCCCGAAGGGUACAAAAGCCUAUGCUUUGAACCUCAAAGCAUUAGGAGGCAGGAUGGACAUGUCACAUAGUUAAGGGGGGUUCUAAAUCCUAAAGGAUACAAAAACUUAUGCUUUAGUGUCUAACACAAGCAAGUUAAAUUCUGUUUGAAAUUGAGGUUGAGAAACUGUAACUUAAAAACUAAAGCACUAAAGUGUUAGGUAAACACUAACGUUGUAGUUUGGAAGUUAAAUUAAUUUAAUUUUAUAUUUAUAUGAUGAAAAAUUUAUUAUAUCUUUAUUAAUUUAUCAAAAUUAUUAUUUAAAAGUUGUAGUUGUUACAUACUGUUAACUUUAAUUUCUUCAUUAUAGAUUUUUUUUUUUUUUUUUUUUACAACGGUUGUAUCUUAGAAGCCAUAGGACUUCAAUACCAAACAAGACUUUCAUUAACCACUUUAAUAGAGUUAGACUAUCUAAUUGACCAAUCCAAAAAAACAAAAAAGUUUGUUGGUUACCAGAAUUUUACGUUCUGUUAACAUAUAAUUUUUUAAGGUAAAAAAAGAAGGGGUGCUAAUCAAAUUUUUGGGAAAAAAAGAAAAAGAAAAAAGUGCCGUACUUAUCAAAUUUCUAAAUAACCAUGUUGUUAAAUUUAAAUCAUACACUACAAUAAAUGUGAUGUAAAUUAUGUAAUAAAAGAUUAUAGAAAGAUCAAAGAAAUAGGGUUAUAAAUGGGGACUCUACCAUGUUACAAUUGUGAUACCAUAUCACACAGUAUUUAUUUUUAUCCCAUAAAACCGUUGGAUUUAAAAGCAAGUGAUCUGACACGUGAGAGGUAGCCACGUUUGUCUCAAAACAUACCGGAAAAGUCGGUUAAGAAAAGGUAAAGUCACCGGUAGCAAAACUCACAGUUUUUGUCUUACCUCUCUCAAAAUGCACGGUGACUGUACGCAUCGCCAGCUCUCUCAAUACUCACGGUGACUGUACGCAUCGACACCUCAAAAUCUCUAAUGGAGCUUCUCUAUCCUGGCCGUCUCGUCCAACACCAAAAGACCAAGUAUCGCUGGCGCCGUCAUUUGGGUAUAAUGGGUUUCAAUUUUGAACCAAUAGAAGGAAAUUUUGUGAAAGAGAGAGGGGGAGGGGAAUUCUCAAAAAUUCGUCAGCCAUGGAAGGCUUGAUAUUCUUUUCUUAAAUCUUAAAGCAUUUCAGAUAUUUGGGUCGUUGUGAUUUUUAUUUUGUCAUGAUGAAUUUUUUUACUUUGGAUUUGUCUCAUUGAAAGGUUUAUUUUAUUUUUAUUUUUUGUGGAUCAUUGAAGUUGCUAUUUUUGGUAUUAUAAAGAUGGGUUGUUUGCAUGCAUUGCAAGAAUAUUGACCUGUUAUGCCAUGUUUGUCAAUUUCAAUGAAAUCUGAGGAAACCCAUUUGCCUGGUUUGUUCAAGGAGCCUUCAGAUUUGUGAGUCAUUGUGUAGUGGGUUUACAAAAUGGUUUGUUGUUGAAAAUGCUUUGGUUGUGACGGGUGAAAUGGUGCCGAAGAUAAGUUGGUUUGAGCACUGGAGUAAUCCUUUUUUUUUUUAAUGUAUGUAUAUAUAAAAAGGAAGAAAUAUCAAGUUUCAUAUACAGUGUUACUUGUUUUUUAUGGCUCAUACAUCGUUUACAUGCCCUCUUUUUCCUUUCAACCAGAAAAUAUCCACAGCGGCUGUAUAUUGUAUGUGGUUCUUUAGCCAACAACAAUAUGUUAGUUUGAUCAUGGAAGUAUAAAUUGAAAAGUGGCAUAAUAUUUUUGUUUUAACCUUUAAUUACCACUUUUCAGUGAGGUGUCUAUUUUGCUUGCUCGUUCAUUUUUUUAUGGGAUUUCGUGUUUGAUCUAGUUUGACAUGCAUUAUAUACAAUUAUCAAUUUUACCAUGAUUAGAGUUUCAUAAAUUUCUUGAAGUGUUUUGUGUUAGGAUCGGUUUAGAAGUGUUAAUUUGUGAUAGACAGCACAUGCAUGAGCCACGAAGAAUGCAUGAGCCACGAAGAAUGCAUGAGCCACGAAGAUCUGGAAGAAUGCCAAAGCCAAAUCCUAAGUUUGGUACGUGAGGGCAUGAGUCCCAUGCAAGCCAUGCAUGAAACAUGCAUGUGCUGAGAUCGUGAAGAUACGUGCUGGGGCUGGAGCCGUGAUCUAGGAAUACGCUUAUCAACGAUUGUGCAGCGAGUAAGGAGGGAAGAUAAGACACGGAAGUUGUUUUCGAUUAUCUUUCGGUUUCGAAUUCUUAGCUAAGUUGUUAUACUCGUUUAUUUAGCCGUAAUUGUAGGAUGGAAACCAAAGUCUUGUUAUUAUAAAUAAGCUCCAGAAUAUGAAUAAAAGUAUUGAGAAUUCUAAACAAUAAUUAUUUGGUCCUUUCUCGCCAUAAGCAGAAAAAUAUCACUUGUGUUACGCGUGAUCAUUGGCUGUCUCUGACUGGGACCUAUCAAUUGGUAUCAGAGCGGGUUAACAAUGAUGACCAACAAAGAAUGUAUUGAGCGAAUUGAAGUUGAUCUGAAAAGCAUGGAGAGCCGAAUGGAACGCAUGGAGAUUGGGAUCAAUGACAAGCUUCAGCGAUUAGAAGACACCAUCAGCAAAUUAGCAGAAGCUUUCAAUGCAUCCAAAGACACCACUAGCCACGGCACCAACGAAACCAUUGGUUCACCGCAGCCAAUUCGAGAAGAAAGUGAAGGAGUAGUGAAGCUGCACGGUAUGCCCAAGUCAAUCAUCAGCGAUCGUGACCCCAUAUUCAUCAGCAAAUUUUGGCAAGAGUUCUUUAAUUUAUCAGGCACCAAACUCAAAAUGAGCUCGGCGUACCACCCACAAACCGACGGCCAAACGGAGGUAAUUAAUCGAUGCUUGGAACAGUACUUGAGAUGUUUUGUUCACCAGUGGCCGCGAAAGUGGCACUCUUUUUUACCGUGGGCAGAAUUUUGGUACAACACCACAUUCCACGUCUCCACCGGAAUGACUCCAUUCCAAGCUUUGUAUGGAAGACCACCUCCAGCCGUGCCCAUGUAUCAACUUGGUUCCUCGCCGGUGCAUGAGGUUGAUCAAGCCUUACAUUCGCGUGAUGAACUGCUCUUACAAUUAAAGAAAAACUUAGCCACAACAGCUAACAGGAUGAAGCAAACAGCUGACAAGGGUCGCCGCGACGUUGAGUUCACAUAGGGAGAUAUGGUGUUAUUAAAGUUGCAGCCCUAUCGGCAGACUUCAGUGUUCAGAAGGGCACAUCAGAAAUUAGUUUGCAGGUACUUUGGGCCGUAUUUAGUUCUUCGCAAAGUUGGAGCCGUUGCCUACGAACUACAAUUACCAGAGAAUGCUCGAAUUCACCCGGUGUUUCACGUCUCUUUGCUUAAGAAAGCCGUGGGCGAUUUCCUUAGCAACAGCGUCGAUUUACCACCUGUGGAUGAUGAAGGCUCGGUGAUCAUGGACCCUGAAGCUAUCCUUGACACACGUUGGGUGAAGAGAGGAGGUAAAGUGAUUGAGCAGAAUCUAGUCCGUUGGAAAAAAAUGCCGGCUGAAGAAGCAACAUGAGAGGACACCACAAUGUUGCACCAACAGUUUCCCAAUCUGACCCUUGAGGACAAGGGUAUUCUUCGAGGGUGGGGCAAUGAUAGACAGCACGUGCAUGAGCCACGAAGAUCUGGAAGAAUGCCAAAGCCAAAUCCUAAGUUUGGUACGUGAGGGCAUGAGUCCCAUGCAAGCCAUGCAUGAAACAUGCAUGUGCUGAGAUCGUGAAGAUACGUGCUAGGGAUGGAGCCGUGAUCUAGGAAUACGCUUAUCAACGAUUGUGCAGCGAGUAAGGAGGGAAGAUAAGACACGGAAGUUGUUUUCGAUUAUCUUUCGGUUUCGAAUUCUUAGCUAAGUUGUUAUACUCGUUUAUUUAGCCGUAAUUGUAGGAUGGAAACCAAAGUCUUGUUAUUAUAAAUAAGCUCCAGAAUAUGAAUAAAAGUAUUGAGAAUUAUAAACAAUAAUUAUUUGGUCCUUUCUCACCAUAAGCAGAAAAAUAUCACUUGUGUUACGCGUGAUCAUUGGCUGUCUCUGACUGGGACCUAUCAAUUUGUGAAACUUAGAAAAUUUAUUUAUACAAUGCUCUAUAUUCUCUCUUUAUAAUUUGUGAAGAAACAGAAAAAAGAGGGAAGUCGUGUUUGUAUUCUCUGAAAAAGAAAACAACCUGAUCCCACCCUGACCUACCCCCAUCGGCAGCAGUAUGGACCUAUAAAGUUCAUCCAACUACUUCGAUAGAAUUGUUAUUGAACCCUUGAUUGACAUGUUUGACUUUCUGGGUAUUUGUAUUUUUCUAGUUUUUUUUUCUUCUUAUUUGUGCAUUUCUCAUUUAAUAGAAUGCAAGAAUGAUGAUUUUUUUUUCAGGGGCUUGAUAGUGAGCAUCAGCAAAAUCAAGUUACGUAGUUGAAUCAAAGAUAUCGCAGCUAUUGGUUAGCUGGGAGCUGUUUUUAUCUAACCGGCCUGGAAGCUCAUAAUCCAAAUCCAUUACGAUUCAUUGUUUUUAUCUACAUGUGGAUUAAUACAUCGGAGCAUCAGUUAGUUGCUGUAAAUUAGUUUAUGAAUUAUUUAUUGAUUGGUGGAACAAUAUCUAAAUGAAACUUUUGACAAAGACACUCUUCUCAGUAUCUAAAUGCAACUUUAUCUAAACAAUAUAAACAGACACGUUAGUAACUUCUCCAAUUAACUCCACUGCAUGUAUCUUGUCCAUCUUCAACCCUGAAUGCUUAAGUUCACAGAGAUCUUCGAACUUUUGACAGGCAAUGCCGCCCUCAAAACAAACCCCAACCUAUACGCAUGUAAAUAUAUUUGGAUUUAUCAUCUGUAUACAGCAAAACAGAUUUUGCACCAAAAUUGAUAAGUAAAUUUUAUAUAUACUAGCAUCAUGAAUCAAAAAGCAAAGGAAAAUAAGCCAAUAUCAUUUAUUUGUGGGUGUGUGUGUGUGUAAUAGUUUACCAAAUGAAAGCACCAUUAGUAAAUUUGAAAAAGAAAAAAAGGAAAAAGGAAUUUCAUGCAAGAAUUGGAAUCCAAAAUGUAAUGGCUCAGUCAGUCUGGAGUCAUUUUAUUGUCGGUGUUGUAUAGUGCCAUAUUAAAGAACAAAGCACUAGUAAGAGAAAAAAGCAUCCCUCACACAACAAACUCCAUUUGUCAUGUUCUAUAGUUCCCCACCCAUUUAAACAACACAUAAAUUGAUAUAAUAAACUUAAAACUUACCUUAAAGAGUAAAAUCUGCACUUAAACUCCACCUACCUGAAGUCCCUAUCAUCAUAGAGAGAUUUAACUGAUAUUGGUUCCAUUAUGUUUGCACAAAGAAUUGCUUUUGUACAUUUAACUUGCUUCUUCAGUUCAGCUGUAGCCUUGGCAAACUUCCUCAAGUCUCCCCAUUAUCAAUUUGUUUAUUGAGCUCAUCUGCAAAGUAUUCAAGCAACAAUAAUCCAUGUUCUGACUGCCAAGUUCUGCAUCUCAUCUAAUAUCCUUAACCUGCAAAAUUGUCAAAUAUCAACUAGCGUCUAAAAGUAAUUAGAUAUGUAAAACAUAACAAGUGGCACAUAAAGAUUGUAUAGAGCACAGAUGAAGUGAAGAAAAAAUAAUGCUACGGGAAUAAUGACCACUCAACUGAUAUUGCAUGCUUAUAUCGCAAAAUUAUUUAGUCACAGAGUACUACAAAUACUGACAAAUAGCUUAUGGAUCCAUCAUACUGGCUAUCAAAUACUAUUGUGCUAACUAUGUUAUCAUCGGCUUCCAAUGCAUGAUUGCAGCUCUUUAAAUCACUAGAUUUCCGCUUACGAGCCCCCGCUGGCCUCAUUCCUGUAAUGAAAUUACAAAAUCAUUUAUCGUUUCCAAUCUCACAUUCUCUGAAUCUAAUAAAUAAACAUACUGUUCUUGCAAGCUAAUUACAAGUUUUAAAUCUUUUAAAAUAAAUAAUAAUAAGUACGGGUUUUAAUAAGGAAUUAACUACUGCAUCGGUUGAUUCGAUCCGCACAAGAACAGAUCAAAGCGACCCGAAAUUUACUCUGAUUUGAUAUAUACCUUAACUUUCAGCACUGCUUAACUUUCGAUUGUACUUUGCAGCGACGAUUAUAAUUUCACCGUCAAUUGCCCAAAAGUGAAAGGUCAUAUUCGUGUUCUAAUCACCAGAAGUUUUUAAAUCCCACAAAAUUGCAAUCCUCCAAUUCUAAUUUUAUUUCUUAAUUAUUGUCUCGAGAUCAAUUUUGUGCUGAAAUCAGUGAAACUCUAAUCAGUUCUAAGAAAUUUCCGGAACCCGCGCUCACUGAGCUGUUAUUAUAUUAAUACUCAACCGGCUGCAACGGUUGCUAGUCACUGCAUCAAUUAUCCAAUAUUUAAUUUCAGCCGUUAUAUCGAACAAGGAAACAUCCAACGACUUUGUUGAAUGAGGGCAAAAACUGUGAUAUGGUACCACAAUUGUAACGUAGACAGACCCUAUAAAUGGGGUUAUUGUGAAAGAAUAUAGAGGGAGGAAUUCAAGCAAUAAAUAAGAGACACGCCAUACAGCCCAUACCGUCCUUUUCUGUCAAGUUCAUCAUUCUCAUUGGACACAGAGGGUAAAGAAGCAAAAAUGUAUGUAAGACACAUGCAUAUUAUUUAAUUAAACGUGUUAUUUGGCACUUGUUAAAUUGUUCCCUUUGUAGGUCAUUGUGGACUCCAAAUUAAUUGUACGCCUUUUAAACAGAAAUAAGUGCAUUACAUAUUUUUUUUAUCUUUUUUUACUUUAUUUUUGGAUUUUUUUUUUUGGAAAAAGCGAUGACUCAUGAGAAGAGGAAGAAGAAGAAUAGUAGAACACAUGUAAUAUCAGUUCUUUUUUUUUUUACUUUUUACUUCUUUCUUUGAAUUUUUUUUUUUAAAUUUUUAUCAUCCAUUUUGUGUCAUUGGAGUCCAAAAAUAUUGUGCAUAUAUAAAUAAUGCGGCUUCUGAGUUUAUGACAAUUUACCAUGCGUUAAUAACGCUUGAUGAAAAUGUUGCAAUCAGGAUUAUUCUUUUAUUUUGUCAAGUUACACUGUUCAAUGUUCUCACUGUAAGGUUGACUUCAAGGGAUGAAAUCGUUUAGAUUAAAAAUAAAAAUAAAGGAAAUUCAUUCUCUUCAAUUUUUUAUUUUAUUUGUACUAAUGUUACAAAUAAAAUAUCAAAUAAUUAUUGAAAUUAGUCUAUAUUAACUCAUAUACUAGGAAUGUCUAUCUACUUACAUUUUGUAAGGAAAAAGACUCUCCACUUAAUGUAUUUUUCGAGUGCCUGGCUACCUUAUUCCUAUGUGCUUCAGUGGGAUGCAAUAACUUUUGCUGAUAGCCUAAUAGGCCCUACAAAUCAUAAUUUAGCAUAGAGAAAUGUUGUUACAUGUUUGUUGGGAUGAUAAAAAAGUCCGGGCCAACUCUGUUCAUUUCUGUGGACUUUUGCUGGAAUUUCCCACGUGAGGGCUUGGACAAGGGUUAAAGGAAAAAAACUUAGACUAGGUCUAAUCCCUUUAUUUUAAAAAAUAUAUAAAAAUUAAAAUAAAAAUAAAAAAUGGAAAAAUGAAAAAAGAAGGCUUAAAUUCCAAAUUCAUUUAUUGAUAACGAUAAACAAAAAUUUAAAAUUAUAAUACUAAAUUUUUUUUAAGUGUUAAUUAAUUAAGAGAGUACUUGAAUUAGAAAAUUAAAUACUAGAAAAUUAAAUCUCUAAAUUUUUAUUUGCUUUAUUUAAUAUUUUAUUUUGAAAUAUUUAUUUUCUUUAAUUCAUUGUUGAUUAUAACAACUUGAUUAUUAUUAACUCAUUUUAAGUUUACAACAAUUUAAAAAAUUUUGAAAAAAAAAAGUGAAAGCCCAAGCCCGACCCAGCUCCGUAUGGGCUCGGCCCUUACAUUUCCACUCUAAUGGCCUUGGGCUUGGGCUUGAAAAAACCGAACAUGCUCACAUUUUGCUAUCCUUGCCUGCAUGUAAGUUCAAAGUUGCAAAUUGAUGAAGUGGAAAUAUAGAAGAUUGAUAGAUUAGAGAAACUAAGUUUCUUAAUAAUAAAAUUUUAUUAGAAAAGUCUAAAUGAAUAAAACGAUAGCCUACCCCUUUUAUACUAAUCCCAAACAUCGAGAAUUUAUCAAAAUAGUAAAAUUCAAAAUAUUGUUUUAUAAUAAAAUUCUCCUAAUCUAAAUAAGAAAAACAAAACAAACGACACCCAAUUUUAAUAUCUAAAAAAAUAAAAUUCUAAAAAUAAUAUAAAAUAACUUAAAACUGUAAAAAGACCAAAAAAAGAAAUAGAAUUUUUUACUUAAUUAUGGAGCAAGACAAGGCAAGCAUUCUAAGUUUGAUUAGUCUCGUCGUAACUUUUGAAAUGAUAUAUUAUAUGCCUAAAAUGAACAUAUAAAGCCCAAGUUAUAACUCCUAAAAGAUACCUCCUUCAUGAUGAUCCUACGCAACUAUCUCACGUCGAAAAUGAAUGCAAAAGUUACAUUUCAAAUUAAAUUCAAAACAAUCAAUUCAAGCAUUAAUGCCGUGUUUUUUUUAACCAAAAUACUCUCUAAGGAUUUUAUAAAUUGCUUUCUAAUUUUAUUUUGCAAAACACACCAAAUCAAAGUGAUUUUUCUCUUUUCUCUCAAACAAUUUCAACAUUUGGUAAUAGAGCUGAUGACAGGCAUUAGUAAACAAUGUGCAAUAGUAAUGCACAACAAUAUAGAAAAGCAAAUUGGUAAAGUGUAAACUAUGAAAUGAUAAAAUAGAGCCUUUUUUUUUUAAGAUCACAUGUUAAGUUAUUGGCGUAUUUUGUCGGGAUCAUAUACUUUUUUAGAUCUACGUGCUUUUGGUCAAAUUUAGCAUAAUUAAAAGUUCAAAACUGAAGUUCAUAUUCAAUAAUAAUAAACUAAUAAUAAUAGAUAAUGUAAUACUGACUAUUAAUUUAGAUCCUACGAUAUUAAAUUUUUUUUAAUACUUAAUAAAAAUAACAACAAUAAUAAUUUUUUUUAAGGGUUAACUUAAUUGUUAACUUAGACUUACAUUGAGUCAUAAAUCAUAGUUUAUAACAACAUUAAUGCAUAUAUUCAUAAAAAUCAUGAUAUUUAUAAUUUAUUUAUUAAAAUCAUGAUAUCACCUAUUCAUUUAACAAAUUAUAAACAUAAAACAAUUAGAUUUUUUUUAAGAUUAAGAAUUAAAUGAAUCUAAAAAACUUAAGCUAAUAAAAUGCAUUAAAGAUUCAAAUUCAAAUUAUUUGCAAAAUUAUAAUUAUUCGUAAAAUUAUAAAAUUUUAAGUUUACUUUCAUUAAAAAGCUUUUACCUUAAUAUACUUUGACUCGCAUGCUAUUGAUAACGCAUAAGCCACGUGCUAAUCGUCCAGUGAAACAUUUUUAUUGAUGUCCUUUUCACGUGCUGUGUUUUAGCCUAUUUUUAAGCAUAUCAUGCUUUUAAGAUCCACUUGCCUAAAAUUCUCAACUCAGCCCAGCACUCGUGCAUGCCAUGCCUUGUCGCUUACCCUACCAAAACGUCCUUGUGCCGUACCAUGCUGAACGGAUAUGUGUCGUGCAUGUGUCGUUCCACCUGUCACCUGGUCCAUUAGUCAUCUCUAGAAAACACCAUAUAUUUAUUGAGUGUGUUGCAAGCAUUGUGUCGCAAGUUGCUCAAAUUUCCCCUAAACGGAGGCUAAAUUAGCGCGCACGAGUACGGUCAGUAAAAGUCUGCCCAAUAAUGGGAUGCACUCAACAGUAAGGUGCGCUGAGCGAUGGGCUGCCUCAUAUAACUAGUGAGUUAUGGUGCACUUAGUAAGUGAAUAGCCCAUAAUCAACAAGCCUAACUCGAUUUUUAGAUUUCUCUACACCUUGUAAAUGGCUAGAUUUUUAGGCAAGUUGCAUGAACUCUCUAUAAAAUAGGGGUGAGCACCCACUAUUUGCUCACCACCACACCACACACACAGCACCUAGCAACUCAAAAACUCUCGUAAAAAUCUCUCUUAUAAUUUCUCUUUUGUGAGCAAUAAAAUAUUCUUUAGCCAUAUUGCUCUCUUCUCUCUAGCAGUAUUGCAAACAUCCUUACUUGGCUAGUUUGAGAAGCUCUUUAGGCUUACUUAACAACUUUUGUACUAGAAGUUAUGUAAGUACUGCACGGGAUUGUUGCGCAAAAUAGUCAUCUCGUGACAACCGGCUUAGUUUUGCUUUGCACAUUUACGCCCACAAUAAUAAAAGCCAAAAUAAGAUAUAAAAAAAUGUUGGGAUUUGACAUCAAGUAGAAGAGGUUUUGCCCACUCCAAAAUCAUCAAAAUGAUUAAUUAUCUUCUAUAUAACCUGAUGAUUUUUUUAACCUUUGAGAAAGCAACCACAGAGGUGGAACAAACUUCUACUCAUGGGGACUUGACAUACGGUUAAUGAAGAAGGGUAAUUUCGUAAAAUUCCAAUCAAAAUUAGAAAAAAGGCAAGCCAUAUUCAAAAGUCAAUCUUGAUCAAACAAACGGCAGGAGGGACAUCUGUAAUUACGGCAUUUUCGAGGAAUUGUUUCUAAAACUAACUAAAACGGGAAAAUGGAAAGGGACAAACACGAAAGCUCAUAGUUUGCUUGGUUGGGCUAUGUUCUGCUAGUAGGAGAGACAGACUGUAGAAAGGGUUUCUUUUCUCUUUUUUUUUUUUUUCUAAACUCUUUUUUUUUUCAAAUAGACAUAUAGCCACGUGUUGUCUCAUAUAAAAAAUAAUACUUUAUAUAAGUCCUAGGUCAGUUGGGCUGGAAAACAUUUAAAAUCGAACAUAUCAGGCACGUUGUAAGUUCGCAAUUGGAGAAUCAUGUUGUCAGCCCCGCAACCCCCAAAUGGGAACUUUAGAUAGAAAAAUAUAGCGUCGCAACGAUAAUAUUUAUUAAUAAUAAAUUUUCUUAUUACAAUUGUUCUUGUCAAAAACUCUUUGAUGGUAUUUCAUGUGUUGAAAAAAAUGUAAAAUAGUUUCAUUAUCAAUACAAUUAAAAACAUAUUUUUUUAAUAUAUACAACUAAAUUAUCACUUGAUUUGUUUUAAUAUAAUGCAACAUGAAGAACAAAUAUGAAUACACAUACAUUAGGGAAUGGCAAUGGGAAGAAUAGGGGAGGGGACCGAUAUCUCCAUACCCAUUUUCAAUAUUUUGUAUAUGUCCUCAUCUGCUCUCCAUCCCAUCAGAAUUACUUGAAAAAAUUUUCAUCCUCUCUCCAAAUAAUAAGAGGGGAUCCCUGAAAGUCUCCGAUCUCCAAGUAAUUAAUACAUUUUUAAUUUUUAAUUUUAAUUAAUUAUAUUAAAAUAAAAUUUUAAUAAAAGUAGAAUUAAGGCGGUAGCUAGCUACCAUAGAAAAUUAGAAAUUAGGUUUUAUGAUGUUGCCUUAACUUUUGUUUUAGUAGAUAAACGUUUAAAAUAUGUAACGAAUAUUAUAAAUAAAUAAAAUUGAGCCAACAAGAUCCUGUUUGGCUUUUUUUAUGUCCUGAAUAGAUGUUUAAGAUUAUAGCUAGUUAAGUAGGCUCAUUAAAGCAUCUGACAAAUUGUUACAUAAAACCAGGAUAAUUAGAGUGCGAAUCAAAUAACCCAAAUUAUAGAUUCCCUAAUCAAACAAACAUAACAAAAAAAAUUUUGAAAUACAAUUUUUUUUUUUUUAUCAGAAAUGCGCAUUGGCACCAAAUAAAAUUGAGCAAGAGCUAAUGGUGUCCUACAAGUUGACAUGGUCUACCUUUAGCAAGAUUCAAAUAAGAAGGACCACAGUAAACAUAAGAGGAAGUAAUUUAACUUUAUAUAUAAAUCCUACAAUUUAGUUGCAAGUAAAAUAACUCCAAUCUGAAACAUCAAAUGUAUAAGAUUCGUAAGUAAAAAUAGGUUACACGAUUAGUUAUUACCUGGAUUACGUUGUAUAUAUUACAUGGUAUACCUAAUCAGACAAAUAACGUGGACAUGAAGUGAAUAACUUAAUUUGAAUCUUGCUAUUUUAUUUUAUAAUUUUAAACUAAUUAAUUCAUGCACACACAUUAUGUAUGCAUUAAGUGGAUACAAUACAACAGAAGUAUUCUACAAUCUCUUAUAUGAAAGUUCUUAAUUCAUGUACUCUUUUUAGAAUUGACCUUUUCAUAAUAUUAUUUGUGAAGUAUAUUUUCAAACUAAUUUCAGAAUAAUUUUAAAUUAUUGUAUAAGUCUAUGUAUCUAAAGUUUCAAUAAACCCCGCGGAAUUAUAAUAUUUAAUUCAUUUUUUUUUCCUCUAUUGAUAACAUCAUUAUCACUUUCAUAGAGUUUCAAUAAGCCCAGCCGAAUAACCUUUUGUCAACGUCACUGCAUAUGCCCCACCUUCUCCCUCUCGACUCUCUCAAGACACUCCAAAAAAUACUCUAAAGUCCAACAACAUUUUACAAUCUCUCUCGAUUUUUCUCGCUUCAGUUUACCAUCCUCAAACACGAACACGAACACGAACAUGAAUUAAGUUAAUUAGUUUAUGGAACACAAACUCAUCGUCAGCAUCAUAUCCUAAUUGAAAAAGAAGGAUUGCGAGGGAAACUAAGCAUGUGCCUUCAUUUUCACUUGAAAUAAAGCGCGAUGGAAAGAUCUCAUGUUAUCACAUGAUCCCGUGUAAUCACCUAGAAGCCCUUCCACGCACAUUUCUUCUCAAAUUGUCUUCUUCUAAUUUCUUGGGCCAUCGCGGAACCACAAUGUCAAUGCGAGGAUGAGCGAGUGCUGUUCAGCUCGCAGCAUUUGGAGCCGGAGCUCGGCUUCCCUUAUUUGUUGGUCGUUUGGUAGGCGUCGCCAAAAGGCAAAGAGCAUCCUCUGGCGUUCGUGGAGUUGGUCCUCGAUGCGAUCGAUUUCUUCUCCAAGUUGAGCAAGCCUUUGUGCCAUAGCCAUACAAUUAUUUACUUUCGAUCGAGCACUUUUCGUCUGCACCCAAAUGUUUCAUUAAUAUUUUGAAGUAUACACACCUGUUUCAACAACUAUCCGGAUCACGUUAAAAGACAAUUUUACCCUCACUUGAAGUGUAAAAUAACUAACUUGAAGUGUAAAAUAACUAAAAAAGCCACAACACUAGUUUUAAAUUCUAAUUGACCUGGGUGAAUAUUAAAAUUUCUUAAAGGUUAAAAAAAAAAGUAAAAAUGUUUUGUUAUGGGAAUUGAAAUAUCCCCUAUAUCUUCAUCCAUAAUCAUCUAUCCAUGAUAACAAUUUAAUAAACUUGAAAAAGCAAGAUAUCCAAUCCCAAUGAAUCAAACAACCAAUUUUCUUCAUAAAGUUUAGCUUUUGCUUUUAAAAAUUCUAACUCUUGAGACCUUAAAUAAACUCAUAUUCAAAUUUACAUUUUCUAUAAUGAAAAUCUUCAAUUUACCCUUUUAAUAUUUUGAAAAACAGGUCCAACUACAAUAUAAUUGUGGUUUCAUACCUAUUUUUUUUUAUCUUUUUGUGAUCCAACCCAAGAGUUGCAAAGGCUAUUCCAACGGUUUGGAUGUUAUUAUUUGAUUAUUAACAAUAUGGUCUCUUAUGUUUACUAAAAGAAUAAAAAAAGAUUAAGUUUCAAAAUUUUGACCCAUUAGUCCGUUAAAUAUUUUAUUAUCAAAGGUAAUUUAGUAAAUGAACAUAUUUAUAUAUUAAAAAUAUGGAUGAAUUAUUUUAACUUGCUAAAAUACUCUCAAAUUCCAUUUACUUAAAAUAUGAAUUAGAUUUUUAUAAUACUAUUUUGUAUUUAGUGUAACACAAAAUUAGACAAGGUUUUAUAUAAAUUUUGACAAUAUUAAAAUGAAAAAUUAAUAAAUAUUAAAUAAAUGCUUGGAUAGUCAUUUAAAUUCAUUAUAGAGUUUAUAAAUAAUAUUUUCAAAAUAAUAAAUUUCUAUAUGUAAAUUUGAAAUUAUGUAAAAUUACUUAGACUUUAUCACACAUAUGAAGCUGAUCAAUUAUUUAUUUAAUAUGAAAACAAAUGAAUUGUAUAAUAUUUAUUCUAUUACUUAAAUUUAAAAUUUGUUGAGAAGGAGAUAGAGGGAAUAAUUUUUUUUAGAAUUUUAAAAUUAUUAUAUUUUAAUUGAGUUUAUUACAUAAAAUUAUUAAAACUUUAGUUUUUAUUAUUUGUAUAAAACAAUAGGAAUUGUUGAAGAAAAUCCCAAAUAAAUUUUUUAGAAUUUUGUAAUUAUUAUAUUUUAAUUGGGGCUUAUUGUAUAAAAUUUUUAAAACUUAUAAUUUUUUAUUAUUUACAAAAAAUUACAGGGACUGCUAAAGUAAAUACCAAAAUGGUGUUUGGUACAACGGGGUAAGAUAGUUUUACCCUUGAAAAACAUUAAUUUACUUCCAUUUAUCAGUCAAAAGACUAAAAUAAAUGGAGACAUGUGGACGAGAAACUUUUUAACUUUUUAGUGGUAUUUGAUAAAUAUAAAUAAAUUGAAAAUUCUCGUUUUUACUUUUUAUUGGGCAUAAGUUAAAAAUCUUACUCUCUAUUUAUUAUGCUUUAACAAGAGAAAGAAAGAAAACAGAAAACAAAUCUCUUCUAUAGCAGACUUAACAAAAAUUUCAGCUGAGACUUAAACCGACUUUUUCAAGGAAAUGAAAUUAGGAGAACAAAAACACUUUGAAGUGGACUGCAUAUAUAUACUCAAAAAUAACAUACAACUUGAGUCAGUAAUGGUAAAGAAAACGAACGUACACAGACGGGUUUGGAUUUAGAUGAUGAAGAAUGCACUGAAAGCUUUGCAUUUGAGUUCUCUUUUUCGGGUGAGUAAGUUAGGGAACUGCAAGGCCGAUCAAUUUGAAAAAAGAAAAAAGAAAAAAACUAAAAUGUAAACGCAGCUUGAACUUGAUUUCUUUUGGUUUUUGGGGAGGGGACGGGGGGAGGGGAGGGAAUGUAUACGCAGCUUCAAACUUGGUUUCUUUUCGUUUUUUUCCCCGGGGGUGUGGAGGCCUGGAGGGAAUGUAAACGAACUAACGAAGCCUCAAUCCUCAUGCAGCUGUAUUUAUAUGAAGUGGGUACUGCUGACUGAUCCACGAAGGAAGACUUUUGAUGUCAUUGGUGUUUCUUUAUUUUUGACCUUUUAGCUAGAUGACAGAAGAAUGCCGAGUGCUACGGACACUCGCGAGUGUCUCAAUCGCGGCUCUCUAUAUAGACACGUGUCUAUCAAAAUGAAACCUUAUCAGAGAGACAGCCGCAAGUAUGACGAGACAAGCGCGAUCGUAAGGAUGGAAGCCGCAAGUAUGAAGAGACAGGCCCAAUCCACAACGAUCCAAGAGCAAUCAUUACCUGCAAACUCAACACAACACCUAAUUAACUUCAAACCCCACCAUAAAUCCACCAACAGUCACUAUUCGAAACAAAUCUACCUCAAAUGCGACGUCAAAUAAAAGGAAUAAAAAGGUUUCCUUAAAAGAGAGAGAGCUGCGAGUAUGAAGAGACAAGCACGGUCCACAACGAUCGAAGGCUGUGUGGUAUGUGUCUUGUAUAGAUUGAACAGAGCAAUCAUUACCUGCAAAACUGAACCAAACACUCAAUUAACAAACAAAUUUCAAUUUGAAACCCGACCUUAAAUCCACCAUUGGGCACUAUUCGACACAAAUCUACUUGAAAUCCGACAACAAAUAAAAGGAAAAAAAAUUCUAAAUCAACAUCGAAAUGAAACCUUUAUAAGAGAGAAAGCCGCAAGUACGAAGAGAUCUGAAGUCCUGUUGGUAUAUGUCUUGUAUAGAUUGACAGAGCAAUCAAAGGCCGUGUCGACCAGAGCAAUCGCAGAAUAGAAGAGAUAAGAGAGGAAAAAAGAAGGAAGAGGAGAGCUGCAGCAGCAAAUGAUCAGAGCAAUCAUUACCUGCAAAACUCAACACAACACCAAAUUAACAACCAACAUUUCAAUUUCAAACUUAACCUUAAAUUGAAACAAAUCUACUUGAAAAUAAAAGAAUAAGCAACUCCGAAUCAAAAUCGAAAUGAAACCUUUUAUAACAGAGACAGCCGCGAGUAUGAAGAGACAGGCACAAUCUGCAGCGAUCGAAGAGAAAUCACCACUACCUGCAAAACUCAACACAACGCCUGAUUAACAACAAACAUGCCAAUUUCAAACCCACCUUAAAUCCACCAACAGACACUAUAACUUGAAAUGCAAUAUCAAAUAAAAGGAACAAGUAGUCUAAAUCAAAAUCAAAACGAAACCUUAUAAAAGAGACAGCCGCAAGUCUGAAGAGACCAGCACGAUCCUAAAGGAUCAAAGCCGCAAGUAUGAACAGACCUGAUUAACAACAAACACCUGAUUACCUGCAAAACUCAACACAACACCUGAUUAUCAACAAACAUUUCAAUUUCAAACCCAAAACAAAUCUACUUGAAAAAAAAAAAAAAACAACUCCAAAUCAAAAUCGAAAUGAAACCUUAUUAGAAAGACAGCCGCAAGUAUGACGAGACAAGCACGAUCGUAAAGGAUGGGAGCCGCAAGUAUGAAGAGACAGGCCCAAUCCACAACGAUCCAAGAGCAAUCAUUACCUGCAAACUCAACACAACACCUAAUUAACUUCAAACCCCACCAUAAAUCCACCAACAGUCACUAUUUGAAACAAAUCUACCUCAAAUGCGACAUCAAAUAAAAGGAAUAAAAAGGUUUCCUUAAAAAAGAGUCCACAACGAUCGAAGGCUGUGUUGUAUGUGUCUUGUAUAGAUUGAACAGAGCAAUCAUUACCUGCAAAACUGAACCAAACACUCAAUUAACAAACAAAUUUCAAUUUGAAACCCGACCUUAAAUCCACCAUCGGGAACUAUUCGACACAAAUCUACUUGAAAUCCGACAACAAAUAAAAGGAAAAACAAGUCUAAAUCAACAUCGAAAUGAAACCUUUGUAAGAGAGAAAGCCGCAAGUAUGAAGAGAUCUGAAGUCCUGUUGGUAUAUGUCUUGUAUAGAUUGACAGAGCAAUCAAAGGCCGUGUCGACCAGAGCAAUCGAAGAGUAGAAGAGAUAAGAGAGGAAAAAAGAAGAAGAGGAGAGCUUCAGCAGCAAAUGAUCAGAGCAAUCAUUACCUGCAAAACUCAACACAACACCAAAUUAACAACCAACAUUUCAAUUUCAAACCCAACCUUAAAUUGAAACAAAUCUACUUGAAAAAUAAAGGAAAAAGCAACUCCAAAUCAAAAUCGAAAUGAAACCUUUUAAAACAGAGACAGCCGCGAGUAUGAAGAGACAGGCACAAUCCGCAGCGAUCGAAGAGAAAUCAUCACUACCUGCAAAACUCAACACAACGCCUGAUUAACAACAAACAUGCCAAUUUCAAACCCAACCUUAAAUCCACCAACAGACAGACACUAUAACUUGAAAUGCAAUAUCAAAUAAAAGGAAAAACAAGUCUAAGUCAACAUCGAAAUGAAACCUUUAUAAGAUAGAAAGCCGCAAGUACGAAGAGAGAAGCGCGAUCCUAAAAGAUCUGAAGUCGUGUUGUAUAUAUGUCUUGUAUAGAUUGACAGAGCAAUCAAAGCCCGUGUCGACCAGAGCGAUCGAAGAGGAGAAGAGAGAAGAGAGAAAAAGAGAAGAGGAGGAGAACUGCAGCAGCAAAUGAGCAAAGGGAGCUCA